This 96707-nucleotide long non-coding RNA is filed under the name Setaria viridis. RNAcentral's name for it is "long non-coding RNA (SVIR_LNC005114)". The record is from RNAcentral. Lineage: Eukaryota; Viridiplantae; Streptophyta; Magnoliopsida; Poales; Poaceae.
UCUUUUUUUUUUUGUUCUUGUGUUGGCCGGAGCAGAGACGAUUGAUUCAUCUUUUGAAGAAACAAGACAGAAAAUGGCCACUUACUGGAAGACCAAGGUUCUGCCUGGCAUCAACAAGAUCUUUGACAAGGAUGGCAAGAAGGCGGCGGCCGUCGAGUUCCUCAAGUCCUUCAACAAGGUAAUAUACCUAGAGGAAUUCAGAUGAUCGACAUGCCCGUCUUAUGUAUCUUUGUUUUGUUCAUCAACCACCGUCUUUGUUUGCUGUAUACUUACAGGAGGAGCUUGGCAAGGAGAUCGAGGACAAGAAGACGGACCUGGAGCCCAAGGUUGUGGAGACUUAUGAAGCAUCUCCUCCUGAGGUUAAGGUAAACUCACGUCUUUCAGUGUUUGUUUGGUGUUGCUUUCAACUUAAGCAACUGCUGUAUGGUCCUACUGUUACUGAUAACCUCUCUUACCUGCUACUUAAACUAGGCUCUGUUCAAGGACAAGAAACCAGUCAAGAUCAGCAAGAAGAACUCGGCUGCAGCUACUAAGUUCCUCGACGAGCUGGCUAAGAUCGGUAAUAACAAGCAUCGAUCGCAACUUGAAAUAAUCUGUUACUCUCUGGUCUGGUCCAUAGUAGCUAGCACAUGCCAUUCUAAGGGUUUUUCAUCACGUACGUCUAGCUUAAUCUCACAUAAAACACCAUAUUACCCUCGCUCUAAACUGUAUUUAUUUCCUUGUAUUUUUUUUACAGUGAAAACUGAGUACAGAUUUUCAAAUACUAUUUUCUUGCUUAUCGAUCACCAACAACCGCCUCCUUUUUUAGUUACUUUUCUGCAAUCCUGUGGUUAAUUUGAAGAGGUCAUUUUCUUGGGGUUUAUUUCCUGAGUAAUCUUUGUGUCUUUUUGGACAAACUAGAUUUUAUUCUCCUUUUGUGUUCAAACAAACUUUAUUCUCCUUUCUACACAAGCAAACUGCAUAGGAAUCUUCUCAACUACUACGUAUUUCUUUUUCUGCCAACAGAAUCUCAACACAAAACAACAAAAACCAAAAGUCCUCGAUUGUUCGUUCAUCUCUUUCAUGGCAGGCUGUCCAUACUCUGUACACAUGGUUCUUGUUGAACAAAAUAUAAACUCGUGCCGAAUGAAUUCAUCUGCAGAGUUCCCUGGAGCCAAGCUGGUGAGCGACGCGGUGGCCAAGUCCGGCACCACGCCUCUCUCCCCGGCGAUCACCUUCAUCUUGGACAAGGCUGCGCCGUUCAUCCCCAAGGAGGAGCCCAAGGCGGCCGAGCCGGAGCCCGCCGCCGCGGUCGAGGCAACCUCCCGGGAAGUCGCCGUGGAGGAGAAGAAGGAGGAGGCUGAGCCUGCAGCCGCUGCGGCGACGGAGGAGGCAGCGGCGACGUCGGAGGCGGUAGAGGAGAAGAAGGAAGAGGAGAAGAAGGAGGAGGAGGAGAAGCCAGCGGAAGCCGCAGCCGAGGCCGCCGCGGCGCCACCAGCUGCGGAGGAGAAGAAGUGAUCCAUGGACGCUACCGAAGAAGCAAGCAAGUCAAGCUCUACCUCGUCGCUGCUGGUAAAUUAAUUAAAGUUACCGUGAGAUGAAAUUAAAUUACUCUCUAGCUUGUCAACCGCGUAGGUGCAGCGCAAAGUGAUUAAGAAGUUACGCACAGUACAGUUGCCCAUGCGCAAACCUUUGCUUCAAUUACUGCAUGAACAUUUGUUAUUCUUUCUGUCACCUCGAUCGCCCGAUGGAUGGGUGUCUUGUAAAUUUGUUUUCUCUUUCUUGUUUUUUGAUUUGGGGUGAUUGAUCAAACAUGCAUAUAUGUGUAAUUAUUUAUAUUGAUAUGUUUGUUUGUUGAUGGUCAUAUUUAUUUGUUUUUUGUGGUGCUAUACAUGAUGAAUUGAUGGUGGUUGUAUAACUUACAUACACACACCGUGCAUGCCUAGCGUGCUAAUUACAUGGCGUUAAUUGUUGGCUUGGAACGAUGUGCUCUGUGCCUCUGUAAUACUGCAGGUGUGUGUACGAAACAGUCACUUAAUUAUAUGCCAGUGACUUUGAAUACCUCUGGAGCCCUGAUCUAGUAUUAGACAAUUAGCAUGGUUUUUAGUUGAAACACUUUUUAUAAACAGUACUCCCUCCUUCCCCUGUAGUCUACGAAUUGAAGGAGUAGAAAAAGGUAAAAAUUUAUAGAGGAGAGUCGUAUAUGUACUCAAAUUAAAGGUGAAAAAAACCCUGUAGUAAGGAAUGAAAGAAAGAAAAAAAAUGGAUAAGCACGAGAUGGAAUUAGUGAAGAACUUGGAGGAGAUAACUACUACUGGAACUGGAAGUGAUGUGCAUGCUGCAGGCCGGUUUGGCAGGCAGGACAGAUCAAUCAGUGGCGCCCUCAGGAAAAGGACGUGAUCUCAAUCCCUCCUCCAUCGUCGUCAUCGCCACUCAACGUAUAUCGCAUCUAUGCUUUCUUUCUUUCUUUCUCAUAUACAAUUAAACAAAAAGAAAGAUGAGUCCGUCCUCCAUUGCCAGCUUGUGUACGUGAUGUGUGCUUAAAUAUUGUAUGUGGGAACUCAUAAAUAUCCCCAAGUUAAUAGGCAUCAUAUAUAACUGAUCAGUAGGCCACCCAGUGCAAUGAUAUCAACAUAUAUAGAUAAAGAAGAUGAAGAUUCAGAAGGAAAGUCAUUGCUGAUUCAAUGGUCGAGCUCUUUUUCAGUCGUUGUUGAUCGAAAAAUGCAGGAGAUAGGUAGAUGUGAAAAAGGAAACAAGGAAGGAAUUAAGAAAAUAUCCAGUGUAUUCAUCCUUGUGGCAGCAGAUGCAGUCAGCAUUAUUCUGUAAAUAAGCAGAGUGGUAGCUAGUCAAGUUGCAUGCAGCAGGACGACGCAUGGAUUGAAGGUUGUAGGUGUAGGUGUAUGAUCCGCAUCAGCUUCUUUUCAUUUCAUUAUUGAAGAUGAUGAAGAUGGCAUCUAUCAACGUCACCGGCCUCCCUUUCAUUGCAUUGCAUUGUAUCAUUGGUCUAUUGGACAGUUUUGGGCCGGAAAGGCUAGUUUUUCCUCUCUUUUUUCUUUGAAAAGACAUGACGGUAUCUUCAUUCUCCUUUCUCAUGGUACCUAUCUACUUCUCGCUCUAUACUAAUAAGAUACUACGUACCGUAGUAGGUGGUUGCAUACUGCAAUCCAUUUUACUGUUUAUCUUUGCUAGCUGAGCUGGAGGAUUCAGGGUUGCUUGCCCUGAAUGAUUGCACUGGUGUCUUAGUCAAAGCUAGCAACAGAAAGUUUCUUCUUUUUUUUUUUCUUCAGGACGAGCAAUAUAUAUUGGCCAGAACUUCCUUUCUGUGCAAAAAAGAAAAGAAAAGAAAAGAAAAGAGGGCCAUGCAUAUCUUGCAUGGGCCUAAAUCCUCUCCUACAGACCCAGCCUCUUCAGCCCAAUAAAUCCAGCCCGCCCAACACCUACAGCCCAUCAUAAGCCCAGCCCGUAUGGUGCUAUGCCCACUCGUGCCAAGCAACGCUCGACUUCUCCGCGAGUGUGCUGUACAGCCAACGACUCCGCACCGCGCCUCCUCCACCGACCGGCCGGCCUCCCAUCCCAUGGCGGGCUACCGCGGCGGCUCCUCCUCCUCCUCCUCCGCCGGCGGGGGCGGCGCGUCGGCCGCGGCCUUCGCCACGCGGAUGCUCCUCCUCCUCACGCUGCUGCCGCUCGCGCUCGCCGCCUUCGCCUUCGUGCUCCAGUGGCGCGGCGGCAUGCGGGACCCGGCCGGCGCCGCCUGGCCCGACGACACGCAGCGCUUCCCGGGGAUGGAGAACAGCCCUCUCGGAUCCUCCUCCUCCUCCUCCUCCACUCGGGGCAAAGGCUCCUACUUCGCCAUCUCCUCCUCCUCCUCCGCGGCAGCAGACUGCGCCGAGAUCCUCGGCCGGAGCGCAUCCUCCCACGGAGUCUCGCUCUACGGCGGCUGGAGCUUCGAUUCUGAAUCUUCUAUAACUCCCAAGGUGAGUGCGCGCUUACCCUCCGAUCUGAUCCGCCGUUUCGAGGUCCCAUUUUCCGACCAAUUCGAUGCGAUCUCGUGCUGCUGAAAUACUGUGAUCCGAGUACCCUGUUGAGCAUCUCGUGCCUGAGAGUUCUAAUCUUUCAAACAGAGGUUUAGCUCGAUCACACUCUCCGUGUGAAUCCAAGUCUCUUAGCUUAGCAACAUUUUGUCCUUUUUGUUUUACCCAGUUGAGAUAGCAAGUUGGAAAAACAGGGUAUAUGGCAUCCAUGUGGUUCUUAGAUGUUUGUUCAAGUAGACAAGACUCUUAACAUCAUGCCGUUACCCUGCAAGGUAUAUAUAUAUUUUUUUUCAAAAUGAAAUUAUCUAGAUGAUUUAUUUCAACCUCAAAAUCAUAUACUUCUUUUCAAAUGCAAUAACCUUGUAAGCAUUUUGAGUCUAAUGUGUCAAAGUUGUACUUAUAUCAAGCUAAUUCGUAUUUGGGUUGCAGAUCUGUAUCACGGGAAGCACAUCUGCUGGCCUGCACCAGAUUCUUCCAUGGUUGUAUUAUCACAAGGUCAUUGGUGUUUCACAUUUUUUUCUCUUUGUUGAAGGAGAGGCUGCGAAGCCAGCUGUCACCUCUGUUCUUGAAUCUAUUCGGGUAAAUAAGUCAUUUCAUACCCCCUCCUAUUUGUGAUUUCUUUGCAUAAUCUGCUACUUACUUUCUGCGUCCCUUCUUUAGGGUGUAAAAAUCAUUUACAGAACUAAAGAACUGAAAGAGAGACAGGACAAAAGGUAUGCUGAUGGACUUAACAGUUACAUGACAAUCUUUUUCAACAAUAAUCAAACCCGCUACAUGUAAGAUAAGUUCAGUUGGAAAUUUGAUCUGCAGCUAAUGUAAGUUUCGAUAAUACUGCGUUAAUAGGAUAUACGUUAUACGACUAAAAUGCAUUGUAAAUAUAAAUUUGGUAGAGGCAUCAAGUGGGAUGCCAAGUUACUUGUUUCAUUGCAAUACUGUAAUUGAAUAGUUUUGAAUGUUGAAGCAAAAUCUGUAAUGUUGUUGUUGAUUGGAUCCUGUAUUUCUGUUUUCAUUACUAUAUGCAUUUCUGAAGUAUUGUUGUUGAUUGUUUGGUUGUCUAAGCGCCAUCGUUUCAACCGUUUUAUGAUUUCAGCCGCAUCUGGAAUGAGACUUGGCUGGGAGGUUUCUUUUACAAGCCGUGCAAUUAUGAACUAUUUGUUAAGCAAUCACUUAACAUGGAAAUGGCUAUUAUUAUGGCAAGGGUAUGAACUAUUUCUUUCUUUCUAUUUUUUCGCGUCUGUUCACUCAGAAAUCUUGACUUUCAUGUUCCUUUUCCAAAGAGAGCUGUAAUAAUGGUCUAAAUCUACAUCUACAGAUACCAGUGCUCUUCAUAUUGUCUAAUUUUCAGCUACUUUUUGCUUUUUUAUUUGAACCCAAAUGAUGACGGGAAUUAAUCAUGUGCCAGUCUUGUUUUUGAGCUCGGCGGUACAAAUAUCAAUAUAUGACGUCAAUAGUUUAACACAAGUUGGGAGUGUAGCAGUGUAGGCAUACAGUUGAAAGUAAUGAAAUAGGUUCUAUUACAAGUAAUGUUUAGCCACAGAAAAUUUCUCAUCCUUUUCCUCCCCGACAUCUUUUUCCCACUUCCUUGCCCUAACUUUAAGGAUGAGUAGUAAAUGAUGUAAGACAUGUACCAGUGUCACUCGUUAGUAGAAAUAUGGGGCUUUGUUCUUAGUCCACUACAAACUUUAAACAAACUUUAACAAGGUGAUUGAUACAGCUACUGACUAAAAAUUCAGAAUGUUCUAAUCAUCUUAAUUUUUUGCAAUGCUCCCAAUCUCCAAUGCCAUAUCAAUGGCAUGUCUGAUGACUUUACAUCAUUGUUGAGCUAGCAUAGACAUGACUACAAUGAUGUGUGAUAACUAUGGGAGGCAUUUUACUAGGUGUUGUUUUUAUUUUGAAAAGACCUUGUAUUUCGUGGUGAAUUGAUGCAAAUGUCCCCUGUUUGAUUAUUACAGGAUGCUGGAAUGGAUUGGAUAAUUCACCUUGAUACUGAUGAGUUGAUUCAUCCAGCUGGUGCGCGAGAGUACUCUCUAAGGCGAUUGCUUUUAGACGUUCCUGACAAUGUUGACAUGGUUAUCUUCCCCAAUUAUGUGAGUUGCAGAAGUAACAUCUUUGUUGAAGUUGAAUAUUGUGACAUGCUUCACAUAUGAUUAUUUUAUAUUUUUGUCCAGGAGAGCAGCAUUGAGCGGGAUGACAUCAAGGAUCCAUUUACUGAGGUAUGUAAGCUACUGAUGAUUCACUGACUUGUUUAAGAGUGCCACAUGUAUAUAAAUGGAUUGCCUCUUGCUGCUAAAAAAUUGUAGUUUGGUUAACAUUAUUGCAUUAUAGAAAAUAAUGGAUCUACCUCAUACCAUUUAUCAAAUGAUUGCAUAAAUUCUCACCAAGUUCUAUACGUGCAGGUUUCAAUGUUUAAGAAAAAUUACGACCAUCUCCCAAAGGAUACAUACUUUGGCCUAUACAAAGAAGCAACACGUGGUAAUCCAAAUUACUUCCUCACUUAUGGUAAUGGAAAAUCAGCUGCAAGGGUUCAGGAGCAUUUGCGUCCCAAUGGUGCUCAUAGAUGGCAUAAUUACAUGAAAACCCCAAAGUAAGACAUCUGACUGUGCUGAGAGUUUUCUAAAACAAAUGUCCCAUCAACAAUUUUUUGUCUGUUUCCACCAGAUGAUUUAUUCAUCCCUUUUAUUUGUAGCGAAAUUAAACUGGAGGAGGCUGCUAUCCUGCAUUACACGUACACAAAGUUUUCAGACUUAACUUCAAGGAGGGAUAGGUGUGGCUGCAAGCCCACUAAAGAAGAUGUGAAGCGAUGUUUCAUCUUGGAAUUUGACCGAUUGGUGAGCUAUCUUUUCUUCCCUUUGCACAAAAAUGCAUGUAGGAUGUGGGGGUGGUGGGGGCAUUGCACAAUAGUGUACCUUGUUGGUGUGCCUUAUAAUAACCACAGAAAUGCCCCCCUGGUCCAUUGCACAAAAUAUAGCCAGCUGCGCCGAAGAUAUAUCUGUCUUUUCAAUGACCCUGUUUCUUCCUGUAUUUUUACCCAUUUUUUUAAGCUGAAGGACCAGUUUGGUUACUAGCCCAAAGUUCUUGAUUACACCCUUUCCAAAGAAAGAAGAAAAACUGGUGGCUUUUAUUACAUAUCAUGUGCGUAUAUGGCUAAUUGGAUAACUGGGGAGGACUAAUGAAUUCCCCCUUGUGCUCUGUCAUGACAGGCCUUUAUAAUUGCAUCAACAGCUACUGAGGAGGAGAUGAGGAACUGGUAACACCCUUACGCUCCUGUGUUCCAAUCAUUCCUCCCUAGCCUCACUGAAUUAAGAGAGAGAUCACAUUUGUCUGACUACCUUUGUUCAGGUAUCGAGAACAUGUUGUAUGGACCGAUAAGGACACCAAUUUGAAACUUUUGAGAAAGGGUGUGUUGACACGUAUAUAUGCGCCAAUGGUUAGUCCUAAUAUCAAUCUUGAAAGCGUCAACUUAUGAAAGUUGUUUCUUAUUGCUGCUAAGUUUAUGCCUAAUCUUUGCAGGCUAUCAUCCGUGGUCUCAAGGAAUCCGGCGUCUUCACCUCCGCAGUAACAUCAGCGAAAGCGCAGUCAAAAACAAAGUCGUCGAACAUGGGUCUUGAGAACAAGGAGUCCAUCCUACCCAAUGUAACAGCUGGGCAAUCCACAUUGGAAGGUGGCCAUGAGAAAUUGCAAGCAACUGUAAGAAAGAUCCUAGAAAUGGUUGAUGCCCAGGAGGAAGCUAUGCCGCCAAUGUCACCCCCCGGUUUUGUUGAGCUGAUUGAAAGCGCUUUGUCAUGAGGCCAUGUGAGAUUGAUCAGGCGAUCUUGACUGAUGUCGCUCCUGGGCAGAUGAAACUUUAACAAUGCAUAUGCAGCGUGGAACAUAUAGAUAGCAGAGGCUUGUUUGAUCGAUGUAUCUUGCGACUCCCCCCAUGCCUUGUGCUGAUGCAAAUUGCUUCCAUCACGUGGGCUGGUAAGCAAGUGCAAGACAUGAGAAUAACACACUCACUGUAAUAUAUACAACAGAAAUCAGGCGAAUCUUUCCCCGGGUUUAAGUUAUAGAUUGAUUGAUGUUAAAUUUCUACUGAGAAGCAUAUGCACAUCGCUUGACCAUGUUGUGGUGGUGGCUGACGCAAAUGCAGUACUGAUCGAUGUGCAAACUCUGGGCUUUUUAGCUCAUAUCUUUUCGAUUAAAGACUGCAUGCUAAUGAAGUAGCUGAAUUGAGGAACAACUGUAAACAGCAGAAUGAUUUAAUUCUGAGCAACCGAAACCUAAUUUUUGGUUGCCAUGAAUCGCAAGACCAUUUUUUUUUGCUAUUAUUCACGUUGGAAAUCCAAAAAUGUAAAAGAAGCCACUGGUCACUACCACUGUGGGCAGGCGAGGCGAUCGAUCCCAAGCAGAAGCAGGCGGUUGUGCAAGCCGACGAAUGGGAAUGGGAGCUCCGGAAUCUCCCGUCGUCUUCUGCUCCCCAUCGCCCGCUGCUCUCCCACCGACUUCGCCGCCAAGCAAAACCCCAGCUCUUCCCCCGCCACCGCCGCCGCCGCCGCCGCUCCGCCGAUCCCAUUCUCCUCUCCCUCCUCCCCCGCCGCCGCUCCCUCCCGGCUUCUUCCCUCCCGGUUUCCACCCUCCAUUCUUGCCCCCGCCAUUGCCGCCCCCAUGCGCCGGAGCCACUGCCUCCGCGGCGCCAGCGCGCGCGUUCCCUUCCUCUGGAGGUGGUAGCCUCUCGGCGGAAGGGGGGCGUUUCCUCGAGAAUCUGCCGCACGCCCUCGGGGUCUCGGUGACGGCGCACGCCCUCGGGGACCUCGCCGGCGUCCCGCCCGAGCUCCUCCCGCUGAAGAAGAGGGUCGUGCGCUACCACCCGUACGAGGCGGCCGCGGCGAUCCAGGAGAUGGCCAGCCACCACAACUACGGAGGGGGGUUUCUUCUCGACGUGGCGCCCAUGCCCACGACGGGCGCGCGCGACGACGACGGGCUGCGCGCCGAGCUGCUCCGCCUCCGCAUCUUGCGCCCGGCGCUGGUGCUCACCAAGCAGCUCACCUUCUCGGACCGCAGCCGCGACAAGGCGCGCCUCCUCCUCCCCGACGGUCUCGUCGCGCCGUCGCCGCUGCUGGGCAUGCUCACGGCGGCGGAGCGCCGCCUCGUGUUCGGCCCCGGGCUGCCCGUGCCGGCGCUCGACCGCCUCGGCCGCGCCUACCGCAUGUCCCUGCGGCGCGACCGCAAGGCCCGCACGUACCGCCUCACGGGGCAGUGGUCGCUCUUCGUGUCGCGCCACGACAUGCGCGCCGGCGACGCCGUCGAGGUCCGCGCCUUCCGCCCGUCCGCAUGGCAGGCGCGCCUGGACAAGCACGGCGAGGGCGGCCUCGGCAUGGCGCUGCUGCACCGCGGGGACGCCGGGACCGACGCCCAGGGAUACCGCUGGUGCAACAGGGAGCGCGACGCGGCGGAUGGCCUCCUGCGCAUCGCCGGAAGCCCCCGCCUCGCGACAGUUGCCGGAGCCUGACAGAUGGAGAUGCAAUGCAGAUAGAAAUGCAACGUCCGUUGUUCAGAUUAACAGCAAGUGGUGGUGGAGGUGAGGUGAUGAUCAUCACCUGGAGACUGCAGUGGCGUUGCUAUCAAUUGCUUUUGCCUUGUGAUUUAUUGUGAUGCCAAUUGCCAACUGCAACUUCAGAGGGUUUUGUGAAGCUUUGAUCAUGCAGGUUUCUUUAACAGGCGAGGCAGAUGUAGAUGGAAUUGAUGAUAGAUAUUGGAUAGAUGAACUCAUAUAGAUCAUGCAAUGGGGUCACUGGCUCACUGCAGAUUGAUGCAGGUGCAAGGCUAGGCUGGUACAGUGGUAUGGAGCAGUGAAGAUGAGUGCUGUUGCCCUUGUUAAUUUACAGGUUAUAUAUUGUCUGUCUCCUAUCUAUUGCUAAGCUUGCACAGUAACUUAAGGCAAGCAUAUCAUAGGAAAUGUAAUGGAAGCUGAAAUUGGAGCAGUGGGUAUUGAUAAAAUUCUUGAAAGAGAAGUCAAUUCCUUUCUUGCUUGAUUCUGCUGUUGCAAUUUUGAUGUCAAUUUCUGCAACUUUGCUGCACUGCACACGAGUCCAGGUUCGAAUCGAUCUAUUGACCCAUCCUCUUCCAUUUGAUACUUUUGAGAUUCAUGUGUUUAAGCAUUUCCCUUUGAAAGUUCGUCCUCCCACUACAUGUAUGGAGUAUUUUAAGGUAUAUGUAAAUCCUGUUACGUAUCCUUUACAACUCAUGAUGGGAUAAUUACUUAAGAUACUUUUGACUGAAGACAACUAUAUAUAGAAGUUGAUUUAUUUGGGAAGGGGGGGAGUAUCUCUCAAAACCUGGGCUACAUUUUUACUAUGCUUUUUUCACUGACAUCGUCGCAACCUUGAGCUAUGGGAUCCAAACCUGUCUAGUCCAUCUACGUCUCCACGUCUCAUAUCCUCCUACAUCUUUUUCACUCAUGUUCUCAUUUCAGGUUAAUGGCUUUGUUGGCAUUCCAUUUGCGGCUAGGGCUUCCAGUUCACUAGUGUGUGGCUAAAUCUUGCUUUGUUAGGUCUCUUUGAUGUUAUUGCAAAGCCCGAUGCAACUGUUUUUUGUAUCAUUCAUUUUUAUUACAUUUUUACAUAAAAAGAUCGUUUAAAUUGCAACUUUGAUUUUUAAAUGCAUACAGUGUGCAACUAACUCAUGCAUAUAUUAUCAUUUUUCUGUCCCUUUUCCAUCGGCAGUUGAACCUUUUUGCUAAAAAAUAUAGGUGAAGCAGUAAUUGAUAGGGAAAUAUAUGGGGAUAAAGGGGUUCUUUUUCCCCUAACCGUAACGAUGUAUAAUUUAUGAGAAAUUUAGAAUGGGUUAAUUUAUUUCGUAAUGGUGAUUGUGUUUAUCUUUUUUGGAAAAGUGUGGGAAUUUCUAAGCCCUUAUGGGGAUAAAGGGGUUCCUUUUUCUAACCGUAACGAUGUAUAAUUUAUGAGAAAUUUUAGAAUGGGUUAAUUUUUUUCAUAAUGGUGAUUGUGUUUAUCUUUUUUGGAAAAGUGUUUUUUUUCUAAGCCCUUAUGGGGAUAAAGGGGUUCCUUUUGCUAACCGUAACGAUGUAUAAUUUAUGAGAAAUUUUAGAAUGGGUUAAUUUUUUUCGUAAUGGUGAUUGUGUUUUCUUUUGUUUGGAAAAGUGUGGGAAUUUCUAAGCCUUAUGGGUAAGGCUUGAUGCUCCAUUUUUUUUUUGUCAAUUACUAGAAUAAAAAAAUAUAUAUGGUCAUCAUGCAAAAGUACUAUAUAAAGCAUACAUGUGUAGAGUUCGUAUUUGGCAGGGUCCUGGUGUACAACAACCAACAGCAUACUGCACACAUAUCAUGUAUCAUUGAAUGAGAUCAUAUGUAUAGUAUACAUACUCAUCAGACGAUAUGCACACAUCCACAAUAUAUCAACACACAAUGUACACAAAACAUAUGCACACAUCGACAAAUUGAACAGCAAAAAAACUAUGACACAACAAUGACUAAGACGAGAAAGCCUCUAGCUCGCUAGAGAUGCGUGCACUUACCUUACCUCCUAGCAGGCCAGCAUGCACGAACCAUUUAUGCAUGUUUUUAUUUCAAGCACACACCAGGCAGACCACGAACACAAGCACACACGUAUAGUGAUAUAUUCCCUCCAUCCCAAAUUAAUAUUUUCUUUGGUUUUUCUAAAUACAUAGUUUUUGAUAUGCACCUAUCUAUAUACUAUGCCUAGAUAUAUACAUAGAAAAAGUUAUGUAUCUAAAAAAUCAAAACAAAUAGUAAUUUAGGAUGGAGGGAGUAGCAUGGAGCGAUAAACCUAAUCACAACAAAUGUAAAGCAUUUAGGUAGUAUAAAAUUCUCAUGUAUGUUGAAGUUAAUCUAGUGAGGUGUGAAGUCACCUGUUGCUGUAGUUUUUUUAGCUUGGCUACGCGUAAUUGGUCCAAUAUUCACUUGUUCUCUUGAUUGGGUGACAUAUUCUACAUCAUGUCAUUGGUUUACGUGUGAUGGUGCAUGGCUGGUUGAGAUGACCUCAUCAGGCCACCCCAAUCUCGUCUUUGGCGGCGCCCACCAGACUGGACAACCAUAGUGUUAUCUGAAUCGUGCAAAUUGAAUCUGCAUUGUUAUCUGAAUUGUGCAAAUUAAAUCGUGCAAAUUAAAUAUAUAUGCACUGUUAUAUGAAUCGUUCGAUUGAAUCGUUUGUACAUAUGGACAGGAAAUAGAGAAAUUCUCAUACAAAAGUGAUUCACAAUGUUGUUACUGUUGAGGUGGUUGAUACACACAACAACUACGUGGACCAAUUUGUUAGCUCAAUUUUGCUGAACAACCCAACAUCUACAUUUUUCUUGACCGCAACAAAGAUUGAUUUAAUCUGCGCUUUAAGUGUUCAUUUCGUUCAGCAACGAAAAUGCAGUGGAAGCAAAGCUUAUUGCUGAAGUACCUUUCUUCAGUGUAUUGAUUAUGCCGCGCCACAAUGCUUCGGAGCUUCUUCACUUAAGAGACAAGCCCCCUAGGAUAUGAAGAUGUUAUGAUUCUUGCUCCAAUUGGAAUCGGAUUCACUGCUUCUAUGUCCAUUUUAGAUGGUUCAGUUACUGUACUGUCGUGUUAUGUGAAGGAUAUGGACAAGAUGGUUCAUGAUAGUUCCAAUCAGUACUUCCUAACGACAUGCACUUUCCAUGACAAGGGAAACCUUGUAGCCAACAGGAUUAUUUGCUUCUGUGUUUGACCUAGAUGGUGACUGUGUUGGGUUCUUGUUUACUGAUUGUAGUUAGACUUCUAAAUUACUAAAGUACUUAUCCCAGACAUCGUACUAUUAUUACCUGAUUUAUAAUGGUAUCAUCAAUACACGAACAAUGUUGAAUGACUAGAUUACAAUACAUACAUUUAUCUUAUGAACAGUGUAAAACUUAUCUUAUGAACUUUUUUGGAUAUACAUUGGCUGCUGAACUGGAUUCUUAUUUUUCUGUGUCACGUGGACCAAUUUGGGAUGUAAAUAAACUAUUCAUGAGCAAAAAAUUUAAUUGUUGCUCCCAUGGAUUAAGUUUUCUGAUGUCCAUGGUUCCAUAUGCGAGGCAUUGCCAAAAUCAAAGAAUCUUAACAUACAUAGCCUUCCUUUUGAGCUCAACAUAUAGCAUUGUUUUUUAUGCUCACAUUUCUACUAUGAGGUAGAUUUGUGGUAGGCUAGCCAGUCCUAAAAAUGUUCUCUGUUGGCCUAGACUACACUGCUCAUUUUCAAAUGAAACUGCAACCUUGUCACCAAUAAGAUAAUAAAGAUUUGCUACUAGGAUUUACAGAAAGCGUAAUCCUUAAGCAUGAUAUAGUAAAAACACUUGUCUGAGGUGCCAAUUUAACUCUUAACAUAAUAUCACAUGGGUGCAGUGAAACGCCCAAAUAUUCUUUAUAAGAUUUUUCUGUUUGCUUUUUGACACGUGUUUAACUUAGUUUCCAGUACGAUUGAUUGAUUUUUUGUUCCUGGUUUUUAUAGCAGGAGCUAUGGGAUUUAAACCUGUCUAGUCCAUCCAUGUCUCCACAUCUCAUAUCCUCCAACACCUUUUCGCUCAUGUUCUCAUUCCAGAUCAAUGACUUUGUUGGCAUUCCAUUAGCGGUUAGGGCUUCCAGUUCACUUAGCUUGUGUGUGGCUACAUCUUGCUUUGUUGUGCCUUUUUUUUUAUGCUAUUGCAACCUAGAGCUAGGGGUUCAAGCCCGAUGCAACUGCUUUUGUACCAUUCAUUUUUAUUACAUUUUUACAUAAAAAGGUUGUUCAAAUUGUAACUUUGAUUUUUAAAUGCCUACAAUGUGCAACUAACUCAAUUCAUAUAUUACCAUUUUUCGGUCCUUUUUCCACUGACACUUAAUUUUUUUUUCUAAAAAUAUUAUGGUUGAAGUGCUAAUUGAGAGGCAAAUAUAUGGGUAUCAAGUUCUUUUUCCAAACGGUAGUGAUGGAUAAUUUAUAAACUAGUGUGGGUUAAUUUUUCGUGAUGGUGAUAGUGUUCAAUAUUUUGUCGGAAAAGUGUGGGAAUUUCUAAGCCCUUAUGGCCAUUUUUUGGUCAAUUACUACAAUAAAAAAAUAUAUGGUCAUCAUGCAACAGUACUAUAUAAAGUCCGUAUUUGUACAACAACCCACAUCAUACAUAUAUAUAUUAUGCAUCACUCAAUGAGAUCUCAUGUAUACAUAUAUACAUAUAUCACACAAUAUAUACAUAUCCACACACACAGUGUUCCCAGUACAUAUGCAACCUAUCGACAAAUUAAAUUAAACAGCAAAUAAACCAUGACACAAUGACUCAGAUGAACCAUUUAUCAUGCAACACAAGCACACGCACAUAUAGUGAUAUAGCGUCGAUGGAUGAAUUGGUUACUGCUGCUGCUGGUUGAUAACACCAACCGGGACUGAUAAAGUAGUAUCGCUCUUGGCUUUUUUUACCACAGUGAUGUCGCUUAAAUCGGAGAGGUAUACGUACCGGCAGCGAUAACUUGUGACCGGUGGAUCUGUAAGUGAUCCAAUGGCUUGCAAGAGAUUGUUGACGUUGAAGUUGCCUCUGAUCUCAAUCUCUUUCAGAUUCGGGAGGCGGUCGAUCCCAGAGAUGAGGUCCCCAGAGUGCGGCUUGCUUAUGGACCAAACAAUCUUCUCGAGCUCAGGAGCUGCGCCGGCGGCGGCAAAGGUGACGCUGGUGAUGGUGUCGCCGUCGACGACGAGGAACUUGAGAGCUUUAAAGUGGACGUCGUCCCUGAAGAUGAGCGCUUGCUCGAGGAAUGACCUGCGGCUGAGCUUGAGGCAACGCAGGCUGAGGACGUUGGCAAGCCUUGUCAGAGUCUCUCCUCCGCUCAUCUCAGUGUCACGCAGGGAGAUGUUAGCCAGUUUCCCGGCCCUCUCGACCCAUGAAGGGAGGCUAGUGCCGAUCCUUCCGUUGAUAUCCAGGUUCUCGAGGACCAAGCUGGAGGUUGCCUCCUGCAGCACGGAAAUGUCGAGGACCCCGCCCUGGUCCUGAGUGACCCAGAUGGACAGCGAGCGCAGGCAUCCAGCCAGCGCGUAUAUCACUCCACGCAGCUGCUGGGCACCACGACGAUUGACGCGUCGGAUGACCACACCGAGCUUCCUCAGCUUACGCAGCUUGCCUACUCGUCCCAGCUCGGCCCCGUCCUCGGAGACCUGGACGUGGGACAGCGUCUCCAUGCUCCUCAUCGCACCGAUCCUGCUGGGGAUCCGCACGGUGACGAGCGACACCUCGGCCGACGUCCUCCUGGCCGUGGGGAGCUCCUCGCCGGUCACCUUGUCGACGUAGCGGCCGGCGAGCAGAUGCUUCAAGCUCUGCAGGUACAUCCUCCCCACGUCGCGGGGACGUAAGCGUGGCGUCUCCCGAAUGUCCAGCGUCUCCAGCAGCUUGAGCUUCUUCAGAUGGGUGGGCGGCAGCCAGAAGACAUCUGUCUUGCGAAGGCUCAGAUACUUGAGGCAAACGACGGUGCAGAUGGCCUCGAUGUGGCGCGGCUUCAGGCCUCUGCAGCCUCCCAGAUCCAGCACGUUCAGCCGGUAUAGCUCAGGGAGACUGUUGAGGAAAACCACCAGGUCGUCCAUGGGGUUGUCGUCCCUCCAGCAGCAGCAGCAACCACAGUAGUCGUCCAUGGCCCCGACGACAUCCCUCCAGCUCCAGCAGCAACCCGACGCCGCUUGCUGCGGCGGCAGCUGCUGUGACAGAACAACUUUCUUUCGGAUAGUAAGCUGGCGGUCGAGGUGAAUCGGCAGGUCGAUGACGAAGUUCUCGUUCUUGGCGAUCUUGGUGAUGAAGGUUCUGAUCGACCCAGCCAGCGGUUGACAGCUCUUGACCGUGCCGGCAUCACCGGUGCGGGCAGGAUGGAUGAAGCCUCGAAAGAGAAGAUCGUUGAAGUAGCUCUCGCCUACUUCUUCGUCAGUCCUCCCUUCUUCUUUGCCAACAAGUCCUUCGGCGACCCACCGCCUGACAAGGCUCGUCCUGCUGAUGGCUUUCUCCUCGAGGAAAGCUGUCAGAUACAGGAGGCAGCUCUUCUGCGGGAUGGACAGCAAGCUGUAGCAGAAGAUCAUCACUUGGUUCUUGAUCUCCUCUGCCGUUCCUCCCUCCUCCUCCUCCUCCUCACCCAGCACUUUCUUCUUCAGCUUGCUCUCCUCUGCCGUUCCUCCCUCCUCCUCCUCCUCACCCAGUACUUUCUUCUUCAGCUUGCUCUCCUCUGCCGUUCCUCCCUCCUCCUCCUCCUCAUCCAGUACUUCAAUCUUCAGCUUGAUCUCCUCUGCUGUUCCUCCCUUCUCACCCAGUACUAUCUUCUUCAGCCUAUCCAGCUCCAGAUUAUUGGUCUUGUAACGGUAGGCGUACAGAGCACAAAGAAGCAUCCUGAUGCAUCUCAAUGUUUCUUCAUCCGGAGGCGGAGCCGGAGCCGGAGGGCAGCAUUUCUUCCAAGUAGCUUGUACUAGGGCCGGGGCAUCUUGAGAUCUCACAUGAGGAGGAAGCUGCCUGAUGACUUCUUCGCUGAUGGAAGAUGGAACAGCAGGACGUGAACUGUCGGGGAUGGCUUGUUCCAGAAGGCGUCGAAAGGCAUCCCUCUUCUCCUCUUUGGCGGCGGCGGCGGCGCCAUCCUCCGCCGCCUUCUUCAGACCCGAGCCGUGCGGGACUUCGACGCCGUAGCGCUUCCGCCUCUCGCCGAUGUCGUUGACGCGGACCUUGAGCUCGAGGAUCUUCUUGGCGAGGUUGCGGCGCAUGAUGUACUUCUUGGGGUGGAGGAGGAGGAGGUACGCGGUGGCCAGGAGCCCCUCGCCGUCGUGCCGGGCGAUGUCGCGCACGUAGCGCUCGACGCAGUUUUCGGCCAUGUAGGCGAUCUCGCGCACCUGCUUCAUCCAGGCGCGGAUCUGGUCGUCGUGCUCGCUCUCCGUCUGGGUGAGGUGCCGCAGGAACCCGUUCAUGCUGUCCAUCUCAUCCUUGAUGAACUGCAUGUUGCCGCGCAAGCCGCCGAGGAGCCGCGCCUCCUCCUGCACCGCGGUCGACAGGAGGCUCAGCAAAUCAUUGACGGCGCCAACGGUCAGGUCGGCCAUCUCGAUCGGCGGCGGCUCUGAUCUAGCUACCAGCUGAUUGAGGUGAAUGUGAUGGCCGCCGGUAGAGGUAGCAUUUAUAGCACACCAGUGCGUGCGUAUACACCACACCCAAAAAGGAAGCAAAGGAAAACCUAGCGGGAGGGCAAAGAGUCGAAUAGAAUAUCUUCUUCAAUCUUUGUCAAACUUGGAUCUGUUCUUAUAAACAUCGACACGCAUGCAUGCGUGUGUCCGACCUAGAAUCUAGCAGGCAGUUGCUACACAAUGCACGCCAAUAUAUUUUAUCUUUUCUUCCCACAGAGUAUAAAGACAGCUUUCGUUUACGUAAUUAGCGCCAGGUUUACAGCUUUACAGCUAGGACGUAAUUAGUGCCAGGUUUACAGCUAGGAUCCGAUGUGAUCGAGAUUUCAGCCAGACUCUCAUAAUCAAAAUAGCUCCGUCCAGAACACGUGCAACGUACAUGCAGAUUACGAGAAUACAUGACUGGUAUUCUGUAGAGAAAAAACAACUCAUUUACGAGAAUGGCGUAGGCCGAAAAAUGGGUUACUGGAAUCCAAUUUACUACACUGCAUUCAGUAUUGUACCAGAACUCAUACGAUGGGUUACCACAAUGCAGCAGCAUCGUUUUACCAUAACAGUGAAUCAAUCGAUACAAGGUAUUUAUCAACAUGGCGUGAUCAAGUGACUAUAAAAUUGUGAUGGCCAGAUUACUAUUAAGUCAAUAUAACGGAAGUACAAUAAUGCCUUAGAAUGAUGUAACACAAACAUAGGUUUUCUGCUAUGCUUUUCCUCUAGGCUGAAGCUCUUUGUAGCACAUUCCAUUUUCCCUGCCUCAUUCAUGUGGUGACAUAUAUAGCAGGGAAACAGUUCCAGUCCUUGUCCAACGAGACGCUGAUUGCACCACGUCGUUGGCAUCUUCAAAUGCACCGGCAGCUGCAGAGUGUUUGUUUGCUGCAUGCUGCACGAAAUAUUGAACUCAUUCAGUUGAAGCUGGUAGGCCAGAUAUUAAAUCUACCCUGCCGGCUGCUUAAGUAAGCGCAUCAUGCCCAGAACCUGCCAGAAGGUUUCAUCCCCUGCAAACCUAAAAAUAACAGGGAGAAUAGUAAAUAAUAUGUUCAUUGCAAAAAUAUGCAGAAAUCAUGUUGACGUAAUGUAUUAAAUUUGAACUACCAAUGUCAUUUGGUUAGGAGAAUAACCUACCAGAACUGCUUGUUACGAAUCCAAGACUUUACAUUUACCAUAAUAAAUCUACCAAUUGUGAUUUCCAAGAAUCUAUUUACCAUAAUUUAGUAUCACGCUACUUAUAGAACCCAGAUCCAGAUAAAUAAACUACAACCCUAUAACCUGGUAUUAAUAUAAUUCAAAAAACUAGUAAAUGAUAUGGUUAAUUUACCACAUAAUUGAUCAGUCAAAAUUACAAUAACACAACAAUGGCAUACGUAUUUUCUGACUAUGAUUUGCGAUAAAGAAAGUGCUUGACAACUAAAGAACAUGAGUCCAAGAAACUACUAUGGUUAAUUUACCACAUAAUUACAGUAACACAACAGUGGCAGACGUAAUUUUCUGACUAUGAUUUGACAAAGGAAGUUCUUGACAACUAAUGAACAUGAGUCCAUGAAACUACUAUAACAUUCAGUUCCAACAAUAUUAAAAGUUUACUAGUGAAAUCCACAUAAGUUGAAUGGUAGUAAAGUAUUUGGUUAAUUUACCGCUGAGCAGGGUUGGAAGCCUAGUAAAUUACGAGAAUUAUUUACUAUGAAGCCUGAUAAUUUACUAUAAGAGCGAUAAAUCAUCCAAAAAAUUAUUUGUACCUAAAACCUAUGCAGCCAGCUGGUACAUAGUGUUCAUAGAAAGAGAGGUCUAACUUGCCAAAAGUAACGUGCUGACCAGAAUGGUGCUCGUCGUUUUUAAGCACAGUGGCUACACUAAUUGAAAACUGAGAAGUAUAAUAGAAGUUAAUAAGGACAUGAGCAAAUAUGUACGACAUACUUCAUGGGUCAAAAUUGCAGUAACACAAUGUUGAUUGAAAUAAUUUUUUUACUACGAUUUAUGAGGAAAAAAACAUUCUGAUAAGUUAUUAACAGGAAACCAUGAAUUUGCCAUAACAUUGACAAGGUUCCAUCGUAAUUCAAAAAAAUAGUUUGGUGCUACAUAAGACCCAGAUUUUAGAUAAAUCAAACACUAAUCUAAAACCUGGUGAAAUAGGCAUACUUAAAAAUAGUAAAUUAACAGGAAACCAUGGAAAAGCGCUAAAAAAUUGGACGAACAGUGAGCAAAUAAGCUCACGAGCACCAAUGAACCACAUAUAUAGUAACACAACAAAAUUGAACGUAAAUUACUGACAGUGAUUUACGAGAAACCCACUUCAUGAUAAGUAAUUAACAUAAACCUACGAGUUUACUAUAACAUCGACCAAGUUCCGAUAUUUCACAAAUUUAGUAGUAAUUCAAUCGCAACUCCAAUGUAUUUAGUAGUAAAUCCGUCAUUCAAAAAUUUUGUCCAUACAUUAUAUAUUAUAUGAGGACAAGCAGAGAUAAGGAUUCUGAGGACAAGCAGAGGAAAUGUAUUUUGUUCACAACCCACUUCCUGAAGACCAUGGAAUCUCACUGAAAAAUUAUGCACGGUCAUCAGCGCAAUACACUAUUAUUGGUCUACUGCAUAAUGUACAUAAUAUAUGUAUAUAUUAAUGUACAUAAUAUAUGCACAGAUAGAGAUAUAUGUAGAGAUUUUCUUUUAUAUAUAUCGAGAUAUAGAAGUUUAUUUAUGUCGAGGUUCAAAAUCUUGAUAAAAUAAAGAAAAAUAAGAAAAUCUUUCAUAUUCUCUCUUACCACUUGCACAAUGUUCAGGAUUAAAAAAAUUACCAGAAUUGUCAGUUAUAUGUGCAAAAUUUCUGUGCGACAACUAAUGAAUGAAGAUAUUACAGAAGUGGAUUUACAAUAUAUCUCAAAAUAUUAUCGCAUAGUUACAGUAUACCCCAAAUUAGAUGAAAUUGGACAGAUCCUAGUGACAACCGUUGUGCAAUACACCUCUUUGCAUUGAUUUGUUUGACCAAUUAAUCUGCUAAAACAAUCUAAUUUCAAUCUGCAGUGAGGGUGAGGAAAAGAUAAAAAUAAGGGCACGUGGUGCCAAGCAGAUCCCAAAGCUACUUCGGAUUUGACAUUCCCCAAUGAAAAAAAUAAAAUUAGUGAUGAUGGAAUCGAUCCAAUCAAACUGCUUAAUCAGCGGGGGCUUUUCAGGUUCAAUUCCUACAACGCAACCAAAUCAGAUAAAUAAACAAAACGAGAUAGAUUUGCCUUACCAGAAUCGCUUGACAGCCUAAUCCGCGGGACAGCACGACCUGGCCUCCCGUGCGCGGGUCGGUCCUCAACAUGGCUGUCCUGCCGCCGGGAUCUGCCGCUCCAUACGAGGUAUGUUGAGAAGAGGAAAGGGGCCCCAGCCAGGUCGUUGCCGGGCCGCCGCCGCUUCCACCUGGAUCUGACGCCAUUGCCGGCAGGCGGCAACCCGCUUCAAAUGAGGUCGCCAAAUCGGGAGGGUGCUGCCGGCGUGGAACGGAGGGGCGUCGCCGGGCCGUUGUUAGGCCGCCGGGACUCCUACCGACGGCGUAGCGGCAGCGGAGAAGAAACAGGGCGGCGACUGGUGCGUGCGGGAUGGCUGACGGGAAGGCAGCGGAUAAGAUGGCGGAGCCAUGACGAGCGGGGGCGGAUGAUCUGGACGGUUGGAUGGUCCGGCUACAAAAUACCUAUUUUGUGAUCAGCUACAGAGAAAUUGAUCUCUCUAUAUAUGAAAUCAAAAAAGCUGAUAUACUCAAGAUUCAGAACACGAGCGAGGUCGGGAGUAUUUCAAGAUUUCUGAUCAAUAUAACCAUUUUGAAACUAAUAAACUUAUUUUAUAAAAAUAAUCGUUCCAUGCGUAUUUGCAAGGAAUAGGGAAUUGGAUCUUUCGAUCCUUAUCUUUAAUUUAUCAUCUCCACAUAAUGACAGCUGUAGAUUGCAACACUACUACAAGCAAUGCCCUAUACCCUUUGCGGCAGCUAUAUAGUUUAUAUAAGUUUUUAGGUGUGUGUGAGAGUAUUGUGUCUAGUUUUGUAUUGUAUGAUUGUAAAUCAUCUUCAGGGUUUGUUCGGUUAGGUGGGGAUUAAAAAGUAUCGCAGAAGAGCAAGAGGAUUAAACCCUUAAUUAUUUUGAUUUUUUGAUGUCGAUUGUAGAUUAUUUUGAUUUUUUGGAUUCAUAGACUUUGCUAUGUACUUAGAUAUAAUACGCUAUGUCUAAAUACAUAGUAAAAAUUAUGAAUCUAGGAAACCCAAAACAACCUAUAAUUUAGGAUGGAUAUGAGAGUGUUUCACACAUUUGUGUUUUUUAAGUCCACGUUAGGUGUAUUCUGAUGUCGAUUUUAUUUACUAUAUAAAUAACUAAAGUUCACUAUGUUGUGCUGCAGACCUAGAGAUAUAAGCACGAGUUUGAGACGGUUGCGAAAGGAGAACUAUGUUCUGAUCUAGAAGGUGUGCAACACUGGCCUAAUACCAUUGAAUUUAUUAUUUUUGAGUUUAUACCAGAGUGAUGCAGGUUUAUUUCUUUUUCUUUGAUUGCUAUACUUAAGUAAUAUGUGUACUACUGUAGGGUGAGUGCUAACAAGUUAGCCUUAUUAUAUUAUGCUUAUCAGUAUCUCUUACACAGCCUCUUUAAUGAGUAGGCCAAGUGUCUGUCGUCUUGCAUGAAAGAACAUUUUGUUGAUGAAGCAUGCCUGUCUAAAAAACAUAUAUACUCCCUCCGUAUAGGAAAAGGAAGUCGUUUUGGACAAGGUUUGGGUCAAACAUUGGGAAUAUAAAUCAUGAAUAACUUUUAAGUUGUUGAGUUUGGAAAUGUGAAAGUCAUAUAAAUAGAUUUGUUUUGAAAAAUACUUUCAUAAAAAUAUACAUAUAUUACUUUUGGAUAAAUAUUUUUAUAAAAAUAAGGAGUCAAAGUAAUGCUUUGGAGAUCGUGUCGCUAUUCAAAACGACUUCCUUUUCCUAUACGGAGGGAGUAGUUCCCAAUGUGUUGGAUCCAGUAACGUUAGUUUGGCCUUGUUCACUACGGGAAACAGGGAAGAUGCCGAGUGCCAGGGGCACUCGGCGAAGCCCCAAAAACACUCGGCAAAGCGUUUGCCGAGUGUAACACUCGGCAAACGACACACGACAAAAAUCUUGACGGCAAACACUGGUUCGCCGAGUGUUUUGUGUCGGGCACUCGGCAAAGACUUUGCCGAGUGCCCAGAAAACACUCGGCGAACAAUUAUUGAAAAAAUAAAAAAAAAUCAUGCACCGCCACCUGCUCCGCCGCCGCCGCCGCCACCAUCCUCUCCUCUUCUCUUCAGGCCCCGGCGCCGGCGGAUCCGGUGGAGGGGACGGGCGGCGGCGGAUCCGGGGGCGCCGUGCGCCGGGCGGCGGCGGAUCCGGGAGCACGGGGCGGCGGGCGGCGGGGCCGGGGCCGCCGGGCGGCGGGCGGCGGCGGGGGGCGCCGGGCGGCGGGCGGCGGCGGGGGCCUUCGGGCGGCGGCGGGAGGGAGAGAGGAGGGAGUGAGGGGAGUGAGAGGGGGGCUUCGGGGGGCCGGGAGAGUUUGAGGAGGCCGGGCACUUAUUGAGGGGGCCGGGCACUUAUUCUGGUUUGCCGAGUGUCCUACGUGGACACUCGGUAAAGAGUUUCUUUGCCGAGUGUCCAACGUAGGACACUCGGCAAACGUUUUUUGAAAAAAAUUUAAAAAAUAUCCAACAGUUUCAAAAAAAUACCAAAUUUUCACAUGAACCAAUAUAGGUUUUCUACUGACUAUACAAAAAGUUUUGUAGUCAAACCGAACUCGACCGUCACUUCGACUCUAAAUUUUAUCGAAUCCUUCUCAAAGUUACUAUUCUUCUUCUGAGAUGCUUCGGUUUGUAAUCAUCGUACAUGAUGAAAUGUGCAAAACCUUCUCAAUUUUUUUCCACAGCCUCCACGUAUUAUAUCAUCAUCAUGACAAAUCUUAAGAUUUUCAGACUUUGAUUGUUUUUUUUACAAUUUAAAAAUACUACUGCAAAAAGAAAACACUCGGCAAAUUUAAGGUUUCCCGUAGUGGUUACUGGAUCUGAUCUUGUUUUUCCCAAUGUGUUGGAUAGGAUCCUUGCUGAAGUUGACGAUUCUGGUUACACAAACUGGUAUUCAUUCUGAUUCAUCUCAUUGCAGGCAUUGCUUGGUUGCUCCAACCUGCUUGGAACUUAUAAAGGCUUAAAUGCUUUGUUGUUGCUGUACAGACGAUGAUGAGGACAGGUGGCCAGUACCCAAGCCAAUUUAGUAUCAUCCCUAGAAUAAUGUGAACGUCGUCCCUGAAGAUGAGCGCUUGCUCGAGGAAUGACCUGCGGCUGAGCUUGAGGCAACGCAGGCUGAGGACGUUGGCAAGCCUUGUCAGAGUCUCUCCUCCGCUCAUCUCAGUGUCACGCAGGGAGAUGUUAGCCAGUUUCCCGGCCCUCUCGACCCAUGAAGGGAGGCUAGUGCCGAUCCUUCCGUUGAUAUCCAGGUUCUCGAGGACCAAGCUGGAGGUUGCCUCCUGCAGCACGGAAAUGUCGAGGACCCCGCCCUGGUCCUGAGUGACCCAGAUGGACAGCGAGCGCAGGCAUCCAGCCAGCGCGUAUAUCACUCCACGCAGCUGCUGGGCACCACGACGAUUGACGCGUCGGAUGACCACACCGAGCUUCCUCAGCUGACGCAGCUUGCCUACUCGUCCCAGCUCGGCCCCGUCCUCGGAGACCUGGACGUGGGACAGCGUCUCCAUGCUCCUCAUCGCACCGAUCCUGCUGGGGAUCCGCACGGUGACGAGCGACACCUCGGCCGACGUCCUCCUGGCGGUGGGGAGCUCCUCGCCGGUCACCUUGUCGACGUAGCGGCCGGCGAGCAGAUGCUUCAAGCUCUGCAGGUACAUCCUCCCCACGUCGCGGGGACGUAAGCGUGGCGUCUCCCGAAUGUCCAGCGUCUCCAGCAGCUUGAGCUUCUUCAGAUGGGUGGGCAGCAGCCAGGAGACAUCUGUGUUGCGAAGGCAAACGACGGUGCAGAUGGCCUCCGCAGACCAGGUCGUCCAUGAGUUUGUCGUCCCUCCAGCAGCAGCAGCAACCACAGUAGUCGUCCAUGGCCCUGACGACAUCCCUCCAGCUCCAGCAGCAACCCGACGCCGCUUUCUGUGGCGGCAGCUGCCGUGGCCGUCCAACUUUCUUUCGGAUAGUAAGCUGGCGGUCGAGGUGAAUCGGCAGGUCGAUGACGAAGUUCUCGCUCGCGGCGAUGCUGGUGAUGAAGGUUCUGACAAACGCGCAGUGCUCAUUCAAGGUCGGUGCGGCAGGUGGAUGCACCAUUUUCUUAGGGUGUGUUUGGUUACUGGGUUGGAUUGGGUCGAAACGGGUUCGACCCCCUUCGUCCCACGUUUGGUUGAAAAACGAUGUGGAACAGGUUCGACCCAGAUGGGAAUAUUCCUACUUGAUUCGGGUCGAUCAGAUUCCUCCAAAAUGGAGGGAUCGCGCGGACCCAGGUGGAUGUUGUGCGGCUCCGUCUCGCGCUCGCCCGCACGCCUCCCUCGAUCGCCGCUGGUGCACGGGGAGGAGUCGGCGUUGCCGGGCGGGGAGGAGGCGGUGGCGGCGGGGAGGAGCUGGCGUCGCCGGGCGGGGGAGCAGGGCAGCUCGGCGUGGUCCAGAGGUAGGGGCGGUGCGCGGAGGCUGGCUGGGGAGAGGGAGGGUGGGGCAGUGGCCAGCGGCCGGCGCAGGAUGAGGGAGGGAUGGGCGGCGCGCGGCCGGUGCAGGAGAGGGAGGGAUGCCCGGUGCGGCGCGGGGAGCGGGGGCGGUGAAGGGGCGGCACAGGGGUAGCCGGUCCGGGGAGGAGGCGGCGCGGGGGCAGCCAGGUCGGGGAGGUGGGGGCUGGCGGCUCCCGGCGCCGCCAUCAGGGGCCAGCGUGUCGGCGGCUGGGGAGGAGCCGGGGAGGAGGAGGGGCUUGCGGGGAGGAGAGGAGGAAGAAGAUGGAAGGGAGGGGAAUAAAGAAGAAGAGGAUGAUAGGUGGGCCCCGUGGCUGACAGGUGGGGCUACAACUAAUGGUGUUAAAAGUACAUCCAUCCCAACCCUCUCAACCUCUUCAACCAAAUAAAAGACUGGGUCCAACCCAUCCCUCUCCAUCCCUUUCAUCCAAACACGAGCUGGAUUCACUCUAACCCAACCCACGUCAUCCCAAAACCAAACGCAUGCUUAGUCAAUUGCCAAUGUAAUAGAGGGUACAUAUGAAUAGUGGCGAAUGAAGGAUUUUACAUAUGAGUGUUCGUAAUAUUCAUAUUUUGUUCAUAAAUGUAUAUAUCAUACUACUAUAUAUUUAGCUGAUGCUCAGUGAUUACUUGUACCCAUAUAACCAUAUUAAAACAUAUAAACUAUCAUUUUUUAUGUAUAAAAUCUUUUGUCCAGAAAUAUCUUUAAAAGUAUAAGUCUUGUAUAAUUUCUACCUAUUUUGUAAGGACUAUAUACCUAUUAUAUUUGAUUUGAAUACCAUCCUAGAUUUUUUUAGCGAGGUAAAGAUUUUUAGAGGUGUCAAUAGGCAUGCUAUGUUUAGCCAGCGGUAAACCCUCCUCCAUCUUGCUCUGACUCCACUACCACCGCCGAAGGGGUGGCAUGACCCCAUCCAAAUAUAUGCUUUCCUUCUUUUCUAAUAAUCUAGACCAGUUAGCAACACAUCAUCUUCAUUCAAGUAGAAAAACUUUCACUAUUUAAUUCGAAGGCAGGAGCGAUUAUGUCCAUGGUGGUUCAAGCUGGGUGUGCCAUUAUUGCCUUUUUUUAUUAUGAAAAAUUGUUUAUCCAAUUCAUAAUAAGAUCAUAGCUUGCGGAACACGUAUGAAGAAGUGGUAAAGCUACCAUGUCUAUGUGCAAGGUUAGCACAUCACCUUUAUGCAGUCUACCAAACAUGAUUUAGGUAGAGCCUAGUUACAUUGUCCAGUCUAACAAACAAGAUCACAUAAAAUGAUAAAAAGAUGUUGCAUCUUGCAUUGUUAGCAUGGUUCAUUGGGCCCAUCUCUAUAAUACGGGCUUGAUCAACCCUAUUUAGGCUACUAAAUAUGCUCGCAGUCUUCUCUCACUGGCACUUGCAAUUCCAUCUGACAUAUGCAUGAUCUAAAAUGUUAGGAGGUGCAAGUAAUUGCACUUGUUCUUCUCUUUUGUAUGCUUUGAUCAGUCAUGAUAUUUUCUGCUUUGUUCUACAUGAUACAAACUACUCAAGUAUCAGUAAGAUAUAUGGUUGAGAUAAUACUUUUCUGCGCAGGUACGUGCAGUGUGCAUAAAUCUUGAUUUUUUGCUUGAAGUAUGUGAAAAAUGCCAGUACAAGCAGCAUGCCAAACCCUAGGCAUAGCAAAAACAACUAUUUUUUUUAAUCAAAAUCAUAAAAUUGAUGUACGCACAUGCACCUAUAUAUGCAGUGAUCGUUCAAAAGCAGUAUAUAAAGUAUAGAGUCCAUACAUAUUUACGGGGAUAAUAUAAUUUGUUUACAACCAUCAACAACACAUAUUAUCAUGCAUCACUCAAUCAGAUCAUACAUCACACAAUCACACACGACAAAUUAAACAGCAAACCGUGACGCAGUUAGUACGCAUGCAGUAGUAUAACGGUAUCACACUCCAGCUAGUGCUGCUGGUUGAUAACGGUAACCGGAAUUGAUACGGUAGUAUGCCUUGCAGUUUUUGGGACCUCGGUGAUCAAUUCGUUCCCAACGGAGGCGGUGGAGGACAUGUAGCGGAUGUAAUACCUUGGAUCACUUGUGGAUUCUUUAGUGGCUUCCACCCAGUCCACGAGGCUCGUCGUCUUGAAGUCGCCUCUAAGCUCAAUCGCCUUCAGAUUGGGAAGGUAGUUGAUCCCGACGAUGAGGUCCUCCCCAUCACGUACCCUGCUUCUGCCUAUGGCCCACACAAUCUUCUCGAGCGCAGGAGCUGCGUCGGCGGCGAGGAAGGUGACGGUGGUGAUGGGGCCACCCUCGAGGACGAGGAUCUUGAGAGCUUUGAACUGGAGGACCCUGAAGACGAGUUCUUGCUCGGUGAAUGCGCCGCCGCUGAGCUUGAGGCAACGCAGGCUUAGGACACUGGCAAGCCUCCUCAUAGCAUCUUCUCCGCUCAGCUCAGUGUUACGUAGAGUGACGUUGGCUAGCUUCUGGGCCUUGGUGAUCCAUGAAGGCAGGCCGCUGAUCUUUCCCUUGAUAUCUAGGUUCUCGAGGAUGAAGCUGGGCCUGGGGGCGGCGCCCACCAUCUCUUGCGUGGUGGAGGAAGAGGAGGAAACCUCGUCGAGAGCCCAGCCCUGGGUGGUGACGCAAACUGACAGUGAGCGCAGGCAUCCAGACAGCGCAUGCAGCACUCGACCCAGAUGUGCGGUACUGUCAGCAUCGCCAUGGACGACCACACCGAGCUUCCUCAACUGACGCAGCUUGGCAACUCCUCGCAGCUCGGUUCCGUCCUUGGAGACUUGGACGUGGGAUAGUGUCUCCAUGAACCUCAUGGACCCGAUCUUGCGAGGCAUCCGCACGGUGAUGAGCGACGCCUUCUCGCCCGGCGUGAGGUAUCGGCCGGCGAGCAGGUGCUUUAGCUUUGGCAGGUUGAUCUUCUUCGUGUCGCGAGGCCGUAUGGUUGUUCCCCUGAUGUCCAGGGUCUCCAGCAGCGUAAGCUUGUUGAUAUAACAGGCAGGCAGGUGGGAGACGUCUGUGUUCCGAAGGCUCAGAUACUUGAGCCAGACCACAUCGCCAAAGCUCUUGAGGUGGUCCUUCUUCAGGCCUCUGCAGCCUCCCAAAUCCAGCACAUUCAGCCGAUAUAGCUCAGGGAGUUUCUUGAGGAAAUGCACCAGCGCGUCCAUGGGAUGAUCCUCCUCCGGCGAAGCGCUGUCGCUGCAAAGGUUGCAGCGGCGAGCGAUGUUCCUCCAACGAUCCGCCGCUUGUCGUUGCUCUUGCUGCGGCGGUGGAAGACGUCGAACUAUCUCUCGGAUCCUGAGCUGGCGGUCGAGGUGAGCUGGCAACGAGACCUCGAAGUUCUCGCUUCCAGUGAUGCUGAGAAUGAACUCGCGGACUGGCUUCUCCAUCACACAGCUCUUGACCGUGCCGGCAUCGCUGAAGCGAGCAGGACGGAUGAAGCCUCGAAAUACAAGCUCACCGAAGCAGCACUCGCCUUCUUCUUCUGGAAUCCUCCCUCCUCCUCCUCCUCCUCCUGGUUCUUUACCUACGAGGCCUUCGGCGACCCAUCGCCUGACCAUGCUUGUCCUGCUGAUCUCCGACUCAUGGAGGAAAGCAGUUAGAUACUGCAGGCAACUCUUCUGGCUGAUGGACAGCAUGCUGUAGCAGAAGAUCAUCACUUCCUUCUUGGGCUCUUGGGUUCUUCCCUCUAAUUUCUCCUUGAGCUUCUCCAGCUCUUGAUUUGUCGCAUAAGGGUAAGCAUAAAGAGCACAGAGGAACAUCUUCUUCGUGCAUCUGAAUGCUGCUCCAUCGUCGCCGUCAUCCUGAGAACAUUUCUUCAGGAUGCCAUGCACCGUGGCAGCUUCAGAUUGUACGAGAGGAGGAAGCCGACGGACGAUCUCUCUGCUGAAAGAUAGGUAUCUCAGAACAGCAGAUGGGAGAGCAGCAGGAAGCAGGCCGCCCACAGCAGUCGUCGCUCUGCGGAGAGACGAACGAAGCCAGGCCUGAUGGUGGGCCCUCCACCAUGCUUUGCUGCCGACGACGUCUUGUUCCAGUUCCAGAUCCAGUGCGCGUACAAAGGCCUCCCUCUUCUCCUCUUGUUGGCCAGCAGCAGGCGUCAUCGGCGCCAGCUUGAGGUCCGUACCAGCCGGGACGGUGACGCCGUAGCGCAACCGCCUCUCGCCGACAUCGCGCACGCGGGCCUUGAGCUCAGUGAUCUGCUUGCCGAGGUUGUGGAGCUCAUAAUACUUUUUGGGGUUGCGGAGGAAGCCCACCAUGGUCCCCAGGCGUCCAAAACGAAUAGCUUCGAACGGGACUAUGUCGUGGACGUAGCGCUGGACGCAGUCCUCGGCGACGUAGGCGAUCUCGCGCACCUGCUUCAUCCAUGCGCGGACCUGGUCGUCGUGCUGGCCCUCCGUCUUGGUCAGGUGCAGCAGGAACCCAUUCAUGCUGUCCAUCUCAUCCUUGAUGAACUGCAUGUCGCCGGGCACGCCGCCGAUCAGCCGCGCCUCGUCCGUGAUCGCCUUGGCCAGGACGCCCAGCAGCCCGUCAAUGGCGCCUUGGGUUAGGGCGGCCAUCGUCGAUCUCUGAUGAGCCUGCCUGAUCUUUAACUAAUGAUCUUCAGCUCAGUUCAUCUUCAAUUAUAUUGUAGCUAGCUAGAUGGAUUGAGAGGGAGGUGCCAUGCAUGCUCUCUUUUGCAUGCAAAUUGAGGUGUGUUGUCAUGGCCGUGAGAGGCAGCAUUUAUAGCUGUUGUUACACUACUGUUGCUGUAUUGUAUACACCACCCCACGCCAAAAAAGGAAGCAAAGGAGGAAAACCUAGCCGGAGGGCAAAGAGUCGAAUAUUAUACCUUAUCCUUUUCCAAUUGGCAAGCAAUAGCGAAUUGAAUCCUUUUGGUUGCCCCACACAAUGAUAACCUUUCAAUCUUAUUUCUUCAUUUUUGUCUAAUAACUCGAUCUUAGUCCAUAUCCAUCCAACUAGACAAGAACAUGAAUGAGUUGGAGGCCAAUUGAGAUUUAAAGAGACGCACGCUACCUAGCUCUAAUUAAAUACCAUGGGUUUGGAGACCAAUUUAGCAAUGUUAAUUAUUAUUUACACAUAUAUAUGGGCUAGCUUUGCAAGAUUUUUCGAUAUGAAUGGAAGAGUCAAGGUCAAGCAUCGGACUAGGGUACCUAUUUUAAUACCACAGCAGGAUGAAGCUUCUUUUGAGGGAUGGUACGUGGAGCAGGAAUUUACAGCAGGUGAGUGGACGUUCGAGGCGCUCUUUGGAUGCGAUUAUCAUGUACACCGCGUGGAAACAUUUGGAAGGAGAGGAACCGGAGGCUGGAGCUCUCUUAGAGUCUUAUGUUUAAGUUUGUUCUCAUGUGUGUUUACUUUCUUAUGUAAUAUCAAAUUAUAUGUAAAGACUUGCUUGCUUCCUCCUUAGAUGACGUAGCAGUACUCCUGCUCCUUAAAAAAAAAGAGACACAUCGGCACGCAUGCAUACGUCAGAGCUAGAAUCUAGUACUUGCUACCCUGUGCACGUCAAUGAAAGCAUAUAUAUAUAUAUAUAUAUACACACACACACUAACUAUAGCGGAAGCUCAAAGACUCGAAUAUUGUAUCUUUUCUUCCCAAGGAGCAGGGAACUGGAUUAUUUCACCACCUUCUUUCUUUAAUACAAAGACAGCUGUAUUAGGUUGUAAAGCUACUACGGAUCGAACAAGCAAUCCCCUAGUAUUCCUUAUAUGUCCGACCUAGAAUCUAGCUAGUAGUUGCUACCACAAUGCACGUCAGUAUUUUAUCUUUUCUUCCCACGUAGUAUAAAGACAGCUCUAUUAGGUUGUAAAGCUACUACAGAACAAGCAACCUCCUAUUCCUUGCAACGGCCAACUCUCGUCUAGAAUCAAGCGAACUGGAAGCUCUACUCAUAUAUCGUCUAUUUUGGUUCUAUAUGAAAUCAAAAGGUGGUAUAGUCAUAUAGAUAUAUAGUGUCACUGCGGCCGGUCCAUAGCAUGAGGCCGGGAGUAUUUCAAAAUUUCUGACCACCCAACACUUUUUAUCCCGAUUGACUUUGGACUCGGGACUAAAUGACCUUUAGUCCCGGGUUAAAAAUGAACAACUGACGGGGGAGCUUUAGUCCCGGUUGUAACGGCUACUAGGCUCAAAAAAUCUGACGGGAUGUUUGUCCCGGUUAGUCUUUCCAACCAGGACAAAAGAUUUAGUCCAGGUUGGAAUUUUCAACCGGGACAAAAGUUCCUCGCCUAUAAAUUGCCCUUCUUCCUCCCCGAGCCCAAGCCACUCCACCCUGACCGAGAGCUUCUUUUUCCUUCUCCAUAGCGAGCAAGCAACCUUAGGGAGGUGCUGCAUGAUUUUUUUCCUUCAUUUCCAUGGGGAUUUCACUCAUCCCCAGCGUUGUAAAGGUUAACUACUUCAUCCUCCCUUCAUUUAUUGUUAUUAUGCUUUGUUUUAUGCUUUAGAGAUAGAGAAAAAUGAGUUUUUUAGAACGAGGGAGAAAUGGAGAGGAUUUUUAUUUAUGCAUGUUUUUUAGCUAGAAUUUGAUGGAUAGCUUGCUUGUUAUAUAUGAUCCGUAUUAGGUAAAGAACUUGAUCAAUAUUAGGUAUGAGAAAAAUAGAGUAAAUAUAUUUUUAAUAUUUAGUUAUUGCAAUAAAAUUAAGGUAAAUAAAUUGUAGAUGUAAGAAAUAGAAUUUGGUCAUUGUUACAAUUUUUCAUGUCACUGUAAUUUAACAAUAAUUAUAUUUCUUUGACCAAUAAUUUAUUUAUCUCAUGUUUAUUGUAAGGACUAAAUAUUAUAAACAUAUUUAAUCUAUUUUCCCUACCUAAUAUUGAUCAAGUUCUUUAUCUAAUACGAAACCCUAUGUUCAUUUUUCAUGUAAUACGAUGCAGAUGGACCGACAAUGGAUGUACCACCUCCACUCCUCCAAUCCCAGAGAACAGUAUCUGCUCAUGGCAUGAAUAUGUUUACACUAUUCUCUGGUAUUGGAGGAGUGAAGGUGGCUCUUCGUUCUCUGGUAUUGGAGGAACAUUCUAAAGAGCUGGUUCUUCCGCUCCUCCAAUACCAGAGAACAUAGUCUGCACAUGUCAUGGAUGUACUUACACUAUUCUUUGAUACUGGAGGAGCAGAGGUGGCUCUCCAUACACUUCGUAGAAAUUAAGUCAUGUGCAGAGAUGGCUUGGAGGGCGAACAUUCUACUAUGUUGUGCCAUUAUUUUAGGAUAAUUGACUACGUGCAGUCCACUAUGGAGCGUCUGUAAUCUUUAGUGUAUAUGUAUCUUUAUUGUCUUGUUCCAGAAUUCUAACAUUUUUCUUCUUGUCGACCUAGUGAAUGUUAUGAAUGAUGAUUAGUGUAAUUUUCAUGUGAAUUUUUUUUAUCUUUAUGAAUGUUGAUUUAUGUAAAUUAUCAAUAUUGAUCAAGUUCUUUAUCUAAUACGAAGAUCUGUGUCCAUUUCUCACGUAAUAAUUUAUUUAUUUCAUGUUUAUUGCAAGAACUAAAUAUUAUAAACAUAUUUACUCUAUUUUUUCUAUUACCUAAUAUUGAUCAAGUUCUUUAUAAGCACAUGAAAAAUUGCUUGGCAUGCUCACGGCGGCGGAGCACCGCCUGGUGUUCGGCCCCGGGCUGCCCGUGCCGGCGUACGUUCGACCGCAAGGCCCGCACGUACCGCCUCACGGGGCAGUGGUCGCUCUUUCGUGUCGCGCCACGACAUGCGCGCCGGCGACGCCGUCGAGGUCCGCGCCUGGACAAGCACGUCGAGAGCGGCCUCGGCAUGGCGCGGCGCUGCUGCGGGCACCACGGCCCGCGGGGACGCCGGGAGCGACGGCCUCAUGCGCAUCGUCGCAAGCGCCCGCCCGCCGGAGCCUGACGUACAGGUGGUAGAAAAGCAUUGCGCGGUGUCCAAAUCAACAGGGAAGUGGUGUCGGUGAAGGUGUGAGAUGAUGAUCAUUACUUGGACACUGCAUUGGUGAUGGGUCGGCGACUGCAUCUUCUUAAUUCAGAGGGUUUUAACUGUACGUGAAGCUUUGAUCAUGCAGGUAUAUAUACUUACUUAUUAGUUGAUGUAGAUAGAUGGAUGGAUGGAGUACGUUGAUGAUGGAUGAACUCAUAGGGUGUGUUUGGUUGCAUGCAUCAUAUGAUGCCUGUAUGGAUCAUUUUAGAUGAUGGGGUUCAACCAUUUUUUACUUGUACCAUAUGAUUCACUCUUACUAGUAGAAUAAUAAAUUAAGUGGGAUGGCUUCGUUAUGGAUGAGUUAGUACAAUUCACCCAACCAAACAAAAGGAUCAUUAUUAUUUUGAACCAUUUCAUACCUGAACCAAAUGAUACAAACAAUCAAACACACCGUAGUGAUCGUAGCAGGGCCGACGAGGAUCCGAUGAUGGAUCCAAGUGAGAGGCUAGGCUGGUAUAAGUGGUAUGGAGUACUGAAAACGAGGGGUGUUGCCCUUUGUUUAUCUAGAGACGAUAUCUUGCUAAGGUAAUCAUAGGAACAAAAUGUGAUUUCCAUGGAAGUUGAAGUUGGAACAGUGUGGGUACUGCCAAAAUUCCAGAAAGAGGAGUUAAUUCCUUUCUUGCUGCAUUGUCCAUUUUGCUAUCACGAUCGAGUUAAAUGAAUAUGGCUCGUGGGCUGCUUGCAUAUCUGCAGUGCCGGUGCAUGUAUGUAGAUGGAGGAUCAUUUUCGUUUGUUUGUGCAUAUGGGUGAGUGAUCGAGGGUAGCACAUGAGAAAUGCAAGGGUACGCACGUCUAGGAACAGGUGAAAGAUGCAAUACAACAUUAGACAUCUUCAGUGCUGUGCUACCGAGGAGUUCGAUCCCAUCAUGCGGUAAAAAGCAACACCCAUAAGUUCUAUUCUAUCUACAUCAAUUGCGACAAUAUAUACAUCUUGGAGACUUACAUAUAUAUAAAUAGGAAAUAUGCAAAGAAAGAAGGUCCAAAUAUAAUGAACAUUAUCAUCCUUACAAAAUAUAAAUAUGUAAGGUUACAAAAACAUUUUGCAGCCUUAUAAUACAUAACAUUAUCUAAACUUACAAAAGAAACAUUUUGAUAAGCAUACAAAAUUCCUUCUCUCUAUUAAUUCAUGGGGAACAUAAAUGAAAGCAAAACACUACUAGGAUCACAAAACUGUAUGGAGGACGCGGUCGCUUGGGACGCAACAUCCGUCUUCCAAAUGGGGAGGCGGUGCAUCGGGGGCAGGGGGGCUCGGCGUCCGUUCCAUUGGAGCCAGCUCCUUCAAUGCCUCCUGCCAAUUGACACUGCCCAUUACCAUGUUCAGCAGAUCGCGCACACAUCGUGCUCGUAUCACGCGCUUCACGUUGGCUAGCUGCUUUUCCACCAGCAAUGUCCGCAUGGACUAUUCCAAGUCCAUAUCCCUUUUUGUCGAACACGGGGGCCGCAUUUAGCCUACUCCUACAAUGAUAACCCAUGUCCUGGAAGCAACACUUCACUAAGAAAAACUUCUCCGACCUGUUCCCCGGAACCAACUGAUGAUCUUUCCCUUUGCACGUUGGAGCCACAACAAACGCCGAGAACAGGGUAAGGGAAUCACAUGAAUCUACUGGUGCCAGGAUGACAUACAGCGCUCUCUCGUCCAACCUGCUCUUCCCUGAAACGUACCGGACUUGCGCUCUCAACAAGUUUGACACUCAGGAUGCUGAACUUCUUUCCUAAUAAGCUAACAGUUUUGGCUGUCCUUCUAGUCUUAUCACUGAAGCAAACAGUGAGCUUGCUGUUUGCAUUGAUCAGAAAAGAAGAGGUAAGGAGAAAUGUUUCAUGACGAUUGUUUGCAAUGACACAUCCAGCACAAUGGUAGUCUUCGUAGUUCUUAUCAGCAUUGGUCUCUAAAACCGUGACCAUGCUGUUGGACGUUGCUCCGUGGAUGUUGCCGCUGCUGCCUUCCAUUAGAGAAGGUACUACAAAUGUAAACGGAGCAGCAAAACAAAGUUGUAUCUUAGUUUCAGAUCAAAGCUAGUCGCCGUGUUUUGUUCAUUCUCACGGUUGGAUGAUGAGGACGGUAUGUAGCCAUGGCAAGUCUUGGAUUGUACUUCAUCAGUACCAAAUGCCCCAAUCAAAACCAAUCGAGCAUGGUAGAGAUAUAAGAACGAGUUUGAGACGGUUGCGACAGAACUAUGUUCUGAUCUAAUUAUUUUUGAGUUUAUACCAGAGUGAUGCAGAUUUAUUCCUUUUUCUUUGAUUGCUAUACUUAAGUAAUAUGUGUACUACUGUAGGGUGAGUGCUAACAAGUUAGCCUUAUUAUAUUAUGCUUAUCAGUAUCUCUUACACAGCCUCUUUAAUGAGUAGGCCAAGUGUCUGUCGUCUUGCAUGAAAGAACAUUUUGUUGAUGAAGCAUGCCUGUCUAAAAAACAUAUAUAGUUCCUAAUGUGUUGGAUCCAGUAACAUUAGUUUGGCCUUGUUACUGGAUCUGAUCUUGUUUUUCCCAAUGUGUUGGACAGGAUCCUUGCUGAAGUUGACGAUUCUGGUUACACAAACUGGUAUUCAUUCUGAUUCAUCUCAUUGCAGGCAUUGCUUGGUUGCUCCAACCUGCUUGGAACUUAUAAAGGCUUAAAUGCUUUGUUGUUGCUGUACAGACGAUGAUGAGGACAGGUGGCCAGUACCCAAGCCAAUUUAGUAUCAUCCCUAGAAUAAUGAUAGAGUUUGUGAUUAGUGCUGACAUAUCAAUGUUCUUGGACCUGGAGCAGUCUGUUGAAUUGCUCAAGUCUUGUCACAAAUUUAGUUUUGAACUUUGUUGAAUCAUGUGUGCUCAAUCCAGUCAUUAUCUAAUAAUUAAAAUUAGCCUUAUUACAUCAUAUCCAUCAGUAUCUCUUAUAGCUUCUUUAAUGAGUAUGCCAAGUGCCUGUCAUAUUGCAUAGAAGUACGUUUUGUGGAGAGGAUAUGUGUGUGUUUAACCUGUUUGUCGUCCAAUGACGUGGCUAGAUUACCAGUAUGAUGAGCACUUGACAAUAUUAUCAUAUCAACACGUGACUGCUUGCUUACAAGGGCAACACGGCCAGCAGCCAAGCCAUGAGCCCCGGAAAUUGUUCUACAGAUUCGAGGCCAUGAUAGUAUGGUACAUAAUGCUCGCACAAAGACCGGAGCAAUUUAGCAAAAGCCACAUCCAGCGCGCGCGCACUAGAAUGAUACUAUAAAUCGAUUGUACCAUAAUUUAAACUAGAAGUUACCAUAAUUAUUUAGCAUCAAGAUGCUUUUUUUAAAAAUUAUGGUACAAUCGAUUUAUAGUAAAUUACGACGUACAAGAAUGGACAUCAAUUCUAAUAAGUUAACUACAUUGUUGUCAGAAGCCAUUCAAGUUACGAUUUAUAGUAAAUUACGACAUACAAGAAUGGACAUAUCAAUUCUGUAGAGUAUAGCUGACCAUAGAAUAAACCAUUCUAUGACCGGCAGUUAGAAUAAGCUAUUCUAUGACCGGCAGUAGAGCAAACUCUAUAAGGUCCAAAAUGCACUUGUUGUUGUUGUAGUGUAUCAUUAGAUUGAUGAACAUGGUGCCGAGAGAAAGAAUCACUCUUGGCACUCACUCCGCUACAUGAUCCAUCCCUACAUUAUACUCACUUCCAGUGGGCAAGCAGGUCCCAGGUUCUAGAAAUCAAUUAUCAUGAGACUGAGCUAUCUACAAAAGCUUUCCUGCAGCUAGGCAACCCCUGUUUCUACUACUUACUGGCAGAGACUCCUCAUAUCUCUAUCAUCUCCACCUUAGGAACUACUGCUACCUCUACCUGCAGUAGCCUUCUUCCAUGCUUUUCACAAUGCUGCAGGUUUGUUCUUCAACUUCUCAACAAUGAACUUCCUCGUGUCGGCACCCUUCACAUUGAAUUCCAUCAGAAGAUCUUCAUACAGCGUCUUCAAGCUUGUGUUGAAUGUGAUUGCGCGUCUGGACAGAGGGUUUGCUGCAUUGACUGCUGGUCCUUGCUUUGGUGCAUUGCUGCUGCUACUGCUGGCUGCUCCCGCCUCACUGCUUUUGCAGUCAGACUCUUCCUCCGGCACUACUGAGCCAACGUCAUGACCCUCCAUGUAGUGCUUGCAUGCUGCGAGAAUGGUGUGCCCAUGCACCCGGAAGUGGCCGGCAACAAGGUCUGCAAAGUGCUGCAAGGAGCCACAAGCCAAGCAUGGAUCAGUUCCGUUACAAUACAAAUCAGCAAAAAUCAGAUUUCACUCCUUUGUCACACCAGUAUUAUUAUUAACACAUUACCUCUGGAGGCCUCCGAAGUGAGUACAACAUCGUCCUGCAUGAGUGCAGAAAGGUAGUGUCGUUAUACUCCAAAGAUUUCCUCUGUCCAUGUGGAGUGUUGGCUGAGGCCUCAUAUCCUGGCUCGUUGUAAUAUGGGUUCUCAUUCAAAAUGAGAGCUUGAAUGGAGACAAGAACCUGUAGCAAGGUUGAUUGAGCAGGAUUCCACUUCUCACAACCAUUACCAGUCCAGGUACCCAGCAGGCUAAGGCAUACUUUUCCACAGUUAUAUAAGUUUGGAUUAAUCCGAAGUCCUCCAGAGUGGUAAUGUACCAACUGUAAACGCCCAUCAGAGAAACAUUUCAAUAAAAUUUGAAAUGGUUAUAUGAAAAUAAUGAAAGAAACAUGCCAAAGAUUUGAUGCAUACCGGAGGGCCAGAAGGAUAAGAAGAGGGAAUGUGAACAUCGAAGAAGAAAAGCCCAUCAUGGUAGGGCGUUCCCUUAGGUCCAAUAAUCGCAGCCCUAAGAAGGUCAAUUCUAUCCUCGGCAACCCGGACAUAAAUAGAUGCUGCACAAAAGAAAAUCAUCAGAAUUUAUACCUCCAAGAUAAGAAAAAUACACUGAAGCAAUCUUCACUGAUUAACUAGAGAGCGAUAGCUUGUCUAAAACUUUCAUGAGUCGUGAACAAAGCCUAGUAAUGAUGAGUUCCAAAAUCAUGGGAAUAGCUUCUAAAGACAGAUAAUGUGCAAAAUUUUGAGUCACAAAGAUGAGGAAACCACAAAGGCAAUGACCAUAUGACACCCCAGUUAAGUGCUUCAUAAUGAUAUAAGACACAACGAUCCAUCACAAGGAAGGCUUUACAGUUUACAUAGAUGCUAAGUAGAGGAAAUAGACCUAAAUAACAGCACGACAUGCAUGCCUGAUGGCUCUAUACAAAAUUGAAAAGUUAAAUAUCUGGCAAAAAUGGAUUGAGGAGUGUUAACUUUGCUAAAAGAUAACUCUAGAAAUAUUUUAUUUGCCCUUAAACAUAUGUUUCAAUUUCAAUUCAUCCCCAGGCAGUCCUAUGAAAAUAACUAUAAACAAGCACAUGAAGGACACUGGCACAUCCGACAUUACAAUGCACCUAGUAACUAAAGGUAUUGCAGUUUCACCCUGGCUAAGAAUACCAGUAUCAUGCAGCUUAGGAAGGAUUGUUUUGUCUCCUUAUUGAGUGUAGUAGACAUGGUCCCUAACAGACAGAUCUUAUUGAAAUAAUGUAACAAUCUUAUAUCAAACUUAUUGCUUCUCCAAACUAAUCGACUUUUUGGUAACCUGAACGGUAACUGAUCGCUAGACCUGGGCUGGGGAAGCAAUAAUGGACACUGGCUACACAUGAAGAAAGCAUUUUCAAUGUUGAUGGUGUCCCAAAUGCAAUGUAACUGGUUUAAACUUGAAAAAGGGGCCACACUAAGCAUUAAGUAAAAGAACGUAGCCUAUUUUGCUCAUAUCUAACCUGGUAGAUCCUUCUCCAGAAGUUUCCAGUCAUGUUGAACUCUCUUGGACCAAGCUCUGGCUGGCUGAAAUAAUGAUCACAUGCAAGAAUAGGUAAGUGCCCAAGAGAAGCAUAAAUCAAGAGCAACUAUUAGUUGAGCAUGCCACCUCUCCCUGAGAACAUUUAGCAAAGUGAUGGUCAGAGAAAUUUUGAACAGUGUCGAACUGCUUGAACUGCUUAUAUUUAUUUGCAUUCUCAUCUUCAGUAUUUGAUUUAGAUGGCUCCUUGGCUUCUUCCUUGGCUGCAAUUUUCUGCAGCCACGGUACAGUAGCCUCCACACCUGGAGGCAGAUCUAAAUCAUCAAAUUUAUCAGCGAGAUGCUGAUUAAAGUCAGCUUCAUCAAAGUCAUAGUCAUCUUCAUCAUAGCCAUCAACAUCAUCAUCACAGUCAUCCUCCAUAUAGUAAUCUUCUUCUUCUUCGAUUUCUCCAGAGUCAAGAUCCUGAGGUUCUGGUUCGGAAAUUUGUAAAGAAGUACUUGUGCUGGAUGAACCCUGUAAAACAGUGUAGGCUAGUCAAUAACUAUAGCAGGUAGUAGUAAAGAAAAAGCAUGAAAAGGACAUGUGAAGUCAUUUCUGCCACAAUCUGGGAUGCUAUAUAUAUUUAGUUAUCAAUUGUGCGAACUGAUUGCCAACGACUAGUAACAUUAAAAUCUGAAUAAGAAUGCUUCCAGCCCUAAAAUGCAUCUUUUAUCAUAAAGGCCAAAACGACCACUGUGAGUCCACUAUUGUUAUUCACACUGCAUUGGACAGAAAGUCUGUAAAAAUCCUCUGCAGCUGAAAUAGAGUAACAGCAGCGAAGGAAUAAUUUUGACUGAUACGCUGCAAGGUUCAGAGACACAGGAAACUGCCAGUGCAUCGCCAAUGGAGCCAAUUCUGAGUGGCAUUGCACCAAUCAGCCCAGGAUAGGGUCGAGAAUGGCAGAGCACACCCCAGUUGUUCCAUGGCCCCCAAACAAUUGAGCCGAGGAAGCACCGAAGGCACCGUGAAUCAGCGCCCCCAAAACCCAAACCCUAGUGGCUGGUUGGCGGGUUGGGCGCAGAAAACCCCAAUCCGGACCCCCGAACGGAACCCUAAACGAGAACCCCCGUUCCACCAAAUCCGGCGUGGGUAAGAACCUCGCGAGCGAGAAUUUCAUCAAUCAACUCGGAAGGGAGGGGGGAAAGCUACGCGAUUGGGCGGGCAAGGAAACGAGGCGGGAGGUUCACCUGGCAUCGCUGGCGCUUCUGCUGCUGCGCGGCGCCCCAUGCGGCGGCGUCGGCCGUGCGGCACGACGAGGAGCUCCCCUGCUGCAGGCCGAGGUACCUGCAGGAGCCGAGGCGAUCAUCAUAAUAAUAAUGAAAAGGAAAUCGCCCCAAAAAAAAAAUAAAGAGAAGUUUCCCCCCACUCCGCGAGGAAGAGAGAUCGAUCGCGGCGGCGAGGAGGCGACGUACUCUGCGUCCAUGGCGGCGGCGGGCGACGAGCCGCUGCGCGAUCGCCGGCGACCGAUCGAAAGAUGGAGCGGAACGGAAGGGAAGGGGAAGGGGAUUGGAGGCCGAAUCGAUCGAUUUAUGCAGGCUGCGUCCUAGUCCCGCUCGGCUACGCGCUGGUGGAGACGCGCCGCGGCCUAUGACGUGUGGGUCGACUCGGAGGGGAAUAUCCUCCCGGGCCCACCCGUCAGAGGCUGCGAGCGUGACGCAGGCGGAUACGGGGACGGCGACCUGGUUCCCUGCUCCCCCCUGGCGGAGGGGUGGUUAGAUUGUAGUAGAAGGCAAAAGGUUGGGACCCUCGGGCCCAUCUGUCAGUGGCACGGGAUCUCCCCCGGAUCUUGUGUGCCAAGGUGCGGUGAGGCUGACAGGAGUGGUCAACAGGAUCUUAGCUAGUUUCAGUUAGCUAGUUUCCCGUUCGUUUGAGCUUCUCCUUUUGAACUUUUGCUAGGAAAAGCUGGCUUUUUAGUUGCUUGCUAUUGAUUUUUAUAAUAAAUUUUAUAUUCUCAGCAUACCAAAAGUUAGUAAAAGCUCUUCUUAACCAGCUUUGUAGCUUUUAGCUCAUUUUAUCAGAAGCUAGUUUUUCAGCUUUUUAAAAGCCAACUCAACAAUUAGCUUGUUUGUUUAAGCUUUCCAGCUUCUAGCGGCCAGAGAUCGGAAAACUGACCUCAGAAGCUGAGGCCCCGUUUUCUUCCACUGACUUAUUUUUAGCACCCGUCACAUCGAAUAUUUAGAUACUAAUUAGGAGUAUUAAACGUAGACUAUUUACAAAACCCAUUACAUAAGACGAAUCUAAACGGCGAGACGAAUCUAUUAAACCUAAUUAGUCCAUGAUUUGACAAUGUGUUGCUACAGUAAACAUUUGCUAAUGAUGGAUUAAUUAGGCUUAAUAGAUUCGUCUCGCCGUUUAGAUUCCACUUAUGUAAUUGGUUUUGUAAAUAGUCUACGUUUAAUACUCCUAAUUAGUAUCUAAACAUUCGAUGUGACACGUGCUAAGGGCCCGUUUGGUUCCCUUUGCUUAUUUUUAAGCAAGUGUCACAUCAAUGUUUAGAUACUAAUUAGGAGUAUUAAACGUAGACUAUUUACAAAACUCAUUACAUAAGUGGAGGCUAAACAGCGAGACGGAUCUAUUAAGCCUAAUUAAUCUAUCAUUAGCAAAUGUUUACUGUAGCAACACAUUGUCAAAUCAUGGACUAAUUAGGCUUAAUAGAUUCGUCUCGCCAUUUAGCCUCCACUUAUGUAAUCGGUUUUGUAAAUAGUCUACGUUUAAUACUCCUAAUUAGUAUCUAAACAUUCGAUGUGACGGGUGCUUAAAUUUAAGCAAGUGAAUCAAACCAGGCCUAAAAAUAAGACACAGGAAGAAAACACCCCCCGAAACAAACGGGUCGGCACUAACUCUCGAACCAUGGGGAUGAAGGGCAAGUUGAGCGGCAGCAGCAGCAGCCUGGCACCGGUGGAGCGCCAGCAGCCUCGGCUUGGAAGCAGUGCAUGACAUGGGGAGCAGUGGCAGGUAACCAGCUCGCGUGUGGGCAGCUGCCAGCUGCGGCUGCAAGGAAAACUGGAUGGCAACAGGGAGGAGUAGGCGCACCAAAGCAGCAUGGGGUUUCGAUUUCUUGUGACUGGAGCCGUGAUCCACCAUUAUUGGAAAUGGAGGAGAGACGAGAGAGAGACACAUCUUGGAGAGGAAGACGAAGCUGCUCCCAUUUUUGUUUUUUCAAUUCUGUCAUAAGGGACCCACGACCGAUGCUCAUUGCUGACGCGGUGGCCUUUCCAACCCGAUGCCAAUUUCUACCUCUUGAAAAACAAUGUCACUGUUGUGAUGGGAGGGGUAAAAUGGUCUUUAUAAGUUGGACUUAACUGCCGUAUGGAUGCAAGUGUCACAAAAAGGCAUAAAAGAUGAUCCUGGUGUCAGGGAGGUAAAAUUGUCUAGCGUCAUGCACGGAACAAGAAUUUGUUUUUACAUGGAAUUCUCUCUACUACGUAUCUUUUAGGAUGACCGAGAAGUAAAAUUCUAUGACACCAAUUUUAGCAUACCAAAAAAUCAAAAUCAAACAAGUCUGUUUCAUAAUAGACCUGUCAUUGGAUAUGCCUACCCUCUCACCAAAUACACACAUUUCAAAUAGAGAGGGUAUGGAUAGAAAAUUAUUUAUCCAUUAGAAAUGGUAAGGGUAGGGUAUCGGAAGGGUACAAUCUAUUGGAUAUGGUUAGGAUUGGGGAGGUUAAGGAGUGGAUAAUAAUUAUUUGAAAUUGGGUGUGAACAAGAGUGAGUUUGCCCAUAUCCUUUUCAGUGGUAGGCCUACUCGUAGAUCGGAAGAGAAUAGAAAGGCCAAAAGAAUCAUAAUCUGCUUUCAGACUCUGCCAUCUAAAGCGCCAAUUGCUAGUAUGGAAUAUAGUUUCAAGGUCCUUCGGAGAAGUUUUAUUUUCUUUUGUUCCUGUUUGAAAGCCUGAUUUUUUUUGACGAUUGAUAUAGCAGAAAAAAUAUAAGACAACGACCAUGAGAGGCCAUAGACAGGAACUAAACUAAACUCUCCCAGUUGAAUUGGGACAUCAACGCGGGACCAAUCAACUUGAAAACGUCAAAACCGACCGGUUGGAUUGGGACAUCAACACGGCCGCAUCACUCCACUCGACAAUGACAGCCGAACCAAAGCCUAAUCGUGGCAUCCACCAACUUUUCACUCUGAAGUAGUCGUUGAACACCUCCAGAUGUGACCCCGCAUUAACAAGAACCAAGAGAAACGGAUCGUACCGCACCGAAAAGGCCACCACCAUGCAGGACCCUAUGCCGUAGUGCCGCUGCAACAUCACACUCCACCCGACAGAGUGAUACCACUAGAUUCGGACCUCUCGCAGGCUACCUCGCAGUCGCCACCACGAUAACACAAACGCACGGGAGCCUCGCCAUAUCCGCCGUUGGACUCCACCUCGCUCUCGUCGCCUUGAAGAUACACCGCAUGUAGGGGCCUCGCCAUGCCCGCUACAAUACUUCAUGUCCUAGAUCCGUUUCUUUUGUUGCCAUCAGAAUGGUGAGCAAUGUUGCUCCGCUUCCCAAGGUGUCCAUCAAAUAUCAAGCCGCUGCCGUAGGUCGACUUCGCCUCAUUGCUCCACCCACGUGCAUAACCAUCGUCGGCGUUAGGAAGCCAAAGUAGUUGAUUGCGUUGUCUUUCGCCACAGUCCACUGCAAGCCUAGUCGUUCCACAAUACCGUUGCUGCAAGCGCCGUCCUUCGACGCAGUCCCACACCGCACUGACAGUUGCCGAGCAACACCAGCCGCCGCGGUCCACUGCAAGCAGCCAACCUGACAACAAUAUGACAACCCCUUGCCACCACCAAACCUGCGAUCGCCUCUACAUGAGCUCAGCAAAACCCCGUCUAGCUUGCCGUCCUGCACCAUGCCAUCUUGCCACCACUGAUUGGAGCCUGCCAUGAUCAACAUGUCACCAGCAAUGCCACAGACCGAGUUGGUGGUCUCUAGAGACGACACCUCCAUGGAGGGGACGACGCCAGUGCCACCGCCGUCGCUCGUCCAGAAUCUGGACAGGGUUUUCACCCAGAGAACCCCAUGCAAUAGGGAUGGGGCUCCAAGAUGACGUCCCUAACGGGGAGAACGAUGCCCUAGGGCACCAUCGCCAUUGCCACCAGUAAGAUCGCCGGCAAAGACUUUCGCCCGGAGCAUCCCACUCCUAGUCAUUGCACGUAUUCAGGUCGGCACUCCUGGGACGACCACCAUGGAAGUCUCCCACCCCUAGUCAUUGCAUGUACAAAGGAAUGCUCGAAGCAAACAAGGACGGGCAUGGGCGCAGGUUGGUUGCUCCCAAAUAGAUUGAUGUACUAAUGGGAGAGAGGAGGUUGCCAUGGGUCGAUGAGUUGUGAAAAUAUCAGAAAACCAUAUGGAAGGAGAUCUGAUAUGUCCUCGAACAAAAUUCUGAACAACACUGGUAGGAGCUUUCCUUCAAACACAUAGAGGGGUGCUGGGCCCUGCUCAUUGGCCCGACCAAUCUCUGCUGCUAGGGCCUCGAACAAGUAUCUGUUGAAUUCAGGGUUCUUGGAGUUAUUGCACACUUGAUUGAGAAUACCAGCCAGAAGAGCAGUUGUGUCACGAAUAGUUUGGCCUGCUAUAGUAGCAAUCCCAAGCACCUGUGCCAUGCACUUCAUCAGGUAUGGGUUGUCAUAAGUUUCAGCAGGUUCGAAAUGACCUCAGCAGCAAACAGAUCAAUACUAUUAGCAUCAUAACGUUGAGAACUGGCCACUUGGUUGACCCCUGGUGCUUGGACCGUAUCCUUCAUCAUCAACUGCUUAUCAGUAAAGACCGCAGCAUAGGAUCGAACAACAUGGGAUUCGUGUGCGAGGAACUUUCACCGUCUUUUGAAGCAGGAUCUGUGCAUUUUGUUUGGGUAUUUGAUCAUUGAACUCCUUUAAGAACCACAAGGCGGUUGAUUUCAGAAUUUUAUGGGACUGACAACUGGUGUAGUCAAGCAUAAGCUCAAUGUCACAAAGAAAAUCGACAUUUGUGCCAAGAUCACCAACAACAGCAAUAACAUCGUAAAUUGCAGCAAUUGCUUCCUUCUAGUGGUUUGUCUUGUCAUUUUUAUAUUCCAUCAUCAUCUUACCAUAACAUGUCUUCGCCCAUGCACACACCCUCUGAUUGUAAUUCACCUUAAGGCUCUCCAAUAGCUGGCAUGCAGCUCAUCUUGGUGCAUUAGCAACAGCCCAUUCUGAAACAGCUUUUCAUCUUCGUCCCGUAACAGCAGGUUGGACAUGAUGACACCAUCACAUAUCCGAUCCAUUUUACUCCCUACAGACGCAUGGUGCGCACUCUUGGGGUAGUCAAGAACCUUAAUGCUGCCACCGCGAGCUGUUCACAGGAUGGCGAGGCUCUUUGCGCCCUGAGAAGGCCCACCACAGCCUCAACGGACUCUUCCAGCUUCUCCAGCUUCAAGUAUCCCUUAACCAACGCCUCAUGCUUUUCCAUAUAAAGCUUCGGAGAAAUCGGAGGCGGCGAUGGUGGCCAGGGCUUCGGAGAUCUCGACCUGGACGGUGGGCGGGGCGGCGAGGAGGUGGUCCAGGAUCGCCUCCUUGAUGAUGCGACAUUCCAUCUUGGGGGAGGUGGUCGCCGUUGGCAGAGGGGACGGCGACUGUGGCGGCGGCGGACGAGGAGGAUGCGAGGAAGAAGAGACCCAACGCGUAGUCUGGGUGCCUGAAUUGGUUCCCAGAAAAUAGCAGUAACAAUUGGCCAUAUUUUGCUACUUAAACAUUCAGGGUGUCAGUUGCAUAUAAUUCUACAGCUAAGGAGAGGUGAUAGCUGAUACACAUCAAUAGUAAAUAUCUUUCUCCAAGCGAGAAGAAACACUCAAGAUGUAAAACUAAAUAAACCGAGGGCGCUCACACACUAAAGAUAGUUUGGUAUCCAGCAUCUCAGGAAUAUUGUUAUCUUCAUAGUCAUGAAUAAUCUUAGCAAGCUCAACAUCUCUGCCAGGAUCAAAAUAAAUAAAGUCUGACACCAGCAAGCCUUUCAAAACAUCCUUAUAUGCCCUCACAGCGGAGCGGUAUAAAUUGAUGGAGCCAUUAAAAUCACGGGAAUGACCAGAGGGUGGAUGCAAAAUCUUGUUUCCUUCGUCCUCACAAAAGGAGCAACGACCUGUUUUCAAAGCCAAAAAUAGGAAGACGUCAGAAAUUGGGGAUUCUAGUGCCAAAAAGAUUCAUAUGGAGAAAAAGAAUCAGCAACUACAGAACCAGUAGCUAGCUCUCCUUCUCUCUUCAGAAUAUUUAGGUUAUUUCAUCUAACAAGGAGUUUCCUCACUGUUACGCCAUGGCAGUUAUGGUUCCUAGGCCUGGGUAAAAACACACUGCAGCAAACUAACCGCGCCACACUAAAAUUUGCAGUUGUUUCGGUGGUCCGUGUUCAGUGUGGUGGUGAACUUGCUGGCUGCUUGCAUUGGUGUUAAGUGUGGUGAUAGGUCCCAGAAACCAAAGCACUGAAAUCACCAAACAUAAUUCGCAGGCAGCCCCUCCUGGCCAACAGCCUAUUCCCCUCGUGCAGUUUCAAGAGCACAGAACUAAUCCGACAGGGCGUCGCUAUCCUAUCCCCACUCCCCAGUCCAACCAGACAUGAGCAUGGGCUAGUGCCGUGAUGAGUGCAUAUGCUUCCACGGAUGCAGGCGGCCAUGGUGAGUGCAUGAGCCUCCAUGGACGUGGGCAGCCAUACUGAGCGGCGAGCGGGCGGCCGCUACCAGUGUGCUAGCCUGACGUGGGUGUUAGGGCUACUGUGGCCAGCUCACAGGUUCAGAGAGCGGGAAUGCAAGGCAGCCAAAGGCGUGCGCACAGGCCUCUGUGCUGACCUUGUGUCUUCCUUGUAGCCUAAGGCAUGCGCACAAGCCUUCAUGAUGAGCUUGUGUCUUCUUCAGUUCCCUCUCUAAACUUCUUCAUCUGCGUCUUUUAUUCAUUUUAUUCUCAAUAUUUUUUUAACGUGAAUUUUAUUCUCAAUAUUCCUUAGCAUCUGCUGCUUGUUCAGUGGAAAACCAAACACCUCACCAAAAUAAACCGAAUCCGAAGUGUGAGGUUCCUGUGUUUCUGGCGACAACUUCGGUGAACAGAUUCCGUAAACUGAAAUAUUUGUCCACUUAAAAACCCAAACCUAAGAAACCAAAAUAACCAUGCCCAGGGCUAACGCUUCCUAAUCCAUGCGAUCAUUACCCAAGUGGGUGUUCACCAUGCUCUUUCUUUUCCCAUAGUAAUGCGCGCCAUGUUAAGAAAACCGUUACUGCAAUAAGGUUGAUUAGUUGUAGGAACAAGGGCUCACCAAUGCAUGCACUGUAAUCAUAUAUAGGGCAGCAGCUAGAUGGCUUCGAUUGAACAUCUUCACGAGAAGGUGACACCCAGAAUUCAGCGAAGAAGAGUGUGUGCUCAUGGGAUGAUCCAAUAGCAUCAUUUAUAGUCGCCAAAAAGUUGGCAUGAUAGAAAUUUGGGUGAAAUGGAGAACUGGAUGCUGUCACUCCACAGAUAAUGUCAAGCUGGUAACUUGGUUCCUGCAGUAAGCAUGAAUAUUCUUAAAUAUUUCAGCAGCCUGGUGGAAGUAGGGAACUUAAUUCAUACAUAAGGUCAAGUCGAGUGUCAACAUGGAUGACUAGCAAUAACCACUCAGUGUUCAAAUAGAGAAUGUAACACAUCAAUUAUGACAGGGAAGCACAAUUAUAUGUUGUAAAAACAUCAACAUAGGCUCGGAAAUGACAUAUAACUUGCUGGUGGCCUAUAGUGUAAUCAUACAUCGGAGCAGAAAACCAGUACAUCGGAAAUAACUGACAGUGUUUGGUUCGAGGGAUCAUCCAAUUCUAGACCCAUCACCACCCCAUUCCUCAAAUUAAAAAAGGACACCAUAUACUAACAGAUAUCAUAAAGCACUAGCACUAAAAGGUAACCAAUGAUCACAAAGGUAUAGCCAGUUAGCUAGUAAUACUAAACCAGCAGAAAGCACUACUCGACAAACGUACUAAGCAAUCACAAAGCACAAAGGCACAAUGCCAAUAUAGACAUGAAGUCGGAGCAAAAGAGAGGUAAUGUUUUUGGUUGUUAUGUACCCAAGGAUGCUGAUUGCAGUAUUUGCGUAGCACUUUAUUCAGCUCGGUGUGAACAAAGUCCAGCUUCCUUAUGAACGCCAACCUCUUUCCAGAAAUCCGCGCUGACACAAAUGGAGAAACGAGAGAGGAAUCCUCCUCCUUUAGCACUGACACAGGCCAUACACUGUACACUUCAUUGCUGAGGACUCUGAUUAGCUGGUCCCAAUGAGCAGCUGAGAUCAAGGAGUGAAGGUGGUCGAUCUUCUCUAGCGACAGGGACAUGAGGAAUGAUCCAAACGCAGUGUGCUGGGGGUGUUUGGCAAUCUCGGCCACAGCAGCAAAAGAGACAUUGCGUGCUAUCUUUAUGAUGGGACGACCAAGAUAUGAUGAUCUAGUUAAGUCACAGUCCAAAGAGCUAAGGAACUCCAAAGCACGGUGUUUCGACCCGAAGGUGCCCUGCACCAUGGUCACAAGUCCAUCGAGGGAACGGGACUCCAAGCGGGCCAUGGGUCUGGUGUCGAGGAUGCCUUGAGGUAAAUCAACUUCAACACCCUGUGCAAAUGGGAAGGCCACAUCGUACCAGAAUGAGUUGAGGAUAAUGUUGGACACGGGGUCCAUGAGGCCGUAGCAAUGUCCAGCGACAAGGAGAGCACGGAGGAGGCUGGGCUUGCUGGGCAGUGUGGCAAGUGCCUUGAUGUACAAGGCGUGGAUGGUGUCGAGCAGGCACAUCUUCACGGAUAUUAUGUGCUCGCAUGGGGGGACAUUAUAGUUCACCUCUGUUGCCAUGGCAGAAGCUGCGAGUGCUGAUGCCUCGAGACAUCUGGAUAGCUUGGUCUCCAUGUCCUCACAGCAGAAUACCAAGUCGGAGAUGUAGUUUUGCUGCUGAGUCUGGAAGUAAUCGCGGGUUGUCACGAUAGAGGUUUGAGCGACAAGGUCCUCCCCGAGGGAGGUUGAGAUCACAAGCACGCCAUCGUCGCCGCGGCGGGUACAAGUGCGGCCAUUUGGACGGCACCAGAAAUCUAUGUUGGCUGGCUGCGGAGUUGGCGGCCAUUGGUGUGCCAGAAGGUCCCUGAUUUCCAAGACGUCGUCCGUGGUGAGCUGCUCCUUUCCACCUUGCUGAUUUCCAAGCUUGAACAGGACAGGGGCGAGCGUGUCACGGGGGUACUCCGCCGUCAUGAGCCCCGCCAGGACGUCGGGCGCCGGGUGCUGCGCUUUGAGCGCGGCAAACCUGAGGGCUGCCUUGAGUUUGCCGCCGUCUGGGAGCAAAGGUCGCCGUUGAUUCGAGGAUCCUUGCGCGAAUCUGUCGUGGUGGACGAGCUUGACGGCGAGGGUGAGGUCUUGGGAUGCCAGGUAGAGGUAGCGCUUGGCCUGGUCAGUGCUGAGGUAGCGGAAGUAGGCAUUCAUGAAGGCGGCGAUGCCGUCGAUGGAUCGCCAGACGACAUCCCGCCACCCCUCGUACACGCGGACCCUCCCAUGUGGGGGCGGGUGCUCCCCUUGUUGGUCGUGGAGCAGCAGGCCGACGGCGUUGAGGAUGAUGUUGGUGACGGGGUCUGCGAGGCCGAAGCAGAGGCCGCCCGCGUAGAUGGCCGUCCAGCUCCGGCAUCUCCUUGAGGGGCAGCCGGCGCGCCGCCUCAUCGUAGAACUCGUCGAUCCGCGCGCGGCUGUUCUUGAACCACUUUUUGAGCGCGCCUUCGUCGAGGGUAGACCGCCUCUCCUUGUCGCCGUGGUGGAAACAGGAGAAGCUCCCCAUCCCCGGGGCGGAUCGGGAGGAUUCGACGGCGAUGAGGGCGAAAUUGCAGGGGGCUGCCAUAUUGGGGAUCGCCGGAACUCGCUCUUGAUUUCGGGGGAUUUUCCUAUCUAUCUAUCUAUCCAGUAGGUUCCGCAGAGAAUUCACUAUUUAACACUAGAAAAAUUAAUAAUUUCUUUCUCGACCCUUAGAAAAUUUUCGUUUCCUAUUUGACAUCGAGUUCAACUUUCAUUCUUUGUACGACACUAUAUUCGAUUUUCCAUCCUUGAACUGUUAAAUACCCUGUGAAAAGACGAUUUUACCCACGUGGACCUCACCACCCUUCUCCGUCCUCUCCUCUCCUUGUCCCUCUCUCCACACCAGCCUGCCGUUUGUCGUGCCCCCGCAGGAGGCUGAGCCCCGUUGACCGUCGGGCCCACGCACCACCAUGGGAGGUCGGGCGUUGUCCAGGCUGCAAGACAGUAUAUCCACCGCAACCGAACCUUCUAAUAGAUCUGCCUGAAUCCAAGUGUUGCAACUGUUGUUACAUGGCAAGCAAAAAUCCUAUUAUCCUCUUCAAAAUUCGAAACUCCUAAAACUAUAUCAAGUAGCCUAGUUGUGAAUGUUUCACCAAAAAUGAUCCCACUUGUCAAUCAUGAAAGAUAACAGAAUCCAUCAUCAACAAUAUUCAACUAGAGUUCAGGGUCUAUGAUCAAUCAAGGACAGACACAUAUGUUCAUUGCUGCCCCUUUUCUUUUUUCUAUACAUAUGCAACGCUGUUUUCUUUUUUUUUCCUUUUAUUUCCUAACAUGUUCGUUCAUUUCUUUCAGGCUAUUGCGGUGUUUACUCAGUUAUCGUAGCUGUAGAUUAGGCUCGCUAGCUACAAGCUGGAAUGGUUGGUGGAUAUGCUAUUGCAAAGUUUCAUGUGCUUGAUAUGAUUCAAAGGUACGAGGCCAUAACUCAGCUGAAAUGUGGGUACGAGCUCUUGUCUUCCUUAUAUCAUAGCCAUGAUAACAUACCCAUCGUUCUCACAAUCGUGAAGAAUCACAGGAUUCCAUAUUCGCGUGGUAGCCUUGAUCCUCGUGGUUCUGUUGGAAGUCUGAAGAUCAAAUAUUUUUUUCAUGGUUGACAAAACUGAUGUUAGCCUUAUGAAAAAAUUACUAGCAAACGGAUUUCCUCUGGUGGCUGGCAUUCGUUAUGGUGCUUUGUUCCAAUUUGUGAAUUCUAAUCAGAAGUAUUUAAUUCUAGAGAUAGGUUUGGGUUAUGCGCUGGCAUUGAUUGGAGCUGGAGUGGAGGUUAACAAGAAGACAGGCAAAAUUGAGACAUACUUCAUUGCAAGGAACUCAGCUGGAUAUAAGACACAUUCGACAUGGGAGAAGAAAGGCUUUGGUGCGGAUGUAUGCUUAUGGGCAUCAGACAUUGUUUGUGUAUGGGGGUUUCAUCUCUAGAAAGUGAAGAGGUGAGAAAGAGGACAAGGUGAAAGACUAGUAUUGCGUUUGGAGGACGAGAAGCUAAGGCAUGAAAAGAUUAUAGCACAAAAGUUUGGUUCUACGAGAAGACGUAGGUGAUGACCAAGAAUAAGUAUUCUGUUGCUUUGUAAACACUGAUUCUCUGUGUACCUGUAUGUAUCAAGCACUCUGCUAUUCUAGUUUUAAUGGUGAUAUUAUCUUUUUUAAAUGUCAUGUUCUAUGUAUGUGGUCCUUUUAAUGGUGACAUUAUAUGUUUAACUAUCAUGUUUUAUGUUUGUGGUCCUUGCAAUAACAAGUGUUUCUACUAUCAAUUUUUUUUGGAUGUUAUUCAAUGCCCAUUUUGAGGCAUACUCCUUGUGAUAUGCACAUUUGAAUAUGUUGGAUUGGUAAGGGUAUAAAAUAAUUUGACAUCGGGGAAGGAUUGAAGGAAAGUAGCCAAUGCACUAUAUCUCUCCGUAAUUUUCAUCCUGGCUGACUUGUGGAUUCAUAUCUGUGUUGUCCUGUAUUUACUUUUGUCUUGUAUUUACUUGGAUUGGAAGGAUGGUUUGAUACACAUGUGAAAGCUUCAUAUUUAUAAUCACCUGCCCUCCUUUCCCUUCUGAAUUUUUAAGGGUAGUAUUAUGUUUGUAGAUUAGGAUUAUUAUAGUUCAAUUGCUAUCUAUGAAAAAGUCUUGCCUCACCUUACUAACUUAACAGACAUGGUUCAUGGCUAAUGUUGAAAUAUGUAAUGCAUACAUGGAAUAUUCUAAAAGAUUGUGAAGAUCUCAAGAGACUAACUUUGUCAUUUAUAAGGAUAAGAUCAUGGCAAGGUAAGAAGGUUCUAGAAAAUUGAAGAGAAUGCAUGAGCCAUAGUCAUGCUUCAUGAUAAAGUGUAGAAUACUCUAAAACUAGAUAUUUUAGUAUGGUAGAAAUAUAAGGAACUAGAUAAGGAUGAGGAGGAUUCUAGAGUUAGGAUAUUUUGUAAGGAAGAGUAUGGAAGUUGCCACAUGGCAACACCACAAUGAUCAUGAGCACCUAUAAAUAGAGGUGCUCCCCUCCCUCCUAGCCAUACCAUGACAUAAGAUCGAAAUUGGAGCUCAAAGCUGACAUAUAUCAUAUCCAGCCUCAAACAAGAGCUAGAAAAGUUCAUAUAAAUAGUACUCCCAAACUAAGAUACAAGGACAUAAAUAAAAUUUUUGUAAACAACCACAUUGCCUAUACAUAAACAGUUCGAUCAGCUAGUGCGUCACUUGUACUCUUCAUCUAAUAAUGAGUCUUGCAAAAAUUCACAUUUCUCAGCCACUAAACUGCUACAGUCUAAAAUUUAGUUUAAAACUGAGCAUGAAACAUUAUAAUGCAGUGGUCAUAAUAAUAAAAGAAACCAUCCACCUGAAAAAUCAAUCAGCAAUUCAGUCCCUAAACCUUGCCUCAACCAUAUUGUCCAUGUAUAAACACAUCAAUUCAAUGUCGCAUAUUUAAGCACUUGGUACCCAGCAAAUAAACACUUGAUUAAUCAUGCAUGACCACCUUACAGAAAAUGAGCCUAGAAGCCGAUUACAAGCUAGAGCAUCUGGAUUUUCAACUCAUAUCUGCCAACAACAAGAAAUGAUGUUAGAAAUUCUGGUGCUUAAUGACAAGUUAACUAUACUCAGCAGAAUGCAAUUUGAAAACCACAACUAACAUGAUGUUGAUUGAGUGCCAAACUUGCUAACUUCCCUUUUCAACCACAUAACAUGGAGUCUUGGUUCAUAGCCUAGAAACAACUGUCGAUUGAAUGUAUCUACUAGCACUCAAGAAAAUAAACUCAGAAGUUGUUUACCUAUGAAAUAUUGGCUUUGUAGUCUGCAGAAAGUUUAAUCAAAAAGCUUCUGUUCAGUGUAUUCAGAUGCUCAUUAAUAAUAGGAGCAAUUUUUCCAGGGUACUUGUUCGAAAAUGCAGCCACUGAUGUGAUGAAAUACUCUUUUGGAUCUUUAAUUUUCAGCGGAUCAUAUUCAUUGUUCCCAGCAUAUUGAAGACGUACAACUGAGACAUCAUCCAUCACUUGUACUACCCCUUGAUUCAUUUUCUACAACAGUGGUACUGUACUAUUAAGUAACUUGCCCCAAGAAUGGGGAUCUUCCUUCAGAAAGUUAGUUUCACAAAUCAACUUUGUUGAAGCAACUGCUGCAAGUUUAGAUUCACGAGCCCCUUCAAUCGAAUCAAGAUAGCGGAUCCAAAAAUGCUCAAGAAAUGUUGUGAAAUACCGCUCCGCUCUUCUGUCAAUUUCUUGGAUGGACUCAACAAAUUCUUGACUUCCGUAUUUGGUGACAAAUAAGGACACAGCGACAAUAAGGGACUUUGCAAACUUCACUUCCCACCUGCUCUGCCGCAGAACCCAAAGCCGAGGGAACAGAACACCCCAUGUGUCGCUAAUGUGAAGCCUUAGAAAGUCUAAACCAGCUUGUUCCACUAGUAAGCUAAGCAUGGCAAAUGCAGUAUAUGUGGUGCUAACAUUCAAAACCAGAGUACAGAACUUCUGUAAGACAAUUUUCAAUUUAUCAUGAUCAUUUUUUAUUUUACAAAGGAAUGCUCGAAGCAAACAAGAACAGGCAUGGGCGCAGGCUGGUUGCUCCCAAGUGGCACUGCUGAGAAGCAAAUCAAAUAGGUUCAUGUACUCAUGGGAGAGGGGAGGUUGGCAUAGGUCAAUGAGUUGUGAAAAUAUCAUAAAACCAUAUGGAAGGAGAUCUGAUAUGUCCUCGGACAAAAUUCUGAACAACACUGGGAGGAGCAUACCUUCAAACACACAGAGGGGUGCUGGGCCUUGCUCAUUGGCCCGGCCAAUCACUGCUGCCAGGGCCUCGAACAAGUAUCCGUUGAAUUCAGGGUUCUUUGAGUUAUUGCACACUUGAUUGAGAAUACCAGCCAGAAGAGCAGUUGUGUCACGAAUAGUUUGGCCAGCUAUAUUAGCAAUCCCAAGCACCUGUGCCAUGCACUUCGUCAGGUAUGGGUUGUCAUACAAAUCAGGAAGUUUCAGCAGGUUCGAAAUGACCUCAGCAGCAAUCAGAUCGAUACUAUUAGCAUCAUAACGUUGAGAACUGGCCACUUGGUUGACCCCUGGUGCUUGGACUGUAUCCUUCAUCAUCAACUGCUUAUCAGUAAAGACCGCAGCAUAGGAUCGAACAACAUGGGAUUCGUGUGCUAGGAACUUCACCGCCUUUUGAAGCAGGACCUGUGCAUUUUGUUUGGGUAUUUGAUCAUUGAACUCCUUUAAGAACCACAGGACGGUUGAUUUCAGAAUUUUCUGUGACCGGCAACUGGUGUAGUCAAGCAUAAGCUCAAUGUCACAAAGAAAACCGGCAUUUGUGCCAAGAUCGCCAACGACAGAAAUAGCAACAUAAAUUGCAGCAAUAGCUUCCUUCCAGUGGUUUGUCGGGUCAUUUUUAUAUUCCAUCAUAAUCUUACCAUAACAUGUCUUCGCCCAUGCAAACACCCUCUGAUUGUAAUUCACCUUAAGGCUCUCCAAUAGCUGGCAUGCAGCCCAUCUUGGUGCAUUAGCAACAGCCCAUUCCGAGAGUCACGCUUGACAAACUCUUUCCAAUUUUCCUGAAACAGCUUUUCAUCUUCAUCCCGUAACAGCAGGUUGGACAUGAUGACACCAUCACAUAUCUGAUCCAUUUUACUUCCUACAGACGCAUGGUGCGCACUCUUGGCAACUGUAGUCAAGAACCUUAACGCUGCCACCGCGAGCUUGCUGCAAAAGCAAAGGGUUAGCUGCUUUUGUGCUGGAAGUCCAACUUCUUCUUGGACACACGCAUCGACCCAGAAAGUGACAGGCAGGGCCGAGCCUCCAUCAUCUCAUUACGCUCUGACAGAAGAGACUGAUUCUGGAGAUUGCUCACCAAGGAUCGCGUUUAGUUGCUCCCAAUGGGCAUCAAAGAUGAUCCUGCCGUCACCAGCAGCAGCAACAGGCAGCACACAGCACAGGCGACCCAGGUUCUCGGUCGUCAGGGACGCGAGGAAUGAUCCCAACACGGCGUGCUGGGGAUGCUCGGCAACCUACGGCAUAGGUUUCUUGUGUGAUGUGAGAGACGAGAUGUGAUGAUGAUCUCGAGAGGUCACAGUCCAAGGAGUUAUGAAAUCCAUGGCCUCGUGCCUCGAGCUGCUGCAGGUGAGAGACGCCAUCUCAACGAGACCCGCGAGGGAACGGUACGCCAAUCGGGUCACGGGUCUGGUGUCGAGGAUGCCGUUUGGUAAUUGAAGGUAAUAAGCGGGAAGGCCUUGUCGUACCAGAUGGUGUUGACGAUGAUGUUGGACACGGGAUCCAUGGGGCCGUAGCAGUGCCCGCCGGCGAUGUGGGCGCGGAGGAGCCGUGGGCUGCAGGACGGCAGCGCGGCGAGCGCCCUGAUGUAGAGGGCGUAGAUGGCGUCGAGCAGGCACUGCUUCGGGGACAGUACGUGCGUGCACGUGGAGGCGUCGUAGUCCACCGGCGGCGCAGCCCGCUGUGGUGCCGUGACGGCCGCCGCCUCCCGGAGGCAGCCGGACAGGUUGUCCUCCAUGUCUGCGCCGUGGAACGUGAGGUCGAAGAUGCACCCGAGCUGUUGUUGGUGAUCUUGUGUGGUUGUCGGUGGUGGUAUCGAGACUGUGGCAGGACGGCCGUCGCCGGUGCAGGUCGAGAUCAUCAGCGUGCCAUCGUCGCCGCUCGUCGCAGCGUGCCAUCUUCGCCGCUCGUCGCCGCGGGUACAGGUGGUGCUGUUCGGCCCGCACCAGAACUCCAUGCUCACCGUCGGCGGGGCAGGCGGCCACUGGCGGGCCUGUAGGUCCAUGAUCGCCGACACAUCGCCGGCGGUGAGCGACUCCGUCCCCUGCAGCUUGGCCACGACGGGAGCGAGCAGGCCGGAGGGGUACUGCGCCGUCAUGAGCCGCGCCACGACGCCGGGCGCGGGGUGCUUCGCCUGGACCGCGGCGACCCGGAGGGCGUCGCUGAGGUUGCCGCUGUCGGGGAGCAGACGCCGCCGCCGCCUUCGGGAAGAGAAGCGGUCGUGGCGGACGAGGGCGAUGGCGAGGGGGAGGUUUUGGGAGGCGACGUAGAGGUAGCGGCUGCCCUGGGCGCAGCCGAGGUAGCGGAAGUAGGCGGGCAUGAAGCCGCGGAGGCCGUCGAGGGAUCGGUAGGCGAUGUCCCCCCACCCCUCGCCGCCCCUGCGCACCCUGAACUUCCUCUCCGGCGACGGGAGCUCCAACUGCUCCUGCUGGUCGUGGAGGAGCAGGCCGACGGCGUUGAGGAUGAUGUUGGCGACGGGGUCUGCGAGGCCCACGUAGAGCCCGCCGGCGCAGAGGCAGCCGUCCAGCCCCGGCACCUCCUUGAGGGGCAGACGCCGCGCCGCCUCCGUGUAGAAGCCGUCGAUGAACCUCCUCUUGAUCUCGUUGGAGCCCGUGAUCGUGGCCUCGUCGACGGGAGGCCGCUUCCACUCCUCGCCGUGGAAGCGCGACAAGCUGCCGCCACCGGGGAGGCAUUCCGAUUCCGUGGAAGGAGACGACAUGGGGCCGACGGGUGGAUUGAUUUUGGGAUCGGGGUUUCUGCUUUGGCCGGGUUUGGUGUGGGUUGUGGGAUGAAGAAACGGCGCCAAUAAAGAAAGAAAGAUCCGAGAUCGCAGUCCGACAGGUAGUUCAGGGCCUCGUGCUCCGACAGGUUGCCGCAGCAUGGCGACAAGGCCGUCGAGGGAACGCGACGCCACGCGGGACAUGGGCCCGGUGUUGAGGACGCCGUCUGGCAGCUCGCCGGCGCCCUGUACCGGAGGGAAGGCGGCGUUGGCGAUGAUGUUGGACACGGGGUCCAUGGGGCCGUAGCAGUGCCCGGUGACGAGGACGGCGCGGAGGAGCCGGGGGCUCCUGGGCAUUACGGCGAGCGCCUUGAUGUACAUGGCGUGGAUGGCGUCGAGCAGGCACAGCUUCAGCGACACGACGCGCUCGCACGGGGAGGCGUCGUAGUCCACGUGCACCGCCGCCUGGAGCGCCGCCGCCCACUGGAGGCAGCCGGAAAGCUUGGUCUCCAUGUCCGCGCUGUUGUCGAACGUCAGGUUGGAGAUGAAGCUGAGCUGAUGAUGAUGCCUUGUGCGUUCGAUCAAGAUUGUGGCGACGAAGUCGCGUUCUUCCCCAAUGUAGGUCGACAGCAGGAGCGCGCCAUCGUCGCGUCGAGCGCAGGUGGUGCCGUUGGGGCGGUAGGAGAACUCCAUGCUGACCGGCGGCGGCCAUUGGCGUGCCAGAAGGUCCCUGAUUUCCCAGACGUCGUGGGUGGUGAGUGGACGCCGCAGCUUGGCCAGGACGGCGGCGAGCGCGUCGGAGGGGUACUGCGCCGCCAUGAUCCGCGCCAGGACGGCGGGCGCGGGGUGCUCGGCUUUGGCAGCCCUUGAACUUGAAGCCCGUGAUCCCCAUCAGCUUGGUCCACGAGUAGUACGGGAGCUUCGCCUGCUGGAGCAGCAGGCCGACAGCGUUGAGGAUGAUGUUGGAGACGGGGUCGGCGAGGCCCAGGCAGUUGCCGCCCGCGUAGACGCACGACUCCAGCUCCGGCAUCUCGGCCAGCGGCAGCCGGCUCGCCGCCUGCUUGUACAACUCCUCUAUGCUGCGGCUGCUCCCGAUGUCAUCGUCGGCGGUAGGAGGCCGCUUCUCCUUCUGCCCGUGGGAACAGGAGAAGCUGACCGGCGCCGCCGUGGGGAGGCCAUGAGACAUCUUUGUCGCGGCGGAUCCGGAUCGAUGGAUUCGUUUUGGGUGGGAUGAGAUCACCGGGUUAUGAAACUUGUUCGGCGAUGGCGGGACCCCGAAUACGAACCACUUACCAACACGUGUACAAGACGAAUUCACUCCAAAAUUUCCGUUGAACUGCAGCAGCCGGCCAUAGCAACAAGGCCGGCCAGGGCGCGGAGCCGGUUUAGGAUUUAUCAUUUUUCUUUUUUUGAAAUGUAAAGAUUUAGGGGUUUUCCUUUUCGAAUAUCUACCACCUUGACAAACCAGGACUCUUGCCCAACAUAAUAACUAUAGAAAUUGUACUGAGCAAGCAUAUAUGCAAGAGGUAUCAUCAGGCAGCAUUCCAACAAUACAGUAGCAGCUCAUCAUAUUGCACCCUCUUAUUCAUGAAGCUUUACAAUUCCCACAAAAGAAAAAAGGAUCCACCACGUACUUGUACAGUAAAGAGCUUAAAUAAAACCCCACCUGCAAGUACCAAAUACGUAUACAAUGUCCGACUCUUUUUUUUUCUUUCCUUGAAAAAAGAGAGGGGCAGAACACAAAUAAAGUCGGAAGAUGCAAUUUAUUUCAACAGAAAAAUCAAUCUUUGUCUAGAUACAUAGUACAACACAACAUCUCGCCUUCCAACCAUAUGGACCAAACCUUCCUUGCUCAUCUGUUCAAGCAUUAGAUGAUGCUGAGCCAAACCAGCCGUGUGAAUUAUGCAGCCAAUCUGGGAGGGCUGUGAUGAGAUGGCAGCUUUCGCGUCCAUCAAGUUUGCACUCCCCGCUCUUGCCACAAUCUGGACAUGCUCAUUGCUUUUUGGUUCACUUUCUUGAACCACGUGCUGCUGCAAGGUGAUCCUGGAAAAAAGGAAAAGCCACCAGAGUUAGUCAUACAGGUUUAACAUACAGAUAAGGUUGCUCAGACAAAGACUUCAGUUCACAACAAGAGUUGGCUACAGUUGCAGAAGAAAAUUAAAUCAAGCAAGAUUGGUACAAACAAUGCUUGAAGCAGCGAGCACCAUUAUGAUUCAACAGACAGUUCAAUCAACAAGCAGCCUUACCAUUGAACUACAUGGUUUUGGUUCCAACACAAACAAUCAGGGAAUGAUGCAAAAGAAAUGACAUUAUUCUUUCAGUUUCUUACUACAGUUCUACCAGCUUCACCUCAUCAUGUCUCAUUAUUACCCACAUUUCAUGACACUACAUGACCAUGUUUUGUCAGGUAUCAAGCAAAUUUCCCCCCUGAACAGCCAUACUUUUUUCCCAUUUCCUAUAGGCUAUGCCCUCCAAAAGUCCAUACUGGCCAUCUACAUCCAAAAGCCCCAGGGGGCUCACAAAGUGAAUUUGAAAUUUAAUGACAAAUACAUCCGAAUGAAAAUCCAACUUUUUUCAAACCAAAUCCUACAAACCUCGCUACCUUACAAAUCAAUGAACUCUUAAUUAGAUACAUGCAUUAUUAGCAAAGUUAGAAUAUCCUAACUUUACUUCAAGUUGCAAGUGAAUGCAAGAAACUAAUCACUACUCACUAGAUAGAAACACGUACCGAGACAAAAUCAAAAGCUCUAGUGUCAUCUUUCUUGGAAUUGCUUGUCACUGCAACAUGAUUUUGCGGUUGAUUACUUGAAUUGAAAAUAUCUGGAAGCACUGAUGCAUUUCCACUAUUCAUUGGAUCGAAAGGUGAAUUCCCAACUCCAGCAUUGAAAUUUCCAAAAUUUUGCAGUAGCUGCUGCUGCUGAGCAAGAAGAAUCCCCAUGGCACCAUAAUUUAACUGUUGCCCAGGAAAUGACUGAUUGAGCAUCAUAUGUUGAGGCAAGCUGUACUGCAAGGGAACCUGUUGCUGUUGGUAAAAGGAGUUCUGACCAAGAAUGCCAUUCAAUGCUGCAGCACCUGCCAUGUUGCUGGUCUGAUUGUUUGUGUCAAAGAACUGCGAGCCAUUGAGGUUGCUAUUGGGCUCUGCUUUAACAGCAUGCUGAACCUGGUCUGUUCCAUUAAGGUUCAAGCCAGCCAUCAGAUCAUUGACAGUUCCUUGGUCAGUAACACUUCCUUGGAUGAAAGGAUCAGGGUUGCUGCCAAAGAUAUCUGGUAAUUCAUUUUUGUUUGAUGAUGAGCUAUCAGGCAUGGCAGCUGAUGAUUUCUCUUCUACUGUCAACCCUGAGAACAGAUCAUUGUUCUCCUUAGUCUCUGCCUCGUGGAAUGAUACAUCUGCAAAUGGAUCACUUCCAUUACUAUCAGCAGGGACACUUGUAUCAGCAAUAGGUUCACCACCAAGCAAAUCAUCAACUGAAGAAACAUAUGCACUGUUCCCAGUGUUCUGUCCAUUGCUUUCCUGUCCAGAACUAGUUCCGAGAUCAUCUUGAUUGCCUGUAUCAAUUAAAUCAGGCAUCUGAACAGGUGGGGGCAUUGCAGCUUUUGUUGCUGAAAGAUUUGUGGUCCCAGUAGGCUGUUCCCCGAUCAGCAUAUUCAAGACCUAAUAAAAGUAAUAUACCUUAUUACACAUCAAUACUUGCCAUGAAACAAGCUUACCCGAAUAAAAAAAUGUGGUUAAAAACUAUUGAGCCCAAUUUUGUAGUUUCGAGGAACCAUAAGGCAAGUUUCUUUUUUAAUUUGGAUGAUGGACGAAUAGCAUGCAGAAGUCUACUUUAAAAAUUCCAGUUUUCCAAAUAGAAUCACCUUUGAGGCUUUCUCUCUAAGAGAAACCUGUGGCAGCUCAGAGCAUUUAACUACCGAAGCUGUGUUCUCAAUAAAAUAUGAAGCGAUGAUAGAAUAAGGAUCAGUAUCCUGUUUCCGUACAAUGGCUUCCAACACACAAAUAGCCUUCAUGCGAACCUGCGAAGUAAACAAAUAUAAUGAAUACUAACGCAAAUCUAAUGAAUUAUUGGAAAAGCUUCCUGGAAUUGCUUUAGUUUACUAGAAGCAUGCCAGCAUAUGAUCUAACCAUUUUACGUGAAAGCUGUGAAGUAAUACUGUAUGAAAACUAUUCAACAAAGUGAAAAGUCAGCAAAAACUAAAGACCGAGAGAACAUAUCCAGUACAGAUGAGCUAACCCCUGAAAAUCAUUUGGUUCAAUAGUUGGCCUGUAUAUUAGUUGCAAGGCAAAGCAACCAUAUAGCUCCACUCACAAAGUUAAGUUUUGCUGCUGGCUGCCUAAUGAUAAUAUCAGGACUAAUCUGCCAGCCUAUUGGAUUUUUUUCCUCGAAUACACAGGAGAUCUGCACAUCAUUGCAUUAAGAAGAGAAUUAUGGAGUACGAAACACCCAACACAACACCACCUUUGUUGGAUAAAUAGGCCAAACAUAUCAGUAACUGCAAUAGCAGUCAUGCUUGCGUAAAACUCACUGUUCUCAUGCAAAUAGGUCUAACGUCAACAUAUUUCAUCCAGCUAUUCGACAAUAAAUUAUGGCAACUUUGAACAUUAAGUUAAUAAUGCUUUUUAUCCAUGAACUCUAUUAAACAUCAAAUACUACAAUACAAAAGCACGGUAUAACAUCAACGACAGUCAUAGCAUAGUUGGUCAGGGUCAGAAUGAAAUUGAUCUAUUUCAUCUGUCCAAAAUGAGGAUACUGCAUAUUUCUCUUCUAUCUAAUGUUUUUUUCCCUUCAAAACUACAAUGCCUUAAAAUGUAAUCAUAAAAUUCUGCAUAUCUUAUUGCAAUUCCAAGAAUUCCUACAUUAGCUAUCAAAAUUCACAAGUGCCUACAUGAAAAACUUGAAUCAUCAGCACAAAAGAAAGAUUUACACUGCUUUUCAGGAGAGUUAGGAACCAUCACUUGGCACUAUUUUUAUACUAUUUGUUAGCUCAGUGCAUGUGGAUAUUAAGGGGUGAAAUGAAACAGUAAUGAGUGGUCCACCUAAACUCACCUGCCAUAAUGGAGAAUUCAGUUUGUUUUCAAGUGCACGGCUCAAAGCGACUGCAUCCAAUUUGGAAGCUUCUGUCAAAAAUAUCUGCAGAGCAUCUCGUGUAGGUUGCAAUCGCACACCACUUGCAGUAACAAUUGUCUCCAAAAGUCUCUCUUCGCGAGUCUUAAUCCCUGGUUGACUUGAGCUAGUAUCAUCAGUCGGUGCAGAACUGGAAGGAGUUGGACCCCAAGAACCAGAUGCCACAUUCUUGGAAGCACCAGAUGAGGCACGGCUCUCACUUUGAAUUUCACUUGGAUCAUACCGACCGUAUCUUUCAGAUUCUGUGGUCAAAGACCUACGGAGGUUAGGGCUCUUGUAUGUGCCACCAUUAUCAUUUGUCAUCAUUGCAUGUGCUGCAGCAAAGUUGCUCAAACCCUGCUUAAUGGAUGCACUUCCAAUACCCACUACCUCGCUGAGUUCACUAAGGAAAGACUUCUUGUCAUCCAUUCUAGAUGGUUCAUAGUUUGUGUUUCCAAAGCCCUGUAUACGCUUGCCAAGACUUUCUGUUGCAACAGCAGGUUUAGGGUCCUCGGUGGAGAAAAUUGCAGCUAUAGCCUCGUUCGCAGUUUCACGGACAGCCUUAUUAAGGGCAUCUCCUCUUAAGGGAUCAGGGUGGCCUCUGUAGUGAACAAGUUGGCGCAUAGCAGCUGAGUGCCUUUGCAUCUCCCUCUUGAAAUCAGUACCAGAUUUUCCAACUGAGUAUUUGAUCAACCGUAAGGCCUGUAUAGCAAGUAUAGAUGGGGUUAUAUACUACUAUACUAUUGAGCUGGAAUAAUGGAUGAUAAAAAAAAAUUUAAAAAAAAUUGAGCAACCAAUGUACUUGAAAAACAAGAUGAAAGUUAGUGCAUCUACAAAAUCAUUGCAAACAUUUGUAAUCCAUAAAUCAGAGACAACAUAGGGAACUGAAUUCAAAACUAAUCAUACCAGCACAAAAUCUAAUUCAAUUUCGUGUUGCCACUAGCAGUGUUAACAAAUUAUAAUGUUAUAAAUGCCUAAUUUACACAGCUCAUGAGCAAUUGAACAAGUAGUCAGACAAAUGAGUUGGAAACGCCGCCCAAAUCCUCCUCCCCAGCUACACAGCUAAUGAGCCAGCCGAUCCAUUAACCCGCGGUUGAGUAACGAAUCAAGCUUGCACAUGCUUAUUCUGUGGCCACAUCAGAUUGUGCAUUCCAUGAGAAGCAAUCCAAACAGCCCUUUCAAAACUUUCUUCUCAGAUCGGAUUAUCGGAAGUAGAUGCUCUAGGGAUCGGAACAGCUAGACAUCCUCGCCAUCAUCCCCCACCUACGCUGCUACGCACGCACCCUCACCGGCCAGGCAACCAGGUGAAUCCGAUCGGUGCUCGGCACACGCACCUUCUGCUUGACGAGGGGGCUCUUGUUGUCGAGGCGCUUGAGGACGAAGUCGGCGACCUCCUUGACGAUGCUGGCGUCGGAGGCGCGCAGGAGCUCGCAGAUCUCCUCGAGCUUGUAGACGGGGGCGACCUUGUCGUCGUCCGCCGUGACGCCGUCCACCAUCCGCGAGCGCCAGUAGGACUCGACCGCCCGCCGGCUCUGAUCCAUGGCUGCCCCUGCCCCGAUCGGAGACGGAACGGAUCGGAGGGCGGGGGCGAUCUGGGAGGGCAGGGAGAGGGGGGUGGGCGGCCGUGGACCGGGUCCCGGCGUGGACGAGGACGGGAGCCGGGAGGGGAGGGUUGGUUUCGACUCGAGGGGUGAGCGGCACGUGCCGCCGGAGGGAGAGAGGACGGAGGAGGAGGAGGUGGAUCUGUGGAAGGUUCUAGUGGCGGGUCAGCCUCUGCUCGCCUAUACCGUUUCGCUUUCACGCUGCUUCCUUUCCUUCCCACGAGGAGAACGAACCGGCCACAAGCUUCCUGAUCCUGUCUCUCUCCGUUGGAUCAUGUGGCUGCCAUGCUACGGCUACCCCCCACUGAAUUACUGAAAUUCUUAUGAACUCACUGAAUUCGUACUGAAUUCAGUUGAGAUUUGAGGUUUGGAAGCUUUUUUUCCUUUUUGUUCCUGUACAAGUACAAAAUAGCCCACCUGCUUUGCUAGCCUGGCACUCCUGGCCUGCAUAGAGCAUUUUAUUAACCAAACACCCGUCAGUUUCGAACCGACCCCAUAUUAACCAAAGCUUCACCGCCUCACCGGUGUUCCCUGCAGUUCGUUCAUCAAAAGAAUUGCAAAUUGACACAAGUUUAUAUUAUCACAAUUCACAACCUACACAACAAAUCAACCGUCACAAUCAACGACAAAAAAAAAGAGAGAGAGAUGAUACAGCUCUAUUCUAUUCUGCAAAACAGGAACCAUGCAGUUGUAGCUCCUGCUUCUGGCUCUGACAGUGGUUGGCGAUGCUUCAAUUACAUUCUCAGCUCGAAAACAAUGUUAAGCUAUAAUCAGGAGAUCAAAAUUAAUGUACAUUGUUUUUAUCUAUAUCAGUACGCAGCAGCCUCUUGGAUCUCAUCAGCUUCCUCAACUACCAGCUCGUCCUUGAAUAGGACCUUCAGGUGUGGCAGGACCUUUGGCAAAACCGGCAAAUCCAUGAGGUUUACGCUCAUCAGGUCAAAGGCAAUGCACGUCUUCUCCAUGUCGACCUCGUCAAUAACUGGGAUUUUUGGGUAUCGCUGGCUGAAGUGGGUCAAAAUGAUCCGGUAUGCUCCAGCCGAUGUGCCUACUUCUAUUGCCUCCUUUGUUGUACUAUGGUUCCUCGCAAUCGCUUCGUCCUUCAUACUGUCCUCGAAUGUUGCCUGAUGAAGUAGAGUAUAACAAAGACAGCUAAGAACAGGAAACAACACCAUAUUGUAAUGUCAUCUGUCAUUAACGGUAGUUAGAAGAGAAUAUUGUGCAGCUAACAAUAUGAUACAAUAUCUGCAGGAUUAGUUUAUUACGGUACAAUGGUGCUUGUGGUCCAAAUUAGUUAGAGCAGCUGUGUGGACAGAGGAAAGUGGAGAAUUAUUAUCAUAUAUAUUGCACUUUUUGGAAGCCAGCUGCCAUUUAGACUUGGAACAUAGCAAUGACCCUUGAUGCCACUUAUUGCAAGAAAAGCUGUGUGGUGUGCUGAAGCUUACCUCAUGUAUUAGCACUGUGGCAUCUCUGGAUGCAUCUAUAAGAGCUGGACAGGGUCUUGUGUCGCCAGAAUAUACAACCUUCCAGCCUGGAAUAACCUUUCCAGCGCUGUUCACCUUCUCCAUGGCUCUCAAAACAACGCCAAAUGCCUGUGGACAGUGUACUACAGGGACACUGUACAGAAUCUCCAAACCUGAUUCCAGCAGAACCUCUUUAAAAUUAGCAAGAGCUGUGGUAUCCCUUGGACUUGCAGGCUUCCUGUUGUAGUUCUCCAUUCUACUGCCAGGGGCAAACAUGGUGUUCUCCAGUUGAGGUGUGGCUGAUCCAGUAACAUUUUCACUGAGAAAAGCCUCAACACUAGGCUUCAAAGUAUGCCUGCAGUCUAGGAAUUGCAUGUCAAGAUCUUCAAGCGUUGAAUAUGCAUUUAGGAAUCUCUCAAGGGGUCUUGGUCCAAUCACAAGCAACGGUUUAUGAGGCAUCCCCUUUAACAAUUUAGACCUUAGAGCUAGAACUCUAGCUAACCCUGUGUGGUGAUCAGCAUGAAUAUGGGAAAUCCAAAUACACCUCAAAUUUUUUACAGCUUCAUCAGCACCAUUUACACCAAACCUAUUACAUUAAAAGACAGCAUACUCCCGUAUGAGUUCAUGACUAGAACUUAUAUAUCAGUUAAUGCAGUCUUAGAAUAUCUGCAAGUACUAACCUCCUUUUUAGUUGUCCUAAAGUUCCUUCACCGCAGUCAAGAAGUAUACCUCCUCGAGCAAACAAGUUAAUAUAUAUGGAACUUACGUUCCGAUAUUUUGAAGGCUGGGAUGAACCUGUACCCAAAAAUGUAAUCUCCAUAUCUUCCCUCGUUGCAUCCUCCACACAACAAGGGAUCUCUUGAUUGUCCCUUUGAUGCUUUUGGAAAAUAGUGCCAUCAUCUAGCUUAUCUGAUUUUUGAUUGAUCCAUGGCUCUUCAACCAUCAGUGUAUUUUUAUAGUUCACAUUAUUUUGCCAGAAUUUGUGAACCUGUUCAGGAACUUCUCUAACCUCUGGGAUCUCGGAUACAAGCUCUUCUACAAUAUCCUUGUAGGUGAACAAGCUUGGAAUAGAAGCACUAUCCAACCCAAGUUGAGCAUAUGGACGCAGAUGAAACUGCAAGAAAAAGGACAUUAAUAAUCAGUCAUAUAUUGAACUAAAUAAAAUUAAGUUGAACUUGCAGUUAGUUUCAAAGACACAUCAGCACACUCAUAUGUAUCCCUCCUUCCCUCAGCAUCUUUUUAUACAUUCCUCCUUGAUUGAAGAGUCUUUACAUAUCUCAUUGUCAUAGUUGAUGCCAUUGCAUAUCAUGGAAAAGGUAUAAGAUGUUAAGGAUCAACUUUGAAAAUUAUUCAAGCUAUAAUGAUGGUAGAGAUCCCAAAAAAAAAUUUGAGUCAGGAAUUCGACCUUUCCAAGUGUCAUGGUAGGAAAGCUGAAUAAUAUGAUGCUCAAUAAAAAAAGUAACUAAUAACUCUCCAGACAGAAUGCCAGAUUACUAUAUAUGAUCAGAUAACAGGUGCUGACACAGACACAGUGAUACAGCAAGGACAAAGGCACAGAAUUACCUUGAGCAGAUUUUGCGCAAACACACUUCCACAGAUUUCCGAUGAAGUCCUCUGAAAGACCAACAGAAUAUUUUACAUCUAUAACCAGCAGUAGUGAGACAUUCAAGGUAUUCUAUAGGCUACUGGAACCUACCUUAUCAUUCUCCAUGACAUCAUUUGCAGGUUCCACAGACCAAAACCCAGAGGAUGGGAAGAGCUGAGGGCAUACAAAAUUGAGGCGCGAUGAUAUCCUUGCACUACCUUUCAAGAUUGGAAUUUCCAUGUUUUUACUGCAUGGAUCGAAGAAGGGAAAGUAAGAUACCGGUUGCAUGAAACCAAUCCGCCAAAAAACAUGGCACAAACUGAGCGUGCAACUUAAGCAGUGGCAUGGAACAUAUUUUUCCCAUAACAUAUAGUAAAGUAAACCCUAAGAAGAAGCAGUCACUAACAUAAUCAUUUUAAUUCAUCUGUGUUCAACAUUUCAAUAAGUGAAAUCUGUUCAUCUGUUGUUUGUGUUGCAACAGAGUAGUUAACUUUGAAUUAGCAAACAUUGUCAAUAAAGUUCAAACUGAAGUAAUAAUCUAUACUAAGAAUGCGCUUCGAAAAAAAAAGACAAAUGUAACUGAAUCGUACAUUUCAUGUCCUGCCAUAAUAUGUUGUGUUGCACCAAAUUUUUUCAUCCAGUUCUGAUAGUCAACAGCUUUAGUCACAGAUGAUGGACCUAAGUGGAUUAUACAAUUUACUGUCUUGCCACUCUUUGUUGGGUCUGAAGAGUCUUCAUAAAAGCAGCUAAGGGAUUGCAGUGAGAAAAGUUCUGGCAUAUGAUAUUGUGUAGGGCAAUCCACCAGAAGAACAGUUGGUCCAGGAAUUGACGGGCCAAGAACAUCACUUGGAUGAACCUAGAGGUUAAUUGACAAACAAAAGGAGCUUUAGAUGAGAAAUUCAAACCAGAUAAACGGUGUAUGUAACUGAUAUUCAAACUUAUAUUGAAAACUUACAUUAUCCUUAACAUUUUAAUGGUAUCUAGGGUAAAGCAUCAGAUUCUCAAAGGUGCCACUACAGUUAAUAUUUAUGAUAAGCAUACUUUCAUUGUUAGAAUAGCCAGGCCAUAAUUAAUGAUUCCAUGGACAACUAGUAUAUGCUUUCAUACAGUAGUUAGGCAACAUCAAACUUAACAGACUCCAAAGAUCUAACAACAUUGGUUCAAUAAGAGGCAGCAGUAAUCUCCUAGACAGCACAAGCCUCAUUCAAGAGAGAAGGUGCAACAAAAGAGAUAACCAAGUUGUCAGCUAUAUAUAAGUUUAUACAGAACUAACCAUUUCGUCAAACUUAUCAGACUGCACUGAGUUCCCAAGUUGAAGUUCACGAUACUUGGGCCCAGGCUUCAGACCAAGGGCAGCAGCCUUAGCAGGGUCAAACUUUCCCUUAAUAUCUGGCAAUUCACACGCAUAGACUAUAGCAGUAUCACCUGGCUUCAAGUCAAUAUCAUUCAAGCUACCAGCUCCAUUGUGGUACUUAGGUUUGACAAACAUUGCUGAUAUCCGAACUACUUCAUCAUCAAGAAUAAUAACGGAGUCUUUAGGUUGUGAAGAAGAUGCACUCCGUUCAGCACCAAAGCUAUGUGUGUGAAGCAUUGCUCUAUUUGGGAUAAAAGAUCUCAUUGCCCCGGCUAGAAAGUCAAGGUCAGAAGGGCCCCAUAUGUUCACCUGUGUUGUCAGUUAACAGGAAAAGGACUACAAUUAGUCUCCUGAAAUACAUUUAAUGCUGGAUGCAUGAGUAGACACCAAAAAAAGGAAGUAAACACACCGACAUGCCCUCAUCUCCUAUGCCUGCUAGAGUUAGCACCAGGCCUACAAUGUUUAAUGCAAAUAACGAUGUCAGGACAGUGUAGCAUCAGCACGCCAAGCAAAACAAAUAAUCAAGUUAUUAGAUAAAAGCGGUUAAAAAAUAAUACCUGGCAGCCCCCCUGCAGUUUCUGAGCACACGCGAGUCAAAAAGAUAUGGUCAAUCUGGAAAGCGGGGGAUUGUUUUGUAAGAAAAGUUGACAUUUUACAAUACUAUGAUAAAUAAGAUUAGGAUAUAAGAAAUUUAGAAACAAGGCAAUGAAUGUGAGUGUUGAGUAAGGUGGAGGGCAUUCCACUCGCAUACCUUUGAUAACUUAAUCUUGUGUUCAGUACAGAAACGUUGAAGACCCUGUCAGAUGGCAAGAUUGGAGUUUAAUCAGCACAUAAUGGCAAAAGCAAGAUGAAUGUUCUCCAGAUCUUUAAGAUGAAUCUCAUAUUCACUUCAGCUCAACAUAAGACCAUUAUUUUCAAAAUCCUUUGCACAACAGCUCAAAAAAGAGAAAGAAAUAAAUUGUGUUUUCAGCUAACUACAGUUGUUAGUUAUUUUCAGGGUGUACAAUUAUUAGUUAUUAGCUUGUGCGAACAAAUACAAUGGAACCAUAUCACAGCAGAACAUACCUCGCCGGCGUUAAAUAUAAACCUUUGUUUGUCAAAGAAGAGCAAAAUUGAAGGUGAAGUGUCCUGUGUGUCCAUCCCUGUACCAAGAAUCUGCACAGCAAGAGCGAAGGGGUGUAAGACCAGAAGAAAACAAAAAAAUGACAACAGUUCCCGUUCCCAUGGGUCAGUUCAAGGGAAGAAAUUGCCUUGAACUAGAUGUUUGGUUCAACCAAACCAAUGUAGUGAAUUAGCAAUAGGACAACUCCAUAAGGCCACAAACAGCACCCUCGUGCAAGGCUUACAAAUUACAACAAUAUUAUUGAGCAUCCUGAACUUUUAUGGUUAUUAUUGAUCAAGUGCUUUGAUGUUUCUUUUUUCCAAUGGAAUGGGCACCAUAUCAGCAGAUUACAACUAAAAGGUAUACCGACAGAAGUUACAUGCUAAGGACUUAUGGUCCGGAUUCAUGCUAUGCUAAUUUAACUCCACUAAUGCGAUGCAUUUGGGAUAGCAUCUUGUCUCGUGCUCAAAACGUUUAGCUAAGAGAAGCAAAUGCAGCCUCUGGAACUAAGUCACGGUAUUGCACGAAUGAUCCAACCCAAAAUAAACCCAAACUAGUAUGGUUAUUAGAACGAAAUCGAGCUGAAUUGGCGCCAUAGUAAGCAGAGACGGCCCUGGGGAAAAUCAGUCAGUCUCUCUCACCUGCACGUAGCAGGUGGUGUUGACGGGGUUGAGCUUGCGGGUCUUGAGCUCCAUGCUACCGCGCUUCCCGCCGUCAUUCCCCUCCGCCCGCUUCCUGUUGAAGGCCACCUCCUUAUCCCCGCCGCCGGCCAUCUCCUCCCUGGGCGGCUUCCUGAGCGUGCUGCUCCCGCGGCGGGGGUGGUGGUGGCGGCGGUAGGCGAGGGCGCGGAGGCUGGCGGCCCGGCCGAAGGAGGGGGACGAGGAGGUGAAGAGGCGGCGCGAGAGGUGGAGGAGCGGGGCGGGGGCUAGGGUUUGGGAGAGGGGGAGGAGGAGGCGGAGAGGGGCCGCCACCUGCGGCAUGGCUCGCGGCCACCUGCUCAGCUGGGCGGUUUUAUUGCGUCGGCGGCGGGGUUUUAGGGCGGAGAGGCAGCCGAGCCGAGCCGGGGACAGGGGUGGAUUAGAUUUUUUUUUCGCCCUCUUCUUUUUUUCUCCUUUUUAUUUAUAAUUUUCAUCAUUUCCAAUCAUUUGCCAUACAUGGCUGCUCGAAUUGCAACAUUUGAAUCUUUGGUGUUAAAUUUUCUGUACAUGGCCCUUGUUGAUCUUUCUUAUCUCUUUGCAUUUUAUAUCUAUCUACUUCGCGUAGAGUUUUCCUCAUAGUCGAAUCAAAUUUACUAAAAUUUAAUAAUAAUUAUUGCUUGCUGAUGAUAUGUGCAGCUGUGCUACUUACUCUAUCUAUGUGUUUUAGUUAUGUAUAUACACAGUCAUCAAAAGAAAAGACAUUUAGCCAUGAAAAAAAGAGGGAAAUUAAAAUUUGUCAAGGAGAAUAAAAAAAUAAGGAACGGUCAAAUUUUGCUCUGUUUGUUUCUAAGGUCAACGGUGGCCCAAACAGGCCCGGUUGAGGAACAUACUAUACUAGACUACGAAACUAGUUCUUCUGUUCCUUUUAAAGGUCAAGGGUGGCCCAAACCGGCCCAGUUGAGGAGCAUGUUACAGAGGUUCAGAAGUUCAGAGCUGCUCGUCGGAUGAUUCUGCUCAUAUGUCCUUUCCUAGUGCCCCUUUUUGAUAAAAAAUAAAAAAAACAGGUUGUUUGGUUUCAUGCUUCCUUGGAGUACAAGUUCAGUUAAGGAAUUAUUGACUGAUUGUUCUUGUGAUAGCGUGUAAUUUCACCGCAAGUCAAGGAUUUGAUGUGGUCGAUAACUUAUGUUUGAAUCAGAGAGAUAAAUGGCGUGCUUGCUUCCCGACCGUGGCUCGCCACGCCACGGCCAAUGGUGUGGCGUGGUCGGGGAUCAAACAGAACCCAAAAUAAAGUCGUAGACUCUUUGGUCCGGUGAUGGUGAAGGUUGGUGGUGCUCACCCAGUACAUUUAAUUUUUGAUGGUGAAGGUUGUCGACUGAAGCAGGCACCUAGCUAGGCCAUGGUUGAUGCUAGAGCUUCAGUGUAGCAUGUCUGUUGGAAGUGGACAUUCUUGCAAAACGUAAGGCAUCUCGAGAAGUCCUCGGAGUACGUACUUGUUUAUUAGUUUGGAAUUCAAGCUUUAAUAAUCUGGUUGGAUUUGGAUCCCUCCGUUAACUGAUACAUCAGUGUUCAGUCUGAUUACUGUACUGAUAUCAACAGUUAGGGCUAGUGCGUUGUCGAUCAGUGUUUGUUUCUCAUUAUCCUUGCAUACAAGUUGACAUCUGUGUCCUUGUACGGGUAGUAUUCCCUUUCCAAAAAAAAUUAAAAUGAAAAGUGGGGAAAAACUAGGAAGCAAGAUGUCAAAACACCCAUUCAAGAGAACAAGAUGAAAGGAAAACACCCUGUAUGACUCGAUCGCUGGACACACAAAAGCUUCAAUUGCUGGAAAUGUCUAUCCCUGAAGUACGUAAAAACAUCUUGCAGAAACAACAGAUCCCCUUCCAGUCUUUCACCAACUGAUCUGAGCUGUGAUUCCCUUGCAACGUUCUCAACGGUUUAUCUUAGGCCCUCUCCAACGGUAAGAGAUAGGUGCUAGCUCAAACAGCACGAGAGAGGCGAAAGAACUGAUAGCAGAGCAGCUUCGAAUAACGCAAUGUGAGAGAGCUAGCGUUUUUUCCACUGUUCAUCGAUUAAAAAACUCUCUCAGCUGGCUUAGAGCUAGAGGGCCUGUAUUGAUAUGUACGCAUGUCUCCUGAAUUGAAGCAAGGAUCCGGCAACCCGUUCAUCAGGUUCAGCAGUAACUACUGUAUACAGGAACUGAAAAUUGAUCUAUAAUAACUAGGCUGCCGGAUGAGAUCCAACCCAGUAACUUGAUGUGACGGCUGUGAUCUCGCGUGCAGGCUGGAAAUAAUCUAAUUAAUGGUGAUGAUCCAAGUCGACGCAUGCAGCUGUGUCUUUAUGCACCUCGUGUCCUUAUGAAUCUUGAUCUGCAGGCUGCGGACAGUAAAAUGUAAUGCGCUGGUACUUGCACUAUUUCCUUAUCGUUUUGGAAUUUGGAUGGAGCAGAUCAUAUACACACGAAAUUCACCAAGAUUAUUCGAAUUCGCACCUACUAGAUGGCUAAAAUUGACUGAGAUAGCAUUCUCCGUGCGGCAACGGUUUCACUUUCACAUCAUCCAACGAAGCUUAAACCCCUUGUGCGCUUCAUCGAGGGAAGGAAAAUCAACACAUCAUGUAAGAUAAAGAUCGGAAAUGUGCACAAGCUGGAUGGGCAAGACAGAAUUCAAUUGGAGUACUCUAUCUAUCAGGAAGCCAAAGGCAACACAACAUGAAACCCUAGCCAACCAAGAAAUGGGGCAAUAACAUUUUAGUUUCUAUCUGCGCGCUAAACAGUUCUGUGCUCGUUGCAGCACGAUAGACGCCUGUGCAUCCAUAUAUACCAAUAAACAAUCACAAAUAAGACGUAGUCCCUCCGUUCCACGAAGAGUGUCCUUUUAUAUUCUAAAAUCAAAUUUGUUCCACAAAAAAUGUCCUUUUACCACCUAGUAAGUGCUUGUUUGGGAGCACUCCACUCCACCAACUCCAAAAAUUUCGCAGCCAAACGCAUCUAGCUUCAGCAACUCCGGCUCCAGGAAAAAUGUGGAGCAGGAGGGUAGAUCCACGUUUUUUUGGAGUACCUCAAGAGGUGCUCCAAAAAACCCCUUUUCAGACUUCCUCGUGGAGUUGGUGGGUAUUUACCCACCAUUACCAUCGAUUGCACAUACCGAUUCGAUCCAAAAAGAACAGACCGUCAUUCUCCCCGUCACCCCUUUCUUUCUGCCCGACGUUCCUCUUCCUCCGCCACCCCAAAACCUAGCGCCACCCUUCCUUCCCCGACCGCCGCCGGCGGUCUUUCCCAGCGAGAUGGACGGCGGCGGCAACCCUCCUCCACCUAUUUCUCCAAUUUCAUCCUCGGCUCAUCCUCAAGGCUCUAUUUUGGCGGGGGCCCAUGCCACCUAGAGGAUGCUCGCCGGCGCCGUCAGUCGGGAAAACUUGGGCGGUGCGGCCCGGGGCGGCGUCGCCGCGCAGAAAGAAGGCGUACCAGCCUUGGGCGUUGGCAGUUGUGGGCCCUUGGGUGCGGUCACGGGCUAGGGAGAAGGUGCAGCUAGGGGCGGGUUCGGGGGCUAGGAAGAAGGCGACGGUGGUUUGGCUGGCGACGGACGAGGUGGCUUGGGCGGCAGCGGAAGAGGUGGCCUGGGCGGCGACAGACGAGGUGCAGGUGGCAGGGACGCCGCAGCCCGUGCGUUGGGCAAUUCCAGGGGCGGCGGCCAAGGCCGUGGCUGUCUUGGCCAGGGCGGCGGCCGUGGUCGUGGUCGUGGCGCCGGGCUUGGCAGCGAGGAUGUGUUCGGGCUUGGCAGCUAGCCCACCGGCCACGAUGUUGCCGCCUCCGCUGCACAACUCACAGGCAUGAAUAAGGCAUCAAAGAGAAAUGCUCCUCACAUGGUAAUGGUUUCUUGUGUUGCUUUCUUGUGCUGCUUGUGGAUGACAAACUCUGUAUGGUGAAUUGUGAUCAUUCAAGAAAGUAGUAAAUUCAAUUUCUGGUAGUGUCCUGACCAAAAAUAUUGCUGUUGCAAACAUAACUGAACCACUCAAAAAUAUUGAUGUUGCAAACAUAACAGAACCACUAUAUUUUUUCACCAUUGCAAAUUGUUAAACUGAAGUAUAACAUUGAUGGCCCUAUCUAGUUCACCUAAACUAUUGUUUCUGAUAUUGUCGAGAGAACCUUUACUGAAAAAUGGACAGUUUACUGGAAUGGCAGUUGCUGCCUUGUCAAUUUGCAUCAUGUGCCGUACUCAUAGUUCAGCUUCAGCAUGGUAAUGUGCAACCUGGACAUUUUUCUGAAGAUACACGGAUAAAACCCCCGAUUUUGAAUAAACCAUAGUGUACUUUAGAAAUUAGAAGUCUUUGAAAUGUUACUUUUCACGAGCUAAAGCAAUACAGCGGUAACCCGCCUUACAAAGUUACAGGUCAGGUGCAUACUGAAACGAAGCGUCACAUAAAGUUUGCACCUUCAGCAAAUGUACAAAAUACUGAGUGUACAUGACAUGCAUAAGCUAAACAAAUAGUCUUAUAUAUACAACUUUAGUGCACUGGUUACUGUCAUAUCUUGGUCAGGGUGAUUCAAUUGAAUGGACUGAUGCAAACACGACGCUCAUAUGUUCGUUGUUUGCCAAACAAGUUAAGAAAGGGAAUAGGCCGAACACCCAUUUGAACUCUGUAGGAUAUGAUGAGGUCGGCGAUCAACCUCACAGCAGUUUGUUUGACCAAGCGGCAAAUGAAGAACAAGUGGGAUAAGUUGAAGAUCGAUUUAACGGUUUGGAAGCAAUUAAUGAGGAAGCAAACGGGAGCGGGAUGGGAUAGAGCAAGAGGUGUGAUUGAUAUGGACGAUGAGUGGUGGAAGAAUGCAAAGGCGGGGAGUUCAAAACUAUUUUAUUUUUGUUCUUCAAUAGGUUCAUGUCAUUUAUUGUACUAACAAUGAUUGCCUCCUUUCAGGAUAUUCCAGGUUGCGGCAAGUUUAAGAAAAAACCAUUGCAAAAUGAGGAGGACUUGACAAUGAUGUUUGUUGACAUCACUGAUAAUCAAUCAGAUCAUUAUAAUCCUAUGAGCUCUAACCCUAUCGUACCACCAUUUCAAGAGGAUGUUGACAACGGACCUGUGAAUGAGGUUCAUGAUGUCCCGGAUGAUUGUGAUAAUGAUGUUGCUGGUUUGGAUGAAACAGAUGAGGUCCAAGAGGUUUCUCCUUCUCCUACUAUUCUGUUGGCAAACAAAAGAAUCCCCCAGCAAAGAAACAAAGAAUUGGAACAGCACAAGUUAUUCAAGAGCAAGUAACCAAGAUUGCUGAAUCCGCCUCCUCUUUUGCAUCUAAAAAAUUGGGUGAAGUUACUGUCCAACAAGUCUUGUUUUGGAAUGUGGGGCAGGGUAUGAUACAGAUGAGCAUUAUAUUACUACUAAGUUGUUUGUGAAGAAGGACCAAAGGGAAAUGUCAUGACCCUUCCUACAAACGAGAUUAGAUUUAAUUGGCUUCGCAGGAAGUACAAUGCCAAGUAUGACAAUUGAGGAAUUGUGUUCUUUUAAUGUUAUUUUUUUAUUCGUAUGAACUAUUGUCAUUGAAACUUAAGUGUUAUACUUAUUUUAUUUUAUUUGUCAUAUGGUUUCUUAUCUAUAGGAAAGUGAGAGCGAUAGUGAUGACUCUUAUUUUGGGUGCUGCAGAAAUUGCACAAAUAUAUGCUGACCUCUACCUUGAUAAAAACCCACCAGGAAAAUUAAAGUAACACUCACACCAAUUAAAAAAAGCAUAUGGCGAAGCGCGUAGAGCUAAUCAAAUGAUCGAUGUUAUUUCUUCUGGUAAAUUAAAGGAGGUUCGGACCUAUAUAAAUCUAUCUCAUGUCUUGUUGUCGAUCAAGAUCCCAGUCAGUAGAGGCAAAACCCCUGUUGGCACCAAUCGAUCGAGAUAUAAAAUGGCUCAGGUAACUUGUAUGGUAGCUCACUUAUUAUGUAGUACGUGUAAAUGGACACCAUCUUUAUUGAUGGUGCUAUAUUGGUAGCCAAGCCAAGAGUAUCGUAGAAGACAACAAGGACGCAAGGGGUAGUACGAGGAGGAAAGAUGUAUAGUGGGGAAUUGAAGCGUGGUGGGUGAUGUGCUACGAGUGCGACAUAUUCCAACAGGUUAAAAACGGUCUUAAGAAAUUAAACAACAUAUAUGGUCUCUUGGUGAGAAAGAAAAAAUAUAAGUCACGGCUUGACUCUCAUGGGUUUCGAUCGGUUAAGCUUUAACCACGACGAUCGGAACGGGGGGCAUUAGGCAAAGUAAACUGAGUUGAAUUUUUCCAUGAGCUUAAUUAAGUUGUGUACUAGUACUCCUACCUAGCAAAUGCUGGAUUCCACAACCUUGAAACAAGAUCCAACCGAAGAUGUGCGAAUUUAAAGCAAUAUAAUUGAAGCCAAGAGGACAGGGGUAAAGCAUAAUGCCCUGAUCGAUGAUGUGGGUAGAACAUAUAGCUAGCUAGGAGCGAGUGGUCCUAUCCCUGUCGUUCGUACUGUGUCUACUACUACCACUCUACCACCAUGCAAACAUUUUAAUUACUCAGUAGAGAAUCUGCUUAAUUGUCACCGGAAAAUUAUUAAUAAAGCAAUGCAAUUGAGAGGCAGGCAAUCGAUCGACCGAGAAUCCGAAAUAUCCAUAUGACCAUAUAUGAUAUAUCCAUGUAUCAUAUAUGAACAUAGUAAUAUACAAGGGCAAAAUAGUGAACAAUGAUAGUGAUUUCACACGCGAGCUAAUAAUAAGGCCGGCGGGGCAAGGUGAAUUCAUUCGUUGCAGCAGAGACAGCCGCACCAGGGGUCACAUGUUGUGUGUGUAUAUAUAUACUGAGUUAGCUAUGGCUACGGUUAGUACUAAUUAAUGUAGUGUGUAUAUAUAAUCAUAUCCAAUUGUACCACGUACUCUAUACUCUAUAUAUACCUUUUAAAAAGAAACAAAAAAUAUAUGUAAUAAUCAUAAUCCAUCUACUUGCCGUACCUACGUUCGUAGGUAGUGGCCAGGUAUAUAUAGAGUAUAGAGUAUGUGGUACAGUUGGAUAUGAUUAUAUAUAUAUAUAUAUAUAUAUAUAAUAAUCAUGACCUCGGUACUCCCUGUCCCAAAAACAAAUCACCAAUUUUAGGAUAGAUUAAUAAGAAGUUAACCUUGAUUGUUUUUAUUUAUUUGUUGUAUUUGGUGCUAAUUGACUGCCGCCCCGAUAUGCACGUGACCACCGAACAAUCAUAUAUUUCUUUGAGUGAUGAGCGAUGUAGCUGCUAGAGUAAUAACUAUUUUAGGUUUUCCUCCCUUACAUAUAUUGGAAAUGUACAUGAUUUUACACGAUAUAUGCAUGAAAGAAAUGAAGCUAAAUGUGAAUGCGCACACUCCAUGCAUGGUACUACCUGCCAGCUGCAUAUACUCUGCAAGAUUUUCUUGCAAAUAAUGCAGGUACACAGUGCGUCCGUCCGUCCGUCCGCAGUAAAUAGUAAAUGAAAACAUACUCUUUCUUGCAUAGCCGUCAUGGGCUCGUUGGCCGGCCAUGUAUCGAUCAAGAUCAAUGGCGGUAGACCGUACGAGAGCAGACCUGAGCAGACGGUAUAGCCCGAUCCAGCGUCGUCGUCUCGUCGAUCAUCAUCGAAUCUGGCGAGAGAUCCUCCUCGAUCGUCUGCAUCAUCUCCUCGAUCACCGGCGGCCCCCGGCCCCGCGCCCGCCGGGGCAUCGGAGAACGAAGGUCAGCUCGUCGUACGCGCGCGCCGCCACGUGCACGUAAUCUCCCACCAUAUCUUGCUACGGUCCACGUACACAGCCUACGUAGGAGCCGCAUUAACUGACCUCCAUUACUCCUCCGAUCCUGCGUGCCUCCGGCUGGCUGGGCCCCGGCCCCGGCCGCGCGCCGAGUUUAUGGCCACCGCCGUGCGCCGUGCCACCGUACCACCCAUGGCGAUCCGUCCGUCGCCGCAUCUAUAUGCCAAUUUAUACGUCUGCUGACUUCGACGACGACGCUAGGCUGGCCGCUGCUUCUGCGUGCCUCCCAUCCUUCAAUUCACCCCGCUCGUAACUCGUAACAGCUACCUAGCUGUCGUAGCCGCCGGCCGCCGGGACGAUCGAUUUCGGCCAUGGAUUUCGGCCGCCGCAAGAGCUUCAGCUUCUUCGAGGAGGACCGCAAGUCGGCGCGCCCGGCGGGCGCGCACACGCCUGUGCACCAGUACUACUCGCGCGCCGCCCGUUCGCCGGCGCGCGCGGCGGCAGAGCCCGCGCGCCUCAGCAUGUCGUCCGUGCCCGGGGUGGCCGCCGAGCCGCCCUUCGCCAGCGGCGGCGGCGGCGGGUGCUCUCCCUGGGUGCAGUCGCCGCUUCAUGGCCGCCUCCGGUUCCCUCCCUCCCCCGCCGCCAUCUACCACUGCCUCGCCGCGCUGCACCGCCUCGAGGGCGACGUGCACGCGCUGGCCGUCGCCCGGGGCGUCCUCUUCACGGCCUCCGACAGCGGCCGCGUCCGCGCGUGGGCGGCGCCGGGCUGCUUCAACCGCGGCUACCUCGACGUCGGCCGCGGCCGCGUCCCGGCCCUCGCCGCGUGCGGGGGCACCCUCGUCACCUCCCACAGCCGCGACCACCACGUCCGCGUCUGGACCAUCUGCGCCGCCGCCGUGUGCGACCACAUCCGCGCCAAGAAGGCGGCGACGCUCCCGGCCAAGGGCAGCCUUUCGCUGCUGUCCUUCGGCAAGAGGCGGGCCCACCACCACCGCGACACCGUCUCCUGCCUCGUCCUCCACGCCGUCGCGGGGCUCCUCUACACCGGGUCCCACGACCACACCGUCAAGGCGUGGAAGCUCGCCGACGGCACCUGCGUCGACUCCUUCGCCGCGCACGACGGGCCAGUCAGCGCCAUGGUCGUCAACGAGGCAGACGGCUGCGUCUUCACCGCCUCCGCCGACGGCACCGUCAAGAUGUGGCGCCGCGUCUACGGCGGCACCGCGCACGCGCUCAUCAUCGUCCUCCGCUCCGAGCUCUCACCGGUCAACGCGCUCGCGCUCUGCCACGCCGCCACCGGCGGCACGCGCAGGUGCUUCCUCUACGCCGGCUCCUCCGACGGCUACGUCAACGUGUGGGAGAAGGAGGCCACCGCGGGCCGCCCCAUGCACGCCGGGUACCUCAAGGGACACCGCCUCGCCGUCUUCUGCCUCGCCUCCGGCUGCGGCGGCCGGGUGGUGGUGAGCGGGUCGGAGGACGCCACGAUGCGCGUGUGGAGGCGGGAGGGCAAGGGCGGCGGCGCCACGCACACGUGCCUCGCCGUCAUCGAGGGACACCGGGGACCCGUGCGGUGCCUGGCCGUGGGCGGCGGCGAGGCCGGGGAGGUGGAGGGCAGCAUGGUGGUGUACAGCGCCGGGCUGGACAAGAGCGUCAAGGUGUGGAGGAUACGGGUAGUGGGGAAGGAGGAGGAGGAGGAGGAGGACGACGACGACGACGACGUCGAGGACGACGCUGAGGCGGCGGAGAUCAUGGCCGGCAAGGGCGAUGGCGACGCCAUCCCCGUGAGGGACGACGUGGAGGACAACGAGGAGCCGGAGUUCGUGGGGCCGACGCCGGUUCUGUCGCCGGUCUGGGUGGAGAAGCGCCGGCAUACAAGCCGCGGGUGACGACGACUGAUGAUGCCUUGGCGCCUACGUUCGGCUACUGCUCAGUCGUCGUCGUCGUUAGUGACAUGCACCAUCUUCCAUUCCUGCGACAUGCAUGCACUGUGGCAACGCAACGGCAGGACGACGUGGCAGGCAUGCGCGCCAUUCCACGCACAAGGAUGGAUGUGUGCGAUAGCUAGCUAGAUCCACGUGUAAAAUGCAUGCAUGCAUGCUUGAAGAAUGUUUUGCAGGUAGGAUGAACUGCUAAUUAUUAGGACCUGUCAUCGUUAAUUUCAACUAAUCAAUAAUUAUUUAGGGUUAAGUCGUUGCCUCUUACUAUUGCUCUUGAUUCUUGAGUUGGAUCGAUCUACAGUAUUAAUGCAUCGGCUAGUCGCCCGCUGAUUAUGCAUUAACUUUGAAAGUACGAUGAAAACCCCAUUGAGAACGAUUUGUUUCAUUUCCUUAACUUUUAUUUGUUUCAUCUCCUUAACUUUUAUUAAUCUUGUGUGGCCAUAACUAGUGUGCACUAGUUAAGUGAGGUACAAUUGUAAGUGGUUAUAUAUUCAUAUGACAUAUUUGAUCUCAACACUAUAAAACAAUUAUAGUAAAACAAUUAAGGUCCCGUUUGGAUACACAAUGCUAAACUUUAGCAUAGUGCUAAACUUUAGCACUCCAUUUUAGCACCCUCAAAUGGAGUGCUAAAGUUUAGCACUUGGGGUUGUUUGGAUACAGUGCUAAAGUUUAGCACAUUUGGUGAGAAAUGACUACAUUGCUCUCAUUUAUGACUGGGUUGGGGAAAAGUGGAGAGGAGAGAGAGGGGGGCAGCAGGGGAAAAAAUAAGCUGGGGACCACUUUUAGCACCCAUUAGCACCUUUUAGCACCCCUUGGGUGUGCUAAAGAAAAUGGGGGUGCUAAACUUAGGGGGUGUUUGGAUCCCCGGGCUAAAUUUUAGCCCCUGUCACAUCGAAUGUUUAGACACUAAUUAGAAGUAUUAAACAUAGUCUAAUUACAAAACCAAUUUCACAACCCCUAGGCUAAAUCGCGAGACGAAUCUAUUAAGCCUAAUUAGUCCAUGAUUUGACAAUAUGGUGCUACAGUAAACAUUCGCUAAUGAUGGAUUAAUUAGGCUUAAUAGAUUCGUCUCGUGAUUUAGCCUAGGGGUUCUGCAAUUAGUUUUGUAAUUAGCUCAUGUUUAGUCCUCCUAAUUAGCAUCCGAAUAUUCGAUGUGACACGGACUAAAUUUUAGCUGCAGGAUCCAAACACCCCCUUAGCACACCCCUGUUUGGGAGCCCAAGUGCUAAAAGGUGCUAAAAAGUGGGGUGCUAAAGUUUAGCACCCCCUCUCCAAACAGGGCCUAAAUACUAUAGUAACCUAUAUGAAACUGUGUAUCGUAAGAGGCUGUUUCAUUCAUCAACUUAAAUCUUUAAAGAUGACAUGUCACUUUUGAAAACGGUGCAGUAGUAAUUUCCAGUGUCUCGAAAACUGGUUUAGCAUGCAAGGCGGACCAUGAGCGGAGGAUGCUGGUGGGAGAAGGCUUUCAUCAGGAGAUACAGACCAGUCUGGUCAAAGUUGAAUAAGAGGGUUACGCACAAGCAGAAGUUGGCCGGCGACAAGGGAAUCUGCAGGGUCUGCAGAUCGAUCCAUCGGCCUUGGUACGACGCUCUGCUGACGAAACAAAGACGUACGGUGUCUAGUAUGGAUCAUCAGCUUUAAUUUCUUUCGGCAAAACGAUACUACGAUCGAAAAGAAGCCGUACGGUACACCAGUAGUAUGCACUGUCAUAAUUUUUUACAUUAACUCUCAAUAGCAAAAAUGAAAGCAAGCAGCAUUCUUGUUGAUUCCCCAACCAAUUGGUUGGAACACGUACGGAAUACAUGACAAGGAGGAAGCGGCCUCUCUCAAACAAAACAAAACAAGCAUGGAUGAGAGGAGGAAGAAGAAGAAGAAACCCAAACCACACACGGACAGAGCGAGCGAGGAGACGGAGCAAUCCGACGGGCCAGAUCAAACCAAAGCCCCUCCGAUGAAAUGCAGCUGGCAGUGGUGACGUCACGGCGCCUCCUGGGGCAGCAGGUGGUGCGUGCGGGCGGGCGCCAUGAAGAAGCACUCGUACACCACCACGGCGAGGGGCCCGCCGGCCAGCGGCCCCACCCAGUACACCCAGUGGUGGGUCCACACGCCCGUGGCCACCGCCGGCCCGAACGACCGCGCUGGGUUCAUGGACGCGCCGGACAGGACGGCGCCGGCGAUGGAGUUGGCGCCGACGAGGAGCCCGGUGAGCAGCGGGCCGGCGCCGGGGAGCAGCUUCCGGGGGUCCAGGAUGGUCGCGUAGAUCACGAACAGCAGGCUGAAGGUGAAGACGGCCUCCGCGACCACGCCCUGGAUGGGCCCCACGCCCGCCGCCAGCGCGUGCACCGGAGUGGCCAGGCCUCCGGUGAGCCACCGGAGCAGGAUGCAGGCCGUGGAGGAGCCGAGCAUCUGGGCGACGAUGUACAGGGCCGACCGGAACAGGGUGAUCUGGCCGCCGACGGCCAGCGACAGCGUGACGGCCGGGUUCACGUGGCCGCCGGAGAUGUGGAAGCCCGCCGUCGCAAUCACGCACACCACCAGCGCCUGCCCCAGAGCCACCGCCGUCAGGUCGCCGCCCGCGUCGGUCUUCGCCCCUGCAGCAGAGAUACGCAUGCAGAUGAAUGUACGGAUCGGAUUAGGGAUUAUAUGUAUAAUAUACCAUGUGUACUUUGGAUCAGAUCGGCAUUUGAUUUUGUUCGGCGUUUUGCACGCACGAAUUCGGGUACGAUUGGCAGAGCUCCUAAAGCUGAAAUGAAUUAAGAGGUUGGGAGUUGAAAAAAGUAGCUCCUCUUACUUAAUUCUGUGAGAUGAUUCUCCAUCCUGAUUUUAAAAGUUUAUGCUAAAGAAUAAAAGAGAAUCACUUUCAGCUAUAGAAUCACUUCUCUCAGAUAAUCAGCUCUUAUAGAAAAUCAGAAUCAGAUGCAACCCUAUCAAACGGACCCUCAAACCGGCGAUCAACUAUCUGGCAAGGAUGGUAAUCACAUACGCCGAUAUGCGAGGCAAUGAAAAUUUAUGAUCAUGAUGGCGAUACCACUCCCCCUAGCUAUUAUGGCAAUGAUAAUUGUUUACCUUCUCUUACCAUUUCAAAAUAUAUGUCGUUUUAGUUUUGUCAUAAGUAAAAAUUUUCUAAGGUUGACUAAGUUUAAAAGAAUAAAUUAGCAUAUACAAUACAAAAAAAUAUAUCAUAAAGGCACAUUUCUGGAGAAUUUAAUAAAAACAAUUUAUAUGUUAGUAUAUUUUUCCUCUAAACCUAGUCAAAUAAUAGAAGUUUGAUUUUAUAGUCAAAACGAUCUGCAUUUGAAAUGGAGUAUAUGUCAACAAUGAUUUUGUAUGAUAGCAUCCCUUAACAAUUGGAGCACAUGCUACAUGCACCCUAUUUACCUGGAUGAACCGUGCCUUAGAAAACUCUCUUCUCCAUGGGUACCUAUGUGAACCUAAACACCUUCAUCUUAAUUAUAAACAGAAAACAAAUUCACAUUAUAGCAUUUUCAUCCCUGGAUUCGGAAGGGCACAUGUUAGGCAUCUUUUCUGAUUCAUGAUUUCUUCUCCCACGAGCUUUGGGGUAACAGUGUUUCUACCCAUGGGGUCCAACACUAGGUACGUAAUAAUGUGGUUGUGGGGUGGGUUGAACGUGUUGUGAUUCUGGUUUGGAGUCAUCUCUCGGCCUGUUCGCUUCAGUUUAUUCAGCCGGCUUAUCAGCCACCAAACAGUAUUUUCCUCUCACAACAAAUCAGCCGUUUCAGCUUUUCAGCCGGCUUAUAAGCUGAAGCGAACAGGCCCUCUGUGCUGGGACGAAGGCUUAGGCUGGUCAAGGGGCCGGGAGGCAUGCCCUCCCUCCCCUGCCGCUUGAUUAACUCCGCAGGUAGCAGUUUAAUUUUAUUUGGAUGCAAUGAAGGUAAAAUAAACUAUUUGGCUCUCUUAUUAUUUAGGUCUGGCUCUUUGGCUCCCUUGAUAUUUUUUUAAAAAAUUCUAGGUUUUGUCUCUAGUGGUGUGGUAAAUUCAAUGACUACACCACAUAAGGAUGGCAAUACAAUGGACUAAAGUGACGACGGCCGGAGUUAAUGGAGGAUGUGCUAGGUUCGGGCAAAUUAUAUACAAGGGAUGGCAUAGGGUAGGUUUACUAUGAAUCCUUCUUGGUAUCAAAGGCGACAUUAGGUACGUAGAGUGGUCACGACUACCUAAAAAGGACAGUAAAAUUAAUGGACAGGAGUAGCUUAACUGGUAAAGUUUAUUGUGGUAGAACCUACUUACCCAGGUUUGAGUCCUCGACUCGGCACGGGUGGUUGCAUUUUUCUAUAUUUUCAGCCGGCGCUAUUUUUUGAGUGGUCGGUAACGUGAACUCGCCAAUAUCUAAAUAAGUCAACAAACUAUUAUAUGUUUUUGACCAAGUUAAAGUUUGAAAUGACACAAAAAUAUAUAGUUUCACCUGGUAACUUUUGAAAUGAAGUAGUAUGUGUGGCAAGAUUCGUUUAGUAAUGAAGCGAAAAAUGUGUCAUCACUUUACGUGGGGGGCGGUGUCCGGCCGGUCCUGUCUCCUCCGUAAGUAAAGCUAGCAGGGAUGUUCACCACCACCGCGUGCGUUUAUUAGUUGACGUGUACAACCCCUAGUACUAGUAGCUGUUAAUAAUGUUAUAGAGAGGUAAAAGCAAUCACUAAUCUACAGUAGAUGCAUGUAAUAAUAAACGACACAAUAGCCGCAGAUCGGCCGGCCUCUGCAUGCAGGCGGUAUAUAUAUUAAUUACUACUCGAUCUGCUUCAGUAAAUAAAUUUAAUUUACUCGCGCGCGCUAUUGAUAGAAAAAAAAUGCAAACCUGGGGUAAUUGAAGAGCACGGAUGCUGCUAGGUACGCAUGCAGGUAUAGGAAGCAAAUUAAAAAAGAGUAGGGAGAUGGAUGAAUAGCCAGCAAAGCAGCUAGAAGAGAUGACGAUCGAGGUAAUAAGGUGUAACCGACCGGCGGUCAUGGCGGCCCCGACUUGGAUGAAGACGAAGAGGAAGGUGAGGACGAGCUCGCCGAGGACGCCGCGGAAGAAGUCCGGCUCCGACGCCUCGCCGCGGUGGCCCAGCGCAACCUUCCCCAUCCUCGCUUAUUAUCCCUCCGGAAAUAAGGCUAACAGAUAGAUGGAUGGAUGGAUCGAUCACCACAAGCUAAGGUGAUGGAACAGUAGCAUUAUUAUAUUGUGAAAGAAAGCUAGUGUUGCAUAUGUAUAUAUAUAGGAAAGAGGAAGAUAUAUAAGUAUAUAUAUUAUUUCGCAAGUCAAAAAGUUUCUGGCCGUGCCAAUAUAUAUACAUGAUGCAACGUAACUUGCAUUAUUGGCAAAUGAAUUACUUUACUUUGGGCAACAUGUGGUGCAACAGUACUGCUCUAGCUCUGUCGUCAUGUCGCCGUACGUUCAUGGCGGUUGAUCGAUCCAUGGAUGGAUGGAUUCACACUUUAAUUGAUUUGCUUGGAAGGCACCGACGACCCAACCUACGAUGCACAUGAUCCAACCAUGCAUCUUCACUUUUUUUGUUGCGGUCUACAGGAAGCACCACUUUCGGGCCUCACUACUCUAUGCCGGCCUCCACACUACCCCGACACUAUAGUGCUGCACUGUACUCCUUCCGCUGUGUAUAUUAUUGUGUGCAGGCACACGCUAGCUAUUAUACAUAUAUGUUCUUCAUCAUGCAUGUAAUUAUUCUGCCCUCUGUGCUUUUAUCACUUUGUCUCCUUGUCAGUGCAGUAACUUUUCCGAGUUUAAUUUACCCUUGGUAUAUACGAUAUUUUUAAUAAGUAACAAAUUAGUAUAAUACGUUCGAGGUCUAAAUUCAUAAUUUUUACAACGCAUCUAAACAUACUACUAUAUUUAUAUGCAUAUAAAAAAUUAUAUAUUUUAGAUCGUUAAAACGAUCUACAAUUUGAAACAGAACAGAAGGAGUUAUUAGCAAGGCUUUGGACUUUGCACGUCCAAAUCAGACCACUCCUAAGUCCGUCCCACGAUAUGAUUAAACAUAAUCAAAUACUACAAGCAAAUAACAACCUUAUCUGUCGCAUGGAAUGGAAGUCGCCCUCUCUGAAAAUAUCAGCCUACACGACAGAACCGAACACUUGGACCUGAAAGCUUACCGGCUGCCUUGGUCGCCGUACGUGUCGAUCUCCCACACGAUCCAUCUCGCCGUCGCCGAUAGAGCAAGUAUACACGCCAUCUCCGCCUCGUCACCACUCAACACAAAUUGAUGCACGCACAUCAACUAUUCAGCUUUUCCGGUUUCUUAUGUUCCUAUAUUUCCAAAGGCGGAGCUUGACCAAAAGUUCAGAGGGGGCCGAUCCAUCGAAAGCAUUGAGCGUCGGUAAAUAGUACCAGUAUUACUGUUCAACCAGUAGAAGUUUAGGUCCGUUUGGUGGAGCUGCGGCUCCUGCCAAAACGGCUCAAGUUCUGACUCUUUUGGUGGAGUGGCUUUCUAGUAGAGUUGAAGCCGUUUUAUAAAAUAUUUGGUAAAAAGGCUUCUCAAUGAUAAUACGGGUAAUUUUACGAUCGCUAAAUAUACACGCUAAAUAUACGUUACAUGAGAUCCCACGAGCAAAUACGACCUCGAUGCCGAUCGACAGAACUGAUGCUGGUUGAACCGACGACGAUGAUGCAGUGCAAGUUGAUCUCCGUGUCGGGUCGUUUGGUGAAGUCCGUGCAUAUAUCCGUGGGUUUGACAGAAAUUCAGCUGGAUUUAGUUUGGCUUUGCCGAUCUCGCUCGCACGGCCUUUCGUGACUUCGCUGUCCAUUUUUUUUUUUCUGAAAAUAUAUUAAUAUAUGGUGGACUUAAAAUAAGAUGGAACCCGAUGGCUCAACUGCAAAUUAAAGCUUUGGCUUUGAUUUUUAGCAAUCAACAUAUGUCUUUGGUGCUUACUACGACAUGUCACCACAAUCUUUAUUUGUUAAUUAGCAACAAACAGAUAUAGUAUUUAGUGUGCGUGCCCUUUUUUCCCCCGAGAGAGAAGAAGGGACACAGACGUACACCUCCAUCAACCGACUGCAUUUGAGCAACUGGAUCAAAGCUAAAGUGAACAUAUGCUCAAAUGCAUGCAGUGGGCUUCAAUUAAUAAUUAUUCAAUGAAAUCGCCGCUUCAUUCUCUCUAAAAGAACCCUGUGUUUUUAGAGAAUUGCGGGUUGGCACGAUGCGUGCAGCAGCUAUUGCAAUGCUCAAGAUCAACUAGGAGCAGCCUCACUUGGAAAAAAGAACUAGGAGCAGCCGUGUGCGUUGUACAACACGACGUCUAGAGCGCGAUACAAGCUGUGUGGCUGACCCACCCAUAGCUGGAAGCCUGUUGCCUACUGAUGGACGACCUGGACAUCCAAGCAGGGAUUCAGAGAUAAUACUGUGUAUUGAAAUGAAACUUAUCAUUGGGAUUGGCCUUAGGUCCCCGGACUUCAGCAUAUAAGUGGGAGACCAAAAUAAGUUUAAUGACACAUUUGUUUCUGUUCAUCUUCUUCUAAUGAAAUAUUCAAGGUGUGGGUGUGUCUUAGACACAUGCUGGAUCCAAUUUGUCAAUGAUAAUUAUUAUCCACCAAAUUUUUAAUUAGUUAGACCUUUUGAUUGUUUGAGAAUUCCUUAUUUUAUUUUCUAGCGCAUGCAUUGUCAUCUAAUAAGAAUUAAUGUUGAAGUUUCAAAGACAAUCUCCAACUAUUAUUAGUACUAGCCAUCAUGCUAAUGCGUUGCUACGGGAGCCAUAACAUUUUUAAUAAUAAGAGGAGGGGGAAAAUAUGGUCAUUUGAGAUCAUCAGCACUACAAUAUACCAAAUCUCAAAAACUAUUUUUAACCGCAGUGAAAUAUAUAAACAUCAGUUUUACUUAAAGGUGUCAAAGAAUCGUAAAUAAAAACACUAAGACACAUGAUGCAGUAAAGGUAAAUGCUCGUGCACUACAAGGGAAGUAAAAGAAUAGCGAGAAAAUAUAAUCGAUGCUAUUUACCUAAUGCAACGUGACAAUUUGACUACUUGAAUCACAUAUAUCUUAAACUAAUAGUAAAAUAUAAGAUAAGAUGAAGUAUUCUGCGUAUUGAACAUUGAGCUUCUUACAAAUAUUGCUCAUCUAAUCUCUCAAACAGAUAUAUGAGCGCGUGGUGGCCCAGACCUGACGGUGAGGAGUGGGGCGCCGCCAUGAUCAAGGCCGCCGAUGGAAGCAGCAGUUGGCAGUGCGCGGAGAUGCCCCUCAUUGAUUUUUCAUGUUUUACCUUUUUCCUUUUCUUACUUUUUCCCACUCUUUUGCGAGAUGGUUGUUUUUAUCUAUUGCUCGAUUUCAGCCUGCCGCUGGCUGCUAGCUCGAAGAUCCAUGGCUCUUGUGCUGAUUCUUGCACGCAUAGACCAAUGGACGGCAGGCCAUUGGUAAACUUAAACGGGCCCCCAAAAAAUGCUUCGAUUUGGUGCUUGCGCAGGGGAGACCGAAAGGAAUUAGGAUGGACGACGAUCAGGCAUUGUCGGGCUGAUGUAAUGCUGAAAUCGGGACCACCUAUCAAUGACUAAAGUUGGAUCAAACUAAAAAAAUUGGGUAGAAGCGUUCCUCAUUUUAAUAAUAUAAUAUAUAUAGGUAAGAAGAGAGAAGUAAAAAUAUCUGAGUUUUUUUUCUCCCCCUCAAUGCAUGUUACUCAAUAAGAAGAAAGCGAAAGAAAAAAAAAGUCACAUGGAACCAUUUAAUCACAAUGUAUACAAGCGACAAUUAACUAAUUUCUCGGUCUUGAUGAUACAACAUAGUAAUUGACACAGUGCAUUGGAAGUACGUUUUAGGAACUUACAUUACACCCAAUCUGACGUGGCACUAUACGAUAGAACAGCAUGAUACAAUGCAUAGCAUGAAAGUACGUAGUCUCAAACCAAACCGAAGAAACAAACCCAAGCUCGCGCAGACGACCUCGGGAAGCAGAUCGAAAGGCGGAUCGGAGCAAGCCCAAACCAAAUCAAAGUUCCUCCAAUGCACGCGUGGCGUUCAUCACGCCUCCUCGGGAAGCAGCUGAUGUGCACCGGCGGGCGCCAUGAAGAGGCACUCGUACACCACCACGGCGAGGGGCCCGCCGGCCAGCGGCCCCACCCAGUACACCCAGUGGUGGGUCCACACGCCCGUGGCCAACGCCGGGCCGAACGACCGCGCCGGGUUCAUGGACGCGCCGGACAGGACGGCGCCGGCGAUGGAGUUGGCGCCGACGAGGAGCCCGGUGAGCAGCGGGCCGACGCCGGGGAGAAUCUUCCGAGGGUCCAGGAUGGUCGCGUAGAUCACGAACAGCAGGCUGAACGUGAAGACGACCUCGGCGACCACGCCCUGAAUGGGCCCCACGCCUGCCGCCAGAGCGUGCACCGGAGUGGCCUGCAUAUAUAGAUCGAUUUGUAUGUACAAUUAUAUACCGGAGAGAUUAACGACGACGACCAUGACUGCUAGCGGCGGCGGCGCCAACGUACCACCAGGCCUCCGGUGAGCCACCGGAGCAGGACGCAGGCCGUGGAGGAGCCGAGCAUCUGGGCGACGAUGUACAGGGCCGACCGGAACAGGGUGAUCUGGCCACCGACGGCCAUCGACAGCGUGACGGCCGGGUUCACGUGGCCGCCGGAGAUGUGGAAGCCCGCCGUCGCGAUCACGCACACCACCAGCGCCUGCCCCAGCGCCACCGCCGUUAGGUUGCCUCCGGCGUUGGUCUUUCCUGCAGACGCGUAAAUGGCAUGUUGCUUAUGUAGCAAUUAAUUGACAUCCUUGAAAACAUAAUAAUAAAUAUGAAAUGCUCUUUAAAAAUAGCCUUAAGAAUUAAGAUCGUGAUGCAUUCGCCUAAGUUAUGAAAGAGGAUGCAUGUGGUGACACCACUAAUUUCACCAUUAAUUUGGUAGCAACGGGUUAGCAGCUGUAGUUUAUUUUUAUCCCACGUCUCAUUGUUUUCAAAUCAAGAUUAAUUCAUUUAAAUGAGUUGUGUGGUCGACCCAAUGAUCCAACAAAUUAAAAAUGUAAUAAGUAUUAUAUAUUGCUCAUACUAAUUACUAAUAAUUGUAAAUUAGUAGCUUCGCUGUGCCGCUGUUAAUACUAUACGUCUGCGCACUGUCAAUACUACGCCUUCCAUUCUGUUAAUAAUUGUCCAUUGAGGAUAUAAAGAGUGUGGUUAUUUUAGUAGCUUUUCACUCACUACCUCUAAACAAAUAAUUUGAAAAGAAAUAGAAGUGGCUGUGUCAUAUUAUUUAAUAGGUUUAUGGAUGAUCAUUUCACAUGGACUUGAAACUCUCUCGAGCUGCCUAUAUGUAGCUGCAUACCGUCGAUUGUCAUGGCGGCCCCGACUUGGAUGAAGACGAAGAGGAAGGUGAGGACGAGCUCGCCGAGGACGCCGCGGAAGAAGUCCGGCUCCGACGCCUCGCCGCGGCGACCAAGUGCCAGCUUUCCCAUUGGCAAAUUAAAGGCACACACAAGAGAUAGCAGCUGGUCAGCAGGGGGCGUUGGAGAAUAAGCUAAGAGAGAUCUUUAUUCGAUGGCACACUUUAGCUUGCUUGUUCCAUCUGUGAAAGAAAGAAAGCUUCUUGUUAUAUAGGCAAGAGGAGGGGGGCAUCUGCUAAGCAGCAGCCGCCCGGCCGGGAUCUUAUAUUCGGCAAGCCAUUCUUUUCUUUUUCUUUUUUUUUCAAUGGUACGUGCUUGCAUUGCGUCUUUCCAAUGCAACUUAUUACUUGUGGAUGAAGAAUCAUGUUACCCGAGGUUGAAACUAACGACGAAAUGUUGUUCAAAAAAAAAACUAACGACGAAAUAAAGGAUGUGCAGGUGCAUGCAAGUAUCAUGCACAUGCAUACGGAGCAUGUUUUCGUGACUGUUGAUCGAUGAUUGAUUCACUUUGCUUUGGAACCGACCCAGCCGAUGAUCGAUCGGUCCACGUCGUAUCGUAUGCAUAUGCACAGUGGUAGUCCGUUGCCUAGCUGGGCUACCUGAUGGGACACACUAACAAAAUAUAAUGCCUAGUUCUUUCGUCUGUAUAGCUUUGCCGAGUUCAAUUGCUGUUAGUGCAUGUACAUAUAAGAAAGCUAGUAACGACUUGCCAAAGAUCGAUGUAGAUUAGCAAGGCAUUGCCUAAAGAAUUGAAUCGAAGCCAGGAUUUUUUUUUUUGAUCAAGAAGCCAGGAUUAUUGCACAGCAUCAUAUCGAACCACUACUCCUGGUACGCAUUAUAUUUUGUUAGUGUGUCCCACGAACACGCAUUAUAUCAAAUAAACAAUCUUAUUUGUCACGUCGAGAAAAUAUCAACGUAACAUACACAAAACGGCAGAGCACUUUCAAACUGAAACCUGCCUUGCUGGCGUGUCGAGCUCCCAUAGGACCCGUCUUGCCGCCAUAGAACAGGCACGUACUCCAGUGGGGUACUACGACUUACUUCAGUCUUCAGCAGGAGCUAGCAAUGUCACAAUUUAAUCACAAUUUAUAUAUUCAUCAGGUUUGCCGCCCACAAUUUAAUCACAAUUUAAUCAGAGUCUCGUAGUAUAAAAUCAUCAUUCUCGUUAUUUUCCUACCUUUCGUCAUAUUCCUUCAUAAUAUAUAUAUUACGAAGCUCGGCGUUGUCGAGCAAGGAUUGUAGCAUGCCUAACCACCCCUAACCCCAUAUAUUCUUAAUCUCCCACGAAAAUACUUAGCACUCUAAUAGGUCUGAUGAUGUUUCUUUAGUCUUGGAUAAUGUUCGUUUCUUAAGAGAGUCAAAUAAUAUUGCACAUGUACAUCUUUUUCUUUAAAAAACAUGCUGCGCUUGUUUUUUUUUUUGGUCAAAAUUACGCGAGAGUAAUGCGCAAAAAACAUGAAGUUAAAGUUAUUUUCUUGUUAUGCGGUGUUCAUUAUAUAUCUGCAUGGCUAUCCAUGCUUUAUUUUUGUUUUCUCUUUUUUUGCGAGUAUAUAUUUCUUUUUUCUUUUAGAGAGAGACCUCUAACUAAAUCAUGUUCAGGUGAUACUUUAGAUUCUUUUUUUAUACGGGUAAUUUACAAGCAUGUAUUUGAGUUAGUUGGGUUAGGUUUUCAUACAAUAGGUGUUGGUAAUUCAUAGAUGGACGUUAAGGGAACUUUAGGCUAUUUUUUUAAAAAAAAUGCAUGUAUUGUGGGUACUUUGGAUGCCUUUUUUUUCCUAAUAUGAUGUAGGUGUAUAAUUUAGAAGCAUAUAUUAGAGGUACGUUGGGUUAAUUUUUCAUAAUAACAAUAAUCUAGAAACAUAUUAUAUCUAGCACGUCCAAACAUAUUAUAUCGAUCACUGAUAGAAUCCACCAAAUCAAUAGUCCAGGUGGUUGCCUUUUCACCAGAGUUUGGUUUUUGUUUAGCACGUCCAAUCCCAAAGUUAACAUGGAGGGCUUGCUUGAAGAAUAUUCAAUUAGUAAUAGUAAGAUAUAAUAUAUAAGAAUGCUAAUAACAAGUUGACAACGAGGCAUAUUAACAUAUUAAGGGCUUGCUGUUGUCGAGCUAGGAUUGCAUCAAGUCCAAAUCAAACCACGCCUUACUCCGUAUUCUAAAUGCAAACAUAGCGUUAAAUCAAAUGAAUAAUUUUAUAAUGUUUAUUUAGGGUUGGAUAAUAUUCGGCUUCUUUUUGUUAUAGAGUCAAAUAUUGUUGCGCAUGCAUGUUUCCGGUAGAUAUGAUGUAGAGUUAACUUGCCUAUAAGCUCUCACUACCAGACCAACUUGCCUACAAGCACUCACUGCUAGACCAACUUGCCUCUAUACAUGACGUGUUUCAUGUAUCUCAACUUAAGAAGUGUUUAAGAGUUCUUAAAGAGAUUCUAGAAGACCCCGAACUUGAGUUAGAAUCAGAUUUGACUUACGAAGAAAGGCCAAUUAAGAUCUUGGAUCAGAAGACUCGAGACACUAGAACCAAAAGUAUCAAAUUUUUACAAGGUUUAAUAGAAGAAUCAUACUAAAGAUGAGGCUCCUUGGGAACAAACAGAAUAUUUGAAAUCCAAGUAUCCUGAACUCUUUCAAGAACUUUGAGUUUAGUGAGCACAUGUAUGAUAUGUACAGAAGCAGCCUAUCAAUUUUUUUGAGAAGUAAUAUAAAGAAGAGUACGUGAUGCAUUUUCCUUUCCGUUGUCAAGAAGGAAUCUAGCACCGGAAUCUCGGGACAAGAUUCUUUUAAGGGGGAGAGGCUGUAACACCAAGUGUGUUUAAGACCUAAAGAAGGCCAUCAUUAGGUCAAUGAUGAAAUUUAGCUUAAAAAGAGGUCAAAUGAGUUGAGUGCAAAUUUGACCUAAAUUCAAAUUAAAGAUUCAAACUUGGAAAAAUUUGACCAAAUUUGGAUCAAGAGUUGAAGGUGUUUAGAGUUCAAAGGAAUCAAGUUUGAGAUCAAAUUCAAGUCAGAAGGACCUCAAAAGCAUAGACAAAGUUGUUGACUUGGGCAAACUAUUCGGAGUCUGAAAAUUCUUAAGUCUGAAAACAGUGGCAACUAGUCAACUUUGAGUUCGAUUUCUGGAAGUUUUCACAUUUGAACUCUGGCUGUUUUUGGAUAAUAAGUAAACUUGGACAGUCAGUGUAUAAUUUGGAGAAAUUUUUGGCCAGAGAAAUCAAAGAAUUAAAAUUUUAAAUGAGGCCCAAAGUUUGAAAGUUCACACUGUUUGAGUGAUCACUGACGAAACUGAAUGGCUAAUGCCAUUGAGCUCUAAAAUGCAGUGAUGACUGGCCUAUUUUGGUUCAGGAUUGAAGAUUUUUACAUGUGGAUGUUGGACAAGUCCAAGUAAAAAUGGGAUGUAUGAUCUAUAACUAACAAGUUACAGUAGCUCUUGAUCAAAGAAAACUGAGUUUGGAUAUUUAAUUUGGAGCUCAAACAAAAGGGAAGUUUGCACUGUUUCAGCAUUGGAUGUUAACUGACGAGCAGAUUCUAAAGAUUCAGAGAAAGCUCGAGUUUUUGCCCAAGUUCAGAGUUUAUGAUCGCAAAAUCCUUUGAGUUUGAGAACAAAAGGUAUAUCUAAGAUUUGUAGCUGAUAGUACCAGAAUCAACUUUCGUUAAAGGAUUAUGACAUAUUGGUGAUCGGUUUGGAUGGAAUUCGUCGACGAACAGUCCAAUUUCCAAGCAAGUAUUGCCCUGUAACCGCCUCUGUCCAGCAGCUCGCUUGCCUGCCGGCGCCGCCGCCUUACAUCGCUUGACCGUCACGCAGCUGUCCGCCUUGCCAUCCAAGACUCCGCGUCGCGCACCUUACCGCCGAGCCGCAGCUGGCCUCCUUACCGCCUUCCCUGGCCUAUAAAGAUCCAAGCCGCCGCUGCCAUCUCUUUCUUUUUCCCCACCGCGAGAACACAAGCCGCCUCGCGCUCGAUUCCGGGAGCUUUGCUGGAUCCCGUUCCAAUCGCUCGCGCACGCAGCUCCGCCACAACUAGGGACGUUUGGUUUUUCUUAUUUUUAGCACAUGUCACAUCAAAUGUUUAGAUACUAAUUAGGAGUAUUAAACGUAGACUAUUUAUAAAACAUAUUACAUAAGUGGAGGUUAAAAAGUGAGACGAAUCUAUUAAACCUAAUUAAUCCAUUAUUAGCAAAUGUUUACUGUAGCAAUACAUUGUUAAAUCAUGGACUAAUUAGGCUUAAUAGAUUCGUCUCGCCAUUUAGCCUCCACUUAUGUAAUGGGUUUUGUAAAUAGUCUACGUUUAAUACUCCUAAUUAGUAUCUAAACAUUCGAUGUGACGGGUGCUAAAAAUAAGUCAGGGAACCAAACGUCCCCCUAAUCCACGUCCCACGUGUUUCAAUUCCACUGCUCCCCGCCGACGAGCUGGUUCUCGCCGUCUUCCUGUCUGCCAGCUGCCAUAGUUACCGCCUCGGUGAGCCCCUAUACGCUGCAUCUGCUUGCUUGAGCCCUUGGUCUUAGAUGCUAGUGUAGGUGCUGUAGAAGCUCUUGGGUGUGUCCCUGGCCGGAGAGCGCUCGCUGUCGUCGCCCACGCCAGUCAGGUCACGGCCGUGUCCACCGCCACCGCCACCACCGCACACCCCCUGUACAGCUCACGACUUGGGACAGCAACACACCCAGUAGGUGUGCACGGUCGUAGGGAGUCCAGCCGUGGUGUCAUCUUCGCCGACGACGAGCCGUCGCAGUUACCCGCCGGUGUACCCGCAGUUUGGGCCGGGUACACUAUGCGUUGGGUUGGGCCCGCGUGUCAGCAUAAGAGGGUGAGUUAGAAGAGUGUUUCCAGGGGGUUUCGGGUGAAAAUGGUUUUAUGUGUUUAGAAAAUAGAUUUAAAUUCUAGUUUUUUUUAAUUCACCACAAUUUGUAGAAAUGUCCAAAAUUAGUGAAACCAAUUUUGUUAGUUUUUUAUUUAUCUCUAUGCAUUAAAAUUCUUAAACCCUAGGAAAAAGUAAUAAAUAUUAGGUGUUUAUUUAGUGCCUUAUGUUUAAGGUAUUUAAAUAAAUAUUUAAUCUUUAUAAAAUGUAUAAAAUUCUGAAUAAUGAUUUCUUAAUUAAAAUAAUAAUAAUUAGGAAUUAGGUUUUGAGAUUAGUAAUUAUUUGAUAACCCCUUUUAUAAUAAAUUAAAAUAAUUAAGGUUAGUUUAGUAAGAAAUAAAUUGAGGGUUAACCUUUUAUUGGUAGAUUUGUGUUGGCUUGCAAAUUUAUCAUGAAAAUAAGUUGUAUAGUCAGUGUUUCAAAAAGUUUUGCAUAUUCUAACUAUGACUUGCAUCAUAUCGUAGAAUCUGAAGCUCCUGAAAUUGAAUUUGUGGAAUUAUCUGAAGAACCUUAGGAGUACGAGGAGGUUAUUGAAGUUGCUCCUAUAUUUGAAGGGUCUUCUGAAGAUACUAUCUUUUUCGUGACCCCAGCAAGCCCAAGAGCAUCUAAGCCUACUAUUUUCAGAAUCCAUAAUUCAUGUGUCCACAUUAUUGGUUAUUUUUUAUUCAUGCAUUAAGUCUAGGAGUUGAUUGAAAACUUACUUUUAUGCACAAUCCAACCUUGAUUGUUAGGACAUCUUUGCCACCUGUUCAAAAAUAAUUAAUGAUCAUCCUAUGCUUAGUUUUGCUUAGUUUCUACCUUUGAGUAACUUUUGUUGCUCAAUCACUUAAGGUAAUUUGGUUCAUACACUUAAAUCAAGGAAAUGGCUUGAUUUCAAGAAUGUGGAUAGAAGCUAGAGAUGGUAGUUCUAUCUACUGAGAAUAAUAUGGUUUAAGGCCCGUUCGUUGUCUUAACCUUUGAUCAACAACAAGCCCAGUAGGUUAGUUGGCUCAUUGAUUGGAAAUGUUCUUACCCGUGCUUGACGUGUGGGAGAAAGGUGGGGACGUAGCCUGAAACUCACAUGGGAGCCAGACGUGGGGUCCCAUGUGGGGGUGCGUUCCCAGAUUUGGGUAAUUAUGUUUUCGGUCUUUGGGUACGGCUAAUUGAAAGGUUGGUAUGUACAAGCCGCGCAGUUGUGCAUGGCUGGUGAUUAGGUAUAUCCUGCAGGAUGUAAAUCGGUUCGUAUCGCUGCAAUUCUUGGUUAUGAAUGCACUUGAUCGUCGCUUAAGCAUCGUAGAAGUAACAAGUUGAAUAUAAUAUUUUUCCUUGAAUUAAUAUUGUUGUAUGAUGAUUAGUACCACUUGCCUGAGCAAAUGAUUUAUAUAUUCACCUAGGUUGGUUAGUUAAGAUUUAAUUAUUAUUAAAAUGAUAAAACUAAGGUUCCACAAGUAGUAAGCUUUUUGCAGAAUGUUGAGUCACCCAGUCCACCAAAAAAGCUUUCAUACUCCUUGAGGUCUUAGUUAUUUUUAUACGACGGGUCAGUCUUGCUAAGUACUUACUUAGGGGAUCCUUUUUAAGUUAUUUUCAAAAGGCCCGAAACUGUCUUUAGAAGGAGAACCUGAAGAAUUAGGGUGUUUAUGAGUCCCAAAAUGCCCUAGUGUUGGACCGUAGAUAUUUAAUUAAGUUAUAACAGUACUAUCCAUGUAUUAACUUUGAAACUCCUUAGAAUGGUUGGACUUCUAUUUAAGUUUGUUUCAAUAUAUGGUACCUUCCAAUAUUUAUGUAAAGAAUGGUUGGACUUCUAUUUAAGUUUGUUUCAAUAUAUGGUUUGUAAUAAUUCGUACCUUCCAACAUUUAUGUAAACGGGAGUGCUUGUUGAUACCUUUCCCAUCGUGAAAGCGAUUCUGAUGUAUGGUUAAGAUUCAAGUUGUACAUGGAUAAUUCGGAUUGUCCUGGGGAUACUCGACGGAUUGCCAGACUUAAACUAUUUUAAAUAUGUUUGUGAAUAAUUAUUAUUUUGUCAGUGAUUAGGCACAGUUAAACUAGUUUAAGUUGGAAGGUCCAUUAACUGUCUUAUAUUCGCUGGUUUGAUGCCAUGUAGGAUUUCUCCCGAUUAAAUUACCGAGUCGGGCCGCCAACACCGUCAGGCCCAAGACUAAGUAGUCGUAGCGCCUACGGCCUUUCCGCAAUUAUGCAUCCAUAUUUUUUGUUACCCUUCCAUGGAUGGUAAGGAGAGUCGUGAGAGAGGACAGAGGGAGCUUUUUGAAACGUGGAAAGCCCACACUGCAACGUAGGUGAUCCUUGUUGCAACGUACGUAGUCUGAAUUUGCUUGCACGAUCAUCGCAGGUAUGAACACACAAAAGCCCAGAAAAUGAUACAAACAAACUAGAGACUCCAAUUUAUUCACUGCCUGCAGGCUAGCUUAGAAAUCGUUUUCAUCCCUUGGAAGCGGACACCGACGACGAACACAGAAUGGCUAGAUAGAACCUAGAAGUCGUUUUCAUCCCUUGGAAGCGGCUCGUGGCCUCCCUGGGCCAUGAACAGGCCGUCGUAGACCAGCCCUGCGAGCGGACCGCCAAUCAGUGGCCCGACCCAAUAGACCCAGUGGUCGGCCCAUACCCCCGCAGCGAGCGCCGGCCCGAAGGAGCGCGCGGGGUUCAUGGAGGCGCCGGAGAAUGGUCCGCCGGCGAGCACGUUGGCGCCGACGACGAGGCCCACGAGCAGCGGCCCCAUCCCUCCCACGGUGCGGCGCGGGUCGACGACGGUGGCGUACACCGCGAAGAGCAGUGAGAAGGUGAGCACGACUUCCAUGAGCACGCCCUGGAGCGUGCCGACACCCGCCGCCAGCGCGUGCACGGGCGUGGCAGCGCCACCGGCGAGGAAGGCGAGGAGGAGGCAGGCGGCGGCGGAGCCCAGGAGCUGGGCGACGACGUAGAGCGCGGAGCGGAAGAGGGUGAUGCGGCCUGUUACGGCGAGGCCCAGCGUGACGGCAGGGUUGAUGUGGCCACCGGAGACGUGGAGCCCCGCGGAGAUCAUCACGGCCACCAC